This 92358-nucleotide long non-coding RNA is filed under the name Phaseolus vulgaris (common bean). RNAcentral's name for it is "long non-coding RNA (PVUL_LNC000572)". Lineage: Eukaryota; Viridiplantae; Streptophyta; Magnoliopsida; Fabales; Fabaceae. The record is from RNAcentral.
ACCUACGACGUAUUUGUGAGCUUCCGCGGUGAAGACACGCGCAACAGCUUCAUUGGUUUUCUCUUUCAGGCUCUCGGUACAAAAGGCAUCAAUGUGUUCAAAGAUGUUGAAGAUCUCAAAAAGGGUGAAUCCAUUGCACCCGAACUACUGCAAGCCAUUCAAGCCUCUCAAGUUUUCAUUAUUGUCUUCUCAGAGAACUAUGCUUCCUCCACUUGGUGCUUGCGUGAACUGGCGGAGAUACGUAACUGCGAUGAAAGACGUGUUAUUAUACCUAUCUUUUAUGAUGUUGAUCCUUCGGUGGUGCGCAAACAGAGUGGAUCUUAUGAGAAAGCAUUUGCAGAAUACGAAAAGAGAUUCAGAGAAGAUGAAGUGAAGAUGGAGGAAGUUCAGAGAUGGAGACAAGCUCUCACACAAGUCGCCAAUCUCUCUGGUUGGGAUAUCCGAAACAAGUGAGUAAUCCUUUCUCGUUUCAACAUUCACAGUUUGAAUUUAUUUACUCCUUUCUAACCUACAAUUCAGAGAUGUUAGGAAUUUCGGAAACAGUACAAAACACAUGCAAAUUGAAUCCAAAUCUAUACUUGUUUAAUCAAAAUAAUAUUUUCAAACUUAAAAUAUGUUAAAUUUUCAGGUUACACUGUGAACAGAUUGAAGAAAUUGUUGAAAGGAUAAUAAAAAUUUUGGGACCAAAAUUGUCAAGACUUCCUAAAGAUGAACUGGUUGGAAUAGAGUUUCGGGUUAAAGAAUUAACAAAUCUUCUGCAUUUAGAGUCAGUUAAUGAUGUUCGAGUUAUUGGAAUUAGUGGAAGGGAUGGCAUAGGAAAGACAACUCUUGCUCGGGCUUUAUAUGAAAGAAUCUCUCAUCAGUAUGAUUUUCGUUGUUUUAUUGAUGAUAUGAGCAAUAUUUAUGGAGAUACUGGUUCAUUAGGCGUACAAAAGCAGCUAAUUUCCCAGUUUCUAAAUGAGAAAAAUCUUAAAAUUUUUAAUGCUAUUGAUGGAGCAUAUUGGGUGUGGAAUAGACUGCACAAAGCAAGAGCACUUAUAGUUCUUGACAAUGUUGAUAAAGGUGAACAACUUAAGCUGUUUACAGGAACAGAGAUAUACGUACAUGCAUAGGUGGAGGGAGCAGAAUCAUCAUCAUUUCUAGGGAUGAACUUAUAUUGAAGACACAUGGAGUGAAAGAUGUUUAUGAAGUCCUGCCGUUGAGUAGGAAUAGUGCUGCGCUGUUGUUUUAUAGAAAUGCUUUCAAAGAUGAAGAUGAAGAUGAAGUUCAUUAUAAAUUCGAAAAUUACUUGGAGGUGGCACGUGAGCUACUUUCACAUGCUGAAGGUCAUCCUGUGGCAAUUGAAUUAAUGGGAUCAUUUUUGUGUGGUCAAGAUGUCUCACAGUGGAGACGCUUAUUGGAUAAUCUAAGACGUGAAAAACGUGGAAAUAUUAUAGAUGUUUUAAGUAGAUAUUGUGAUGAGUUCGAAGAAGAAGGAAAAGAAAUAUUUCUUGAUUUUAGGAGACGUUUUAAUCGGUUGAAAGAUGAAAGAAAAGAAAUAUUUCUUGACAUAAGUAGAUGUUUUGAUCAAUUGGAAGAAGAAGGAAAAGAAAUAUUUCGUGAUAUAAGUACAUGUUUUGAUCGGUUGGAAGAAGAAGGAAAAGAAAUAUUUCUUGAUAUUAAAUCCUUAUUCAAGAAAAUCACUAAAUAGAAACUAAAUUUAGAGACAAAAAAUAAUUAGUUGUUAUAGUGACUAAAUAAAAAAUCAUUUUAGAGACUAAAAAAAUUAUUACUUUUCAAAGUAGUUUUUAUCUUUGAUAAAUAGUUUCUAAAUUGGUAUCUAAUUAGUUAACAAGGUUUUAACUACCAAUUAUUUAACUUCUAAAUUUGGUAGCAAAAACUUUGGUAACUAAUUAAAUACCAAUUUAGAAACUAUUUAUCAAUAAUAGAAACUAAUUUAGAAACCAAAUUUUUUUUGUAGUCUCUAAAAUGGUCUUUAAUUUAGUCAAUAUAACAACUAAUUAUUUUUUUUUCUAAAAUUGGUUUCUAUUCAAUGAAUGAUUUUCUUGUAAUGAAUAUUUAUUCUAAGGAUAGUGUGGAGAAGAUUUUAAGCAUCCAUAGAUUUGAUUAUGAAAAUGACAUACAAGCUUUGAUUGAGAAAUUUCUAAUAACAUGUGAAGAUGGGAUCAUUUAUAUGCAUGGGUUGUUGAAAGAUUUGGGACAUAUAUCUUGGAUAUGAUUUGCAAGUUGUGAGGAUUGCGAGGUCAUAUGGUGUAUUGAAAAUUAGACUCCUUAUUAAAUUAAUGUGGAUUUUUCAGGAAAUUUUAAUCAUCUUUAGAAUGAACUAAUGUAUCUUGAUUGGAAAGGAUAUCUUUUUAAUUACUCAAUUAUAAUCAUUUAUUAAAAUUUAAUUUUUAAAUAUUGAUUAUUUAAGUUAAAAUAGUUUUAUUAUAUUUUUAAUAUUACAAAAAUUAUAGUAAUUUAAAUUAUAUCUUUUUACUUAAAUUUUAAUAAAUCAAUUUUAAUGUAUAUAUUUUAAAAUAGAUAAUGUAUAAAUUUUAAAAUAAUAUAUUAAUGAACUCACAAACUUGCCUAUAUCACAUAUGGAACAGAUUUUAAAUUUCUAUGUGCACAGUGCCAUUACCAUCGUUUUACACUUCCAUUUUCCAUCAUACGUUGUUGCAUUCUUAGAGAAGAAAAACAACAGAAAAAGAGUUGUUUUGAAAAACUUAUUUUAAAAAACCUAUUCUAGACAUUAUUUACUUUAUGAAAAAUUAGUCUAGAAAUUUUAUUAAAAAAAACUCAUUCCAAAAGUAUUUCAUAUAUUUAAAAAAAUUUAUUCUAAAAACUUGAUUCAAAGAUUUUGUUUUAAAAUGUCAUGCUUUACAAUCUAUUUCAUAUUUCAUAUGUUAUGGAGAACUUAUUUUUAAAAUCCUAUAGCAAAAGUUCUCUGGAUAUUACAUUUUAAAAAAUUUGUUCUAAAUAUUACAUAUUAAUUUACAAUUUGAUUUGAUAUGUUAGUAACUAUUUUGUAUAUUAUUUAUAUUUUUAUAUGAUAUUGUUUAGUCUGAUUGGUUUAACGUGUAUAUGUUAAUAAAUUCGUAAAAUUUAACAAAUAAACUGAACUAAAAGGGAUUAUAAUAUCAACGAAUUAUCAUCAUGACGGUUAUUAUUACAACCGUCAUCUAUGUGGGCUAACAGACAAUCACUUUAAUUCUAUUGUCGUAUAUUUUGUGCAUAUUUUUUUUUGUUUAAUUAAUAAUUAGGACUAUGGUUUGACCGAAAACAUCAUAAAUGUAGAGUCAUAACAACGCAAUUUUUUGUUAUAUAGACGAUGAGUUAAACCAUCGUCUAAAUUUAAUAUUUUUAAUGAUAUCUCUAUAUACAAUUAUUUGGAAGUUGUCACGAUAAGUCUUUUAAAAUUGUUAUCUAUACACCUUUUUUUAUAGUUGUGCAAGUGUGAGAAAACUAUAUGUUAAUCAAAUAAUCAUAAAUAACUGAUGUAAAAAUGUCAUUUUUGGAGUAGUGUAGUGCAUUGAUUGCAAGAAAUAGAUAAAUCCAUAAGUUAUAAAUUAAUCAAUUUAUAUGAAUUGACUAGAUAUAGAAGUAACGAAACAUUCCUAAUUUUUGGUUGAAAGAAAUUAUUGGAUUGAGUAUUUAUAUAAUAAAAAUAACAUAAAAAUAAUUUAUCAACCUCCCUAAUUCUGGUUUAGUAAAAAUCUGUUUGUCUAACUCUAUUGUUGGAUUCUUGAAUUGUUUUUUUGAACUAGCUGUUCGAUGUUUUUUUAAAUACGUUAUUAGUUUGAUUUUUUAUAUAUACUUAGUUAAAACUAUUAAUGAUCGGUUGUUUGCAUUAUGCCAAGAGGUAAAGACAAGUUUAGCAAAGAUCUAUGUUGGAGAUCUCACAUCGACUAGAGAUUAAGACAUUUCAUUGUAUAUAAGUGGAUGCAAACCUCAAUUCAUGAGCCGGUUUUAUGGGGUUGAGUUAGGCUUAAAAUCCACUUUGUAAUAUGGUAUACAUUUCAUUGUAUACAAGGGUGCAAACCUCACCUCAUGAGUCAGUUUAAGGGUUGAGUUAGGCUUAAAGUCCACUUCGUGCAUAUUAUAAAAUAGAACAAGUUGCACACUCAUUCUAAGUCUAACUAAAGAAAGAAAUAAUCAAUCAAUAAAUACUAGAAUCAUAACAGACAAAGACAAAAUAAAGGUUAUUGUACCGUCCCGAUACUGCCAGGAAUUGGGCCGAUUAGGUUUGCCAGGUAUUGGACCGAUUGGCAGAAAAGGCAGGCCUAAGCCCAAUCCGAAAGUCAUAGCGAAAUAAACAUCGUAAAACGGCUUCGCCAAAUCUAAUAAAUAUUAUGAUUCGUUGGCGCAAUAUCCUUGAUUAUAUCUCUUAAAUACUCUGAUUUACUUGCACAAUAUCCUUAAUUAUACCGCUUAAAUACUCUGAUUUACUUGCACAAUAUCCUUAAUUAUACCGCUUAAAUACUCUUAUUUACUUGCACAAUAUCCUUAAUUAUACCGCUAAAUACUUUGAUUCGCUCAAUAUCCAUGAUUACAUUGUUUAAAUUGAGAUUUUUGGGAAAGAUACCUUAAUAUGACACGUUAAUACCUGAGAAAGUCGGGAUCCAAAGAGGAGGCCCGUGAGGCCUUAUAAAUAAGCGAUCACCCCCAAGGAGUAUUUCAACUUGCUUUUUUACAUUAUACUCACUAGAUAUACAAAAUUUUAUGCUCUUACUGACUUAAGCAUCGGAGUGUAAUCGCAGGAGGAGCCCCCAUUCGUUCUCUAGAAGCUGAUCUACUAAAGCUUGAAGGGAGGCCGUUAGGAGCUCAUCCGGAUUCCGACCGACUUCAAGCCGGUGAGAACAUUUGGCGCCCACCGUGGGGCCUGAUAAAACGGUUCCCACAACCAUUCCCAAUAUAUCAGAAAGAUACAAGUUAUGAGGACCAGACAGACACCAACACCUGAAGCCGAAAAGGUGGUCACAUUACAACAGGUAAUGGAGACAAUGCGCAUGUUACAAUGCGAGAACAAGGAGUCAAGAAGACAAGUUGAGGAGUUCCAAGCCGCUCAGGAACUCCUCCAGGAAAAGUCUGCAGCCGAACAACAAAGUUUAUGAGACGAGGCCGAAGCCUCCAGACGAUUGAUGGAGGAUUCCAUUCGGGCACACGAGGAGCUGCAAAAAGUUAAUGAGGAUCUAAAGAGGACAUUCCAAGGGAGGACAGAUGCAGGACCCGCGGACCGAGCUCAAGGGAGAUGGCGGAGGGACCCCCGUCCUUUCUCUCAGGCCAAUAUGGAAGAACCAAUUCCCCCGCACUACAUGAUGCCAAAAAUGCCCUCUUUCUCAGGCUUGGAAGACCCCGAGACUCACUUAAAGGCCUUCCAAGCCCAAAUGCUGACUGAGUACCAGCGCCUCAUCCAGUUGGCCGACUGAGUACCAGAAGGGAGACCAAGAAGAGCUCAUCCGCAAUCCGGCCGACUUCGAGCCGGCGAGAACAUUUUAAUGGAAUGCUUCGAGGCUUCGCUUCUACUUCAGCUAAGUGUAAUUUGUUCCCCAUUUUUCAACGCGACACUAUUUUCCCUGGAGUUUUUUUAAAAAUUUCUCAAAGGUUUUUAACGAGGUCGCACUCUAAUAAAACUGCAUUUUCGAAUACCUUGUUUAGUUUACGCGCUUUAUGAUUUCUGAUUCAAAAUACUUAAAAACACAUACUCGGAUGACCAAAUCCGAUCAAAAACAACUCAGAACAGGGAGUUGUGACAUACUUGGCUGAUCGAAUUCGAUAAAAAACAACUCAAAACAGGGAGUUGUGACAUACUCGGAUGACCGAAUUCGAUUAAAAACAACUCAAAAUAGGGAGUUGUGACAUACUCAGAUGACCGAAUCCGAUCAAAACACCUUGUUUAGUUUAUGCGCUUUAUGAUUUCUUAUUCAAGUACUUAAAGACACAUACUCACACGAUCGAAUGCGAUUAAGAGUAACCCAGAAUUGGGAGUCGUGAUUUUAUCACACAAUCGAAUACGAUCAAGGUAACCCAAAAAGUACAGCGUCUUCGGACCUAGGAGGUCGACCUGGUGACUUUCGAGUCAGAGUCUCUCGAAAGUCUCUUACAUAAAGCGCAAUGACCAAUUUAGAAAAAAAUUGAUACAUAUAUAAAUAUAGAGUCACCAUGGCUCAAAACGCCGAAAAGUUUACAAUACGCAGAUAAAACAUUAAGGCAAAGGGUGGAGUACAAGGCAAAACGUCCUUGCAAUUUAAAAAAAAAUACAGCAAAAACGAUCGAAAAAUCACACGUCUUAACAUUCCAAUCUGCUCCAGAUUUUUCCGAGUCUUAACAUUUUCCAGACCUAAGCCCAAUCCGAAAGUCUUAGCAAAAUAAACAUCGUAAAACGGCUUUGCCAAAUCUAAUAAAUACUCUGAUUCGUUGGCGCAACAUCCCUGAUUAUAUCGCUUAAAUACUCUGAUUUACUUGCACAAUAUCCUUAAUUAUACCGCUUAAAUACUCUGAUUUACUUGCACAAUAUCCUUAAUUAUACCGCUUAAAUACUCUAAUUGAUUUGCACAAUAUUCUUAUUUAUACCGCUAAAUAAUUUGAUUCGCUCAAUAUCCAUGAUUACAUUGUUUAAAUUGAGAUUUUAGGGAAAGUUACCUUAAUAUGACAUGUUAAUACCUGAGAAAGUCGGGAUCCAAAGAGGAGGCCCGUGAGGCCUUAUAAAUAAAUGAUCACCCCAGGGAGUAUUUCAACUUGCUUUUUUACAUUAUACUCACUAGAUAUACAAAAUUUUAUGCUCUUACUGACUUGAGCGUCGAAGUGUAAUCGUAGGAGGAGCCCUCAUUCGUUCUCUAGAAGCUGAUCUACUAAAGCUUGAAGGGAGGCCGUCAGGAGCUCAUCCGGAUUCCGACCGACUUCGAGCUGGCGAGAACAGUUAUUUACCUCUAUAAAGAGAAACAACUAAGAAUUAGAGAAGACACAAUUAAUAUUAACAUUUUUCUAUAACGUUUGUGUCCAUAUCCUUUAAUAUCCCCAUUCAAUCUGGGGAGCAAAUAUUAAUGAGACCCAGCUUAACAAAUACUCUUGAAAGAUUGAGGACUUAAAGCUUUGGUAUAAAUGUCAACCAGUUGCUCUAUGGUGGAAAUGGGAAGUAAAUGGAUGAGACUCUUCUUUAAUUUUUCCCUAACAACGUGACAAUCUAUUUCUAUAUGUUUCGUACGCUUGUGAAACACUGGAUUUGCUGCAAUUUAUCUUGUUGAGUCAUUGUCACAAUAUAAAAGAGAUGGUUGCUCAAAAGAAACUUUAAAAUCUUGAAGAAGAUAAGUUAGCCAUUGAAUUUCACAUGUAACCGUGUUCAUUGUCCUGUAUUCAACUUCACAAGAACUCUUUGAUAUCGUGCCUUGCUUCUUUGAUUUCUAGGAUAUGAGAGAAUUCCCAAGAUACACACUAAAACCAGUCACUGAUUGUCUUGAAUCACUACGGGUGUCCCAAUCACUAUGACAAAAGGCUUUUAGAUGAGCAAAAGUGUUGGAAGAGAAAAAGAAACCAAGACUUGGAGCUCCUUUAAUAUAUCUGAGAAUUCUAAUCGUUGUAGUAUAGUGAGAAAUUGUAGGCUUAACAAGAAACUGAGAAAGUUGUUGCACAGAAAAUGUUAUGUCAGGUCGGGUAUUAGUGAGAUACAUAAGUCUUCCAAUCAAUCUUCUGUAGGCUUGAAUAUCUAUGAAAGGAAUACCUCCACUAGAAGAAAUUUUUUCAUGAUUAUCAAUAGGAGUGGAUGCAGGUUUGCAGGCUAAAAGACUUGUAUCUGUUAACAAUUCCAAUGCAUAUUUCAUUUGAUUCACCAUUAUUCCUUCUUUACUUCUUGCUACUUCUAGACCAAGAAAAUAUCUUAAAUCCCCAAGAUCCUUAAUCUUGAAUGUGUGAUUCAAGGCUUGUUUAAUUCGAGCAAUCUCUUCUUUAUCAUUUCCUGCCAAUAUUAUAUCAUCCACAUACACCAAUAAUGCUGUAAAAGAUCCUUCAGAAGAAUUAAUGAACAUGGAAUGAUCAGUCAUAGAUUGAGUAUAUCCCAUAGAAAGCGAAAAGGAUGACAGUUUGGAAAACCACUCUCUGUUGGCUUGCUUAAGGCCAUAUAAAGCCUUUUUUUAGUUUACAAAAUUUUUCUGGUAGAAUAGAAGUCAAUCCAGGAGGAGCAACCCUGUAUACAUAUUCUUUCAAAUCUCCAUGUAAAAAGGCAUUGUUUAUCUCUAAUUGUUUCAAUUCCUAAUUAUAGAUAGAAGCUAGAGAAAGAACCAACCUUAUGGUGGUCAUCUUUGCUACUGGAGAGAAAGUAUCAAGGUAGUCAACGCCUUCUGUUUGUGUGUAUCCCUAUGCUACUAACCUUUCUUUAUACCUUUCAAUUGUCCCAUCAGCCUUAUAUUUUAUUUUGAAUACUCAUUUGCAACCUAUGGCAGCUUUGUCCUUAAGCAGAAGAGUAGUCUCCCAAGUUUGAUUUGACUCUAAAGCAGAUAUCUCACAUUGCAUAGCUUUUCUCCGACAGUCAUGUUUCACAGCUUCAAAAUAAGUGUUUGGCUCAACAUGUGAAGAAAUAGACAUAACAAAAGAUUUGUAAGAAGGCGAUAAACUGUUAUAAGACAAAAAAUAAUUCAAAGGAUAUUUAACUCUUGAAGAUGUAUUGGAAACAUUAAGAUUGCAAUGAUAACCCUUUAAAUACUCAGGUGGUCUUUUUAUUCUUGUACUCAUUCGGACAGAUGGAUCUGAUUCAGAAUUUUGUCCUAUUUCAUGAUCUUCAUUGAGAUUUUGGUCUAUAUGGGAACAAACUUCUUCUGAAACCUCAAUGUGUGACUCACAUUUAUUAUCACUAUUAUUUUCAACAUUAUCACAAGGUGCAUUAUCACAAGUUGCAUUAUCACAAGGUUCAAGAAUGGCUUGUGAUGGCCGUCUCAAUACAGGUUGAUCUUCAGCAAACAAAAUUUGAUCAUAAAUGUCAGGACUGUUAGUUUCAUUGCUAGUAUCUUGAACCUUUUGAUAUGGAAAAACAUGUUCGUAAAAGACAACAUCCCUAGACAAAAAUAUUUCUCUUGAUUGAAUAUUCAACAAAAUAUAUACUUUUGUCCCCCUUUUAAAACAAAUAAAAACACAUUUUGAUGCCCUUGGAUCAAUUUUUUUUUCUAUUGGUUGACAAAGUACUAGCAUAACAUAAAGAACCAAACACCUUAAAUCCAGUAAAAUCUACUUAAGUUUUGUAAAGCAUUUCAUGAGGAGAAGAAUAGUUUAAAACAGGUGUGGGAAGCAUGUUUAUAAUAUAAGCAACAUGUAUCACAGAAUAUGACCAAUAAAUUUUGGGUAAAUGAGAUUGUAUCAUGGGAGCUCUUGCUACAUUUAAUAAAUGACCAUGUUUCCUUUCAACUAUACCAUUUUGUUGUGGAGUAUUGACACAUGAUGUUUGAUGUACUAUUCCUUUAUUGACAAAGAAAUUAGUCAUGAAAAAUUCAGUUCCAUUAUCACUUCUUAUUAUUUUUAUUGUUGUCUCAAAUUGUGUUUGAACAAAAACAACAAAAUUUUCCAAAACCUUGACAACUUCAAAUUUUGGUUUUAAAGGAAAAAUCCAUGUGUACCUCGAAUAGUCAUCAACUAUGGUCAAGAAAUAUUUAUGGCCAUGAAUUGAUGGUAUUGAAGAUGGUCCCCAAAUAUCUACAUGAAUCAAAUCAAAACAUUUUUUGAUUUAGAUGUACUAAUAGGAAAAGAAAGUCUUUUUUUGCUUUGCAAAAUGACAAACAUCAUAAACAAAAGAUUUUUUAUAUUUAACAAAAAUAAAUUUAUCUUGAUAACAUCAAUACAUUUAUUUGAAAUAUGACCUAAUCAAAAAUACCAAAGGGUUUCUAGAUCACUAGCACUGACAUUAACAGUAUUGAUGAUGUGUGUAGAUUUGAUGGGUUUAAUUUGAAGUUUAUGGUAAGAUUGGAUCCUGAGUAUAUAAAGUCUAUCUUGCAUCUUAGCAGAACCAAUUAUUUUCAAGGAGUUUUUGUCUUGGAUGUGACUGCCAUUAAAAUCAAAGGUAAGAACACAAGAUAGUUUAUCAAUCAAUUUUGUUACUGAAAGAAGAUUAAAGAUGAAGCAAAGAAUAUAUAAAACAUUGUCUAUGACAUGUUCUUGAUUGAGAAAAACACUUCCAGAAUAAUUGGCAAUGACUUGAUUACCAUUUGGUAAUUUAAUAGAAAUAGGAUGAAUUUGUUGUUAUGAAACGAAAUAAGUUAAGGAUGAACAAAUGUGAUCAGUAACACCACUAUGAUUUGAGCUAUUGUAAAAGACCUAACAAUGUUUGAUACUGCUCAGGAGUAAAACCAAUUUGUUGAGACUCCACUUCUAACUUUGAGCCUUCAUGAUUCUGCACAUUAUUAUUAAAAUUUGUAUUCUGAAAAACUGCAUUACUCUGAUCAGGGUUCUGAUUUUUAAAUUUGAAAUCAGGUGGAAAGCCAUGUUUUUUAUAGCAUGUAUCAAUGGUAUGUCUUGUCUUUCCACGAUGACUGCAAAUUUUGUAAAUAUAUUUUCUUCCAUAGCUUCCUCUUCCAUAUCCACCACCUAUGUCAUAGGUCGUAGCAUUGUCUUUACAACCUCCUUUGCUAGUAGCAAUCAAUGUCUUGUAUUGAUUACCAAAAGAAAAAUUGUCUCUCUUGUUGUGUAACGAGAAAACAAACUUUAUUCAAGGAUGAAUUAUCUGAUAAAUAACAUGGUAAGGUGAACAAAGAUUUUGUGAGGGAUCAACAACUUCACCCAUAUAUAAAUGUAGCAACCAGAGUUCUGAUACCAUAUUAUAAAAUAGAACAAAUAUGAACAAAAGAGUAUAAGGAAGGCAAAUGCUAUAAAAAUGAAUAUUUCUUUUAUUAUUUUGGAAUUAGAACGAAUAGUCUGAAUUUAUACAAGUUGUACACUCAUUCUAGGUCUAACUAAAGAAAGACAUAAUCAAUCAAUAAAUACUAGAAUCAUAACAGACAAAGAAAAAAAUAAAGGUUAUUUAUCUCUAUAAAGAAAAACAACUAAAAAUUUGAGAAGACACAAUUAAUAUUAACAUUUUUCUAUUACGUUUGUAUCAUAUCCUUUAAUAAUCUAAAAUAUGUUUUAUGUAAUGCUUUGAAAUUUUUUAAGAGAUUAUUUUGAUAUCAUAAUGUUGGAACAUCUUUAAAACGUUUAAUAUUUAUUCAUUAUUUUCACUGAUAAAAAGAAAAAAAAAUUUAUUAACCAUAAAUAUGACACCGUGAGUUAACAAGACUCAAGAAGUUGUUCAUAUACUGUUCAAAGUUCAAAGUUUGAAAAACAACAUAUAAACUUUGAUAGACAUUAUUUUUGGGAAGUUAUUCAAUUAGUAUUUAUAAAGACAUGAAGACAUAUGUUGAACGUGUCAUUUCUAAAAAGAUUAUAUGUACUGUACACCUUCAUGUGUAGUGUAUCUCUUUACAUUUUUUUUUAUCUUUCGUAAUUAUCUAUUUACAUUUCUAGUUCUUUAGUUCUGUACUACAUUUAUAUCUCAUCUUAUAUAUUAAUUGUUCUUUUACAUUUUAUGUUUAUCAAUUUUUGAAUUUAUAUUUUUUUUUAUUUCUGAAAUUACUUUGAUUUACAAAAAAAAAUUCUAUAUUGUAGAAGCUUUUUAUUUAUUUAUUUUUUUUACAAAUUUAUAUUAAAUUCAAUUUCAAUUACUUUAUUUAUUCUAAAUUAUCAACCAAUUAAAAUGUUUCAAUUAUCAAUUAUGUAAAAUGUUUCAAAUUCAAAUUGUGUUUACGUUAUAUAAACACAAUGAAAUUUAUAUUCUGAUAUAAGCGAAAACCCAUAUUUUUAUCAGAAAAAUAAUGUGUUUAGUAUAAAUAUUUAUGUUUGAUUAAUUUAAUAUAUUUAAAUUAAAAAUUAUGUUUAAUUACUAUCUUCCAUAUAAAGAACUCAAAAAAAAUUAUAUAUGACCAUUGUAGAAAGAGGCUGAAAAGUAGAAUUUUCACAAUACGCGGCAAUUUUUUUAUAUAAUUUCCACAAUCACGCGGCUAUUUUAUUUAACUUUUACUAUGAUAUUAUAUAAUUGUUUUGACCUUCGUAGAAAGACGGUGGAAAAGUGAAACGCUAUAAAUUUAUAUAAAAAAAUAUUUGUCAUCCAUAUUUCAUCUUCACCCUAUAUUAAUAAAUAUUAAUAUUUUAAUUAUUAAUAAAAAUUUAUAAUUUUUUUUACUUUAAAAUAUUUUGCAUUAUUUUUAUUUAGAAAUUUUUUCCUUUUUAAUUUUUAUUACAAAUAUUAAUAUUUAUUAUGGAAGUAGGUGCAGCAAUGUAUCAAAAUAUCAAACCCAUUUAUAUAUGACCUUCGUAGAAACAAGGUGGAAAAGUAGAAAACGCAUAUAAAUUAAAUUAUUAGAAAAACUAAGUAAGCUUCAAUAAAAAAUACUGAAAUAAAACUAAUUAUAAGAAUAUAAUAAUAUGUUAUAUUAAAAAAUAAAAAGUUUAAAGUAUCACCACCCUGUUACUAUUUCUUCCGUGUUUGCUUUCCACUGUCACAGUCACCUUCUCUCUCAACAACUUUUGCUUUCACCAAUGGCUUCUAUCCAAUACACCUCUUCUUCUUCUUCUCUUCCAACUCACAUCUACGACGUAUUUGUCAGCUUCCGCGGUGAAAACACGCUCAACAACUUCACUGCUUUUCUCUUUCAGGCUCUUCGUACAAAAGGCAUCAAUGUGUUCAAAGAUGAUGAAGAUCUCAAAAAGGGUGAAUCCAUUGCACCCGAGCUGCUGCAAGCCAUUCAAGCCUCUCUACUUUUCGUUGUUGUCUUCUCACAGAACUAUGCUUCCUUCACCUGGUACUUGCGUGAACUGGCGGAGAUAUGUAACUGCGUUGAAAGAUGUGUUAUUAUACUUAUCUUUUAUGAUGUUGAUCCUUUGGUGGUGUGCAAAUAGAGUGGAUGUUAUGAGAAAGCAUUUGCAGAACACGAAAAGAGAUUAAGAGAAGAUGAAGUGAAGAUGGAGGAAGUUCAGAGAUGGAGACCAGCUUUCACACAAGUGGCCGAUCUCUCUGGUUGGGAUAUCCAAAACAAGAUUCAUCACAGUUAUAUAUUUAUUAUGCGAUGAGUUAUAUACCCGUCAAUUUAUUAAAUUGAAACCAAAUGUAUACUUGUUUAUGAAAAUAAUAUUUUCAAACAUAGAAUCUUUACGUUAUUAUUUUUUUUUUCUGUAAAUGUUAAAUUUUCAGGUCAGAGUGCGAACAGAUUGAAAAAAUUGUUGGAAGCAUAAUAAAUAUUUUGGGUCCCAAAAUCUCAAGAGUUCCGAAGGAUGAACUGGUUGGGAUAGAGUCUCGGGUGUAAGAAUUAACAAAUCUUGAUGUUAACGAUGUUCGAGUUGUUGGAAUUAGUGGGAUGGGUGGCAUAGGAAAAAUAAUUCUUGUUAGGGCUUUAUAUGAAAGAAUCUAUCAUCAAUACUAUUUUUGUUGUUUUAUUGAUUUAAGCAAAACUUAUCGAGAUUCUAAAUCAUUAUAGUUUUUGACAAUGUUGAUCAAGGUGAACAACUUAAGUUGUUCACACGGAACAAAGAUAUACGUAGAUGCAUAGGUGGAGGGAGCAGAAUCAUCAUAAUCUCAAUGGAUGAACAUAUAGUGAAGACACAUGGAGUGGAUGAUGUUUAUCAAGUCCAGCCGUUGGGUGAAAAAAAUGCUAUACAAUUGUUUUGUAGAAAUGCUUUCAAAGUUAAUUAUAUAUUGGGCGAUUAUGAAGAGUUGGCAUAUGAGGUACUUUCACAUGCUGAAGGCCAUCCCUUGGCAAUUGAAGUAAUUGGGUCAUCUUAGUUUGUCCAAAUGUCUCACAAUAGAGAAGUGCAUUGGGUAAGCUAAGAUAUAAUAAAGAUAGAAAUAUUAUGAAUGUUUCACGAAUAAGUUUUGAUCAGUUGAAAGAAGAAGAAAAAGAAAUAUUUCUUGAUAUUGCAUGCUUCCUCCAAGUCGAAGAAGGUUCUAUGAUUCAUUUUGACAAAACUGUGGAGGAAAUUUUAAGCAUCCGUGGAUUUGAUUAUGAAAAUGGCAUACUAGCUCUGAUCGAAAAAUCUCUAAUAACAUGUGAGAAUGAGAAUAUUUAUAUGCAUGCGUUGUUGAUGGAUCUGGGACACAGUAUUGUUUGAGAAAAAUCACCUAAGGAGCCUCUAAAGUGGAGUAGGUUGUGGGAUUACGAAGAUUUCGAGAAAGCUAUGUUAGACAAUCAGGUAAAAAUAAUUGAUUGAGUAUAAAUCUUACAUUGUCAUUUUUUCUAGAAUAUGAAAACCCUUCGAAAAUUAUUACAAUGUUAUUCUUUCUCCAUAAUGUUGUAGGCAACUGAAAAUCUUGAAGUCAUAUAUAUUGAACAUAAUUUUCUUUCGGGGACUCUAAGUGCAGAAGGUCUAUCGAAAAUUAGAUACCUUAACUUGCUUAGUCUUGAUGGUGUGAACUUUUCAGGAAGUCUCAAUCAUCUUUCGAAUGAACUAAUGUAUCUUAGUUGGAGAAAAUAUCUUUUUAAAUCUUUGCCUCAAAGUUUUCAUCCGGAAAAACUAGUUGAGUUACAACUUGAUGAGAGUAGCAUUAAACGAUUAUGGAAAGGUGCAAAGGUAGUGUAUAUAAAUUUUUUUGUUUUUUUAAAUAAAUCAAUCAAAUGACAAACAUUGUCUUUAAUUUCUUUGUUUAAUUUAAGAAAACCCUAAUUUCAUUAUUAAUUUUGUCUUUUAUUUGCUAAUCACUAUAGCCAUUGCACAAUUUGAAGCUUUUGGAUCUCUCUUAUUCCGAAGAUUUAGUUGAGAUGCCAGAGAGGCCCUAAAACUUGAAGAGAUAAAACUUAUAGGAUGCAUAAAGCUCAAAAAAAUCGAUCCAUCGAUUGGUCUUUUGAGAAAGCUUACUUUCUUGAAUUUGAAAAACUGCAAAAGCCUGGUAAGCUUACCCAAUACCAUAUUGGGCCUCAAUUCUCUUAAAUUUAUGAAUGUCUCCAGUUGUACAAAACUGUAUAAUAAUGAGUUAUUAGAUGGACGAAGGAAUACAAACCAUUUGAAGAAAAAAAUAUUGUUGUGGCCUUUAGAUUUGUUGUAUUCCAGAGCACGAAGAGACUCAGUCAGUUGUUUCUUGCCCUUCUCUCCUACUCACUCUUUUGCAACAACUUGAUCUAAGCUUCUAUAACUUAGUUCGAAUCCCUGAUGUCAUUGGGAAGUUAAGGUGCCUUGAAUGACUAAAUUUGAAGGGAAACAAUUUUACUACACUUCCCAACCUCAAGAACCUUUCCAAAUUGUAUUGUUUAAACUUACAACAUUGCAAGCAAUUAAAAUGGUUGCUUAAUCUCCCUACGCAAACCAACUUGCUCUCAAUAAUUUUGAAGCGGCAAUCCUCAUAUUUCAAAGAUGAAAAUGUUGUAGGAUUAAUAAUUUACAAUUGGCCAAAAUUAGUUGAGAGGGAACAAUGUAGUAGCAUGAUUUUUUCGUGGAUGAUACAUGUGCAUGCUCUUUUUGUCCUCUUUCAUUCUUAUAAUAUUUUUUAUUUAUUGGAAAACGGUUUCUAACGCAUAACUAUGUAGUCUUACGAGGCAAUAUGCUUAAAAGUCAGGUAUCGUACUUAUAGGUGUCCAACUUUUGAAAGUGUUAUCCCAAGAAGUGAAAUACCGAGGUGGUUCAACAAUCAGUUUGUGAGCAUGGACAAUUCAAUAAAAAAUUAUGCCUCUCCUGUUCAGCAUGACUAUAGUUGUAUUGGUGUUAUGUGUUGUGCAAUAUUCCACAUGGGCAACGAAAAGGAGAAGACUUUUAACACAUUCAUUCAUAAAGCUAGAAUUCCUCCAAUCAAUUUGAGAAAAGAUCUAGUCAUUGACAAGUCAGAUCAUAUGUGGCUAUUUUAUUUGGAUGAUAAAGAGUUUCGUAGAAGUGCUUAUGGUUGCAGAUGGAACGAACAUUAUAAGUAUGUUAUUACAAAAUUGAUCACGGACUGGAGUUCAUUCACAAAUAGAAAAUCAAUAUGUGAAGGUGUAUGUGAAGAAAUAUGGAUAUCAUUGGAUAUAUGAGCAAGCUACAACUACCAAACUCAGGUACUUACUAUUUAUUAUAUUUUUGUUUUCUUCAUUCAUGUCUUACACAUGCAUUUGAGAUUUUGAUCCACAAAGUUAUUGUCCUAUGAUACAACAUGUGAGGAAGUUACUAACUUCAUCAUUUAACAAGAGCUCAAAUAAUUCAUUAGUGAAAGAACUUGGGUAUCAAUCGUUUUUCAUUUGUUGUUUUAAUUUUUUUUUUAUAUUUUCUCCACAAAUAUCUCAACUCCCUUUUUAUCAUUGUUGUUAUUGUUAACUUUUAUUGCUUUCAGAUAGAUUCUAAACACUGAUUUAUUGAUUUCACUAUUGGAUUCGUUGGGAGACGACUGGAGUCUGACCACAAUUAUAUCAUCAUCUCUCUAGCAUUAGACAUGUCUAUGUCGAAAUCAUUUUAAUUUGACAGCAAAACGACAGUUAUCACUACACUAGAUAUAUCUUUUUGCAGAGUUGACCAAUUGCAAGGUUCUAGAAGCUGAUGGUUGCAUCUUGAGGUUAUUAGUAAUUUGAUUAAAUACUUUCAUUGUUUGUUUUGUUUGUAAAACAAAUAUCUUAAUUAGGUUGGUAAUAUUGAAUUGUAGAGCAAUAAACAAACAUGAGGGGAUGAUAUUGGCUCCAUAAGUCAAUGCGAGUCAUAUGUGGAUAACAAUUUUAUUCCUCAUUUAAUGGUCUAAGGGAAAUUCGUUGAAAGGGCCACUAUGUUACACAAUGUGGAUCCCCCCAAUAUGGUCAAAUUUAUGGUUGAGAAAGUUCACAUUGGUGAUGUUGCAGUUCCUAUGACAUCAAAUAAGACAAUUAAUUUGACACAGACAUGUCAAACAUUUAUAGUUUGGCCUAGACACCUUAUGAGACCUAUUACAGUCAAUAAAAAAAUAAUUUAUAAAUACAUUUGUAGACAUAAGUUAUUGAAAAUGUUGUUUAUUGUUUAGUCAAAGUAUAAAAACAAAGUUCUCAAAUAAAUGAGCAACUUACUAAGAAUUCUAUGGUUGCAUACAAACCCAAUGAAGAUUAUGCAAUGCUAAUUUUUGAGAAAUUCUCUAUAUAUUACAUUUGAGAAAUUUUGUUCCAAAUAUCAUGUUUCAAAAAUUUUAAAAUGCUUGUUUUGAAAAAUUUCUAUAACAAAUAAUUUAAAAGUCAUCUUAAGAAGAAUAAAAUGGUUAUUUUAAAAACUACGGAAGUGAAAAAAAAAACCAUUAUAAAAUUGACUAUGUAAAAGUACCAGUGGAAAUUUACGAGUGAGGUUAUAUUUGGUAUGAAUUGUAAAACUGAUGCAAACAUAUCAUAAUAUUCUUAUUUUUAUAAAAUAAAAUAUGUACUCUUUUUCUAGUAUUAGAGUUUUUUUAAAAAUUAUUUCCAUUUUUAUUUUUCAUCUUCGAAAGUUUAAUAUCAUAUUAACUACUCUUCAUGAAUUAUAGUUGUUCCUACCGGUUGACUUGCUUCGCCAGUUGACUCCUGUCGCCCUUCAGUCUUGCCUGAGAAACGUGCCUUCUUGAUCAAGAAACCUCUCACCUGCAAAGUCUAAGGGGCGCCCUAGCGGCCAUUAGCAUUCUGACGCUCAAGUCAGUAUUAGGGCAAAGAAACACCAAGUGUGUAUAUUAGCUUCAGUCUUAGAAAAUACGUACCUUACUAGGGUUUUGGGCACCCUUUAUAUAGGCUAAAACUAGGGUUUACCUUUGUGUAGUUAUCCCUGACUAGGUUUCCUUGGAGAAUGUCCUUGCGCCGCUAUUCAUAGAAUCUUAACGUAUCUGGCACAUGAACCCUCCCUUAAUUGGAGUGCAACGAAUGUCAGAAUGGCUGCUUGGGUACCAACUUGUGCACCUAAUCUCUAGCACCAUCUGCUUCGUGGGUGCCCUAAGUGAUGGAAGAGGCCCCAACCCCAACCCUUAGAGAGGCCACCAAAAUGCUACAUUGAGGCAACCACUAGAGUCAUAGUCAAAGAGGGGUCAAAAGGACACAUUUUACAUGUCAUAAACUCUAGUGUGUAAUAGCUUUUUACUUUCUAGUCAAAGUAGCAUAUGAUUUCUCUUUUGUAAAAUUGUUUAAAUUGUAAUUAGGAUAAAUGUUGGUUUCUAAAAGCCAACCUAAGUUAGCUUACGGUUUCUAGAAGCUACUAAGCUAACUUAGGUCGGUCAUGGUAAGCUUAGGCGCACCAAAGGUCACCAUUGGUUCAUGCUUACCAUGUGACUUCCUAGAUACCACAUUUACAUGUCAUUUGGCUAGCAUUUCCUUUUCAUUACCUUUUCAUUUCCGGUCCUCCAAGGCUAUAUAAGGAGGAGCCUACCUCAUGUUUUCACAAGAUUAAUUUGAGUAAUGAAAUGCUGCCAAAAUGUGUCAUUCUUACCCCCUUGCCUAAAAUCGCUUAAGAUUUAGGUCUCUAAUCUUCAAACCUUUCACCUACAAAGAGAGUUGGCCGAAACUCUCUCACUCUCCUACUCUUCAUGCACCUCCAAGGCUACCACAACUCUUAGGAGAGCCUUGUUCCAUCAACAAUCCAUUGAAGCUUUCGCAAAUUCUACCACAAAAACCGCAAGUUGAAGAGCUCAAGCUAUCAUUUGGUAUCUAAAGCUAUGGUCUUCAAGAGAUAAGUUUCUAUUUUCAUUUUUUCUAUUUGAGUUCUUCUUAUUUUCAUGUUGUUCAUCUCUUGUUCAUGUUGUCUUGCUGUUUUUACAUUUUUACUUUGAUUUAGAUGUUGUUCUAAGCAUUUCAAUCGGUAGAAAUUGUUCAAAUUGUUCUUGAGCACCUUAUUUUCAAUUUUUGUGUAGGAAUCUAUGGUGAAUUGUGUUGCUGUUUUGAUUUUAGGUUACUUGAGUCUUGUUUGAAUUUCUGUUCGGUUCAUAUGAUGUUCUUGAGUCAUUUUAUUUUCUGAAUCUAUAUGUUUUGUCUAGUCAUGUAAUUCCAAGAAUGUCAACAAAUCUUAGUAGUACUUUUCUUGAUUCAUUUGUUUCUUGUUUUGAUUUGAGUGUUUAAUUUGAAUUCUGACUUGAUUUGUUCCUUUGGUGCAUUUUUCCUUUUAGUUUGAGUUCAUAUUUGUAUGAUAGAUCCAUACAAAUUCCUAUAACAUUCAUUCCAUUGUGUUUUUGUAGUUUCUCAUUCUGUUUUUAAUUCCAGAAUUAGGAAUCCUCUGUUUUUACAAUUUUUGUUCUGGCUGUUUUGUGUUAUGAAAAUUGAAUACGUUGAGAGAAAAUUAUGAAAUUCUGGAUUUCAGUGGUUUGAUGUGUUAGAAAAAGAAGAAAAAAAAAAUCAGUCGAAAAGGAAAAAUAGAAAAAAAGAAGAUAAAUCACACAAAAAAGUGUGCAUUUUGGCACUAAAACUGGCGGUAAUUAGACAUUAAUUUUGAAAAAUUUAUCAUAAUUAAUUGGUGCAUGCUUUUGGUGUAAUUCUAGCGCCAAAAGUUUGCUAAGAUUCUGAAUCAUUUGUGUUUAAAUUUUCAAAAGCAAAUUCAAAAUAUCCAGAUCAACAUAAAUAUUUGAAGUCACGCUUUCGGAACCAUAAUUUUUCAGUAGUGCUGUUUUGGUUUUUCAAAUCAAUUUUAGUGUCAUUCCUUAGGUUCCUUUUGUGUGUUGUCCUUUGUUGAGUGCCCAUUUUUUAUUUGAUUUUCCAAUAUCAUUCUGAACUCUUUCUAGUUGUGUCAUAUCAUUAAAUCCAAUUGCAGUGGUGCUGUUUUUAAAAAUUUAAUUGUUUCUUGUUUUCUUUUCUUGACCUCUAUAUUGUUGGUGGAUAAAUUUCAAUUGGUGCUUGUUGAGUAGAAAUUGACUUGAGGAGAGUCUAGCUCUACUUAGUAUGUACUGUUUUGGAGAAUUUAAUUGCUUAAAUCAUAAGUGGUUCAAGGCAAGGACCAACAACAAAUACAAAUACCAAAAACACACCAUACACUUUGAAGAGCACAACAAAGAAGAGAAAAAACAAGCCUAAGGAGUGCAUAGCUUAGCAAGCUGAAAUUAAAUUUGUGCAAUUCAAUUUCUUUGCAUUUCUUGAGUUGUAAUUACAUUUCACUUUUGUUAAUUAGUGGAUUAAUCACGAUUAGACGGUGUGUCUUCAAAGGCUCAAAGUGUCUAAGAAGCCUCACCUAAGAGGCCCCAGCACCAACCCUUGGAGAGGCCACCAAAAUGCUACAUUGAGGCAACCACUAGAGUCAUAGUCAAAGAGGGGUCAAAAGGACACAUUUUACAUGCCAUAAACUCUAGUGUGUAAUAGCUUUUUACUUUCUAGUCAAAGUAGCAUAGGAUUUCUCUUUUAUAAAAUUGUUUAAAUUGGAAUUAGGAUAAAUGUUGGUUUCUAAAAGCCAACCUAAGUUAGCUUACGGUUUCUAGAAGCUACUAAGCUAACUUAGGCGGGUCAUGGUAAGCUUAGGCGCACCAAAGGUCACCAUUGGUUCAUGCUUACCAUGUGACUUCCUAGAUACCACAUUUACAUGUCAUUUGGCUAGCAUUUCCUUUUCAUUACCUUUUCAUUUCCGGUCCUCCAAGGCUAUAUAAGGAGGAGCCUACCUCAUGUUUUCACAAGAUUAAUUUGAGUAAUGAAAUGCUGCCAAAAUGUGUCAUUCUUACGCCCUUGCCUAAAAUCGCUUAAGAUUUAGGUCUCUAAUCUUCAAACCUUUCACCUACAAAGAGAGUUGGCCGAACCUCUCUCACUCUCCUACUCUUCAUGCACCUCCAAGGCUACCACAACUCUUAGGAGAGCCUUGUUCCAUCAAUAAUCCAUUGAAGCUUCAACAAAUUCUACCACAAAAACCGCAAGUUGAAGAGCUCAAGCUAUCAUUAAGUAUUCACGUGAUAUGCAUGCGGCUUUCCCUGGAAAGCCUAACCCUAAUGAGCCUUAACGCCUCCUAGGAUUAUCCACACGUGCUGCGCCUUCGUGCGUCAUACACACCACAUGCAUGGAUCCCUCCUCUUAGGCUUCCCACAUAUAUCUUCUCUUAAACCGUUAUCUCAUUGGGCCCACUUUACGUGGCCCUGUACAACGUCCUAACGACCGAUGUUCGAUCUUCUUCCCUUACUGGUGGGGUUCGAUAUCGAUCUCCAACAUCGGGGCUUAGGAUACAAAUAUCAAAGACUAACCAAUUCCCUGGUAGGUGCGUCUGGGGCCCACCUCACGUGGCCUCCUUCCAUCACCAAGCAUCGGUGCGCGAUGUCUGAGGUCAGUCUAUGGGCUGAUGACCGAGGACUGGUCGGGACAAUAGCCUUAUGUCUUCUAAAUCUUUUUAAAUAAUUUAUACAUACAUUUAUUAUGUGAAUAAAAAUAAAUGAAUAAAUUAAGAAAUUGUAUAACUAUUUUAUUAAAAUUGUGACAACUAGUUAUAAUUUAGUAGCGAUGUUUAUUUAAAAAAAGAAAUAAAAAAUAAAAAAAAUUAUUUUUAUUUUUAUGUUGAGCAUAAAAAAUUAUAAUUUAUUUAUUUAGUAAUUUAUUUUUAAAACUUAAUGGUGAGGAAGAAGUUUGGUAAAAAAGAAGUUGGGUGCAAAAGAAGUUUGGUGAAGAAGGUGAAGAAUUAAUGGAGACCCAAGACUCUAGUCUCAGUGCGCCACGUGUGCAGACCAAUAUCAGUGUGUGCGCCACGUCAUCAAUAGUUAACGUUGUUGGUGAAAACUUAACGGAAUGGACCAAUUUGGAUAUUUUUUAAAAAACAUAAGGGUCAAAUUGAUUUGUUUUAAAAAACCACUGUACUAAAUUGAAUACUGACCCUAAAUAUAGGGACAUAUAAGGUAAUUAUACCUUUUUUAUGUUUUCUGCACAAGUAUCUCAACUCCCUUUUUAUCAUUAUUGUUAUUACUAACUUUUCUUACUUGCAGAUAGAUUCUAAACAUUGAUUUACUGAUUUCACUAUUGUAUUCGUUGGGAGAAAACUUGGGAUCAUCUGACCACAAUUAUACUAUCAUCUCUCUAGCAUUAAACAUGUCUACGUUGGAAUCAUUUUAAUUUGACAACAAAACGACAAUUAUCACUACACUAGAUAUACCAUUUUGAAGGAUCGACCAAUUACGAGGUUCCAAAAGCUGAUGGUUGCAUCUUGAGGUUUUUAGUAAUUUGAUUAAAUAAUUCAUUGCUUGUUUUGUUUGUAAAAUAAAUAUCUUAAUUAGGUUGGUAAUAUUGAAUUGUAGUGCAAUAAACAAACAUAAGGGGAUGACAUUGGCUCCAUAAGCUAGUGCAAGUCAUAUAUGGAUAAUAAUUAUGUUCUUCGCUUGAUGGUCUUAGGGAAUGUCUUUGAAGGGGUCACUAUGUUACAUAAUGUGAAUCCCCCUGAUAUGGUCAAGUUUAUGGUCGAGAAAGUUCGCACGGUGAUUUGAAAUUGUACCAAAAGAAACACCAAAGACUGAAUUCAACUAAAUGAUGCAAACAAUUCAUCAAACAAUUUCAAUGCAUAAAAAAAUAUGAAAAAACACAAAGUUAGAAGAAAAAAAAAUUUGAAAAAAGAGAGGAAAUGUGAAGUCUCAUGUCUUCGUUAUCUACAUUUUUAUUCGUUGUCUACAUUUUUAUUUGCUUUGUUCUUUUACUAUUACUCUACUUUCUGUUCUAUUUACAUCAUUCUUUAUUUUAAUAAAAAAUAAAAGAACUAAAACUUUAUAACUACUUUAUAUAUUUUUACAAACCUAAAAAAAAAAAAAAAACUUUACAAUCUCUUUAUUAUAAGACUAGCUCUUGUAUAUCUUUUUAACAGAAAGUUUUGAGAUUGAAUAAUUUUCUUCGACUAAGAUUUUCAAACUUAAUUUGGAAGCUCUGUUGUAUAUAUAUUCUACCUUUAAAAAUUAGAAAAGUUAAAAAGUAUAAAACACAUCGUAAUUGUUAAAUAUAUUAAAAAAUACAUUUGUUUCAUUAACACUCUCUUAAUCUUUUAAUCAGAUGAUACUUGUCAAGUCAAGUCUUGUAUGACUUUUUCUUUACUUACUACCAUGAUAUGUCAUGAAUAAUGAAUUAAAUCACCCUCCUCAUGAAAAUAUAGAAGAAAAAAAUUGCUUUUGUAAAAUAGAAAAUUAAAAUAAUAAAAAAUUAGAAUGACCAUAUCUAUAAUAAAAUAACAGGAUAUAACUUUAAACACUUUAUACACAUUUCAGAUUAUAUUAUAUUGUUUAAACACUUUUAAACAAUAAAAAAUAUUUUUCAUAAUAAGAGAGAAAAAAAUAACAGAAACAAUUAAGUAUAUAAAAAAACAUGUGAAAUAUAGAAAAACAAAAUAUAUAAACAACUCAAGAACAUCUAUAUAUAUUACAAAUUAUGUGUAUAUCCCUAACAAAUAACAAUGAAUAUGAAUAAAAAUAACAAUAAAUCACACCAUUUAAGAGCCAACUAAUUUUAUAUUAAAAAAAUAACUAAUUACUAUAGUGACUGAGUAAAUUAGAGAAUAAAAAAUUAUUAAUUUUUAAAUUAAUUUUAUUAUUGAUAAAUAGUUUUUAAAUUGAUAUCUAAUUAGUUAAUACUUUUAACAUUCAAUUAUUUGAUUUCCAAAAUUUGAUACAAAAACUUUGUUAACAUCCAUACAUUACAAUUAUUUAGUUUAGUUCUGCAAUUCCACAACCACGCGGCAAUUAUUACAAAAGCUAAGUGGGAGAAGCUUCAAUGAAAAAACACUCACAACACUUAUUUCUAUUUCUCAGUGUUUGCUUCCACUUUCACACUCAUUUUAUACGACCAUUCGUAGAAAGAAGGUGGAAUAAUGAAACGCGCCAACGUGAUAAUAAAUACCCAUUCUUCACUUGAAUUUCUAUUUAUUCAUUCAGUGAUUGCUCUCCACUUUCACACCCAUUCUCUCUCUCAGCAACUUUUGCUUUCUCUAAUGGCUUCUUCUUCUUCUUCUUCAUCUCUUGCAACAGACAUCUACGACGUAUUUGUCAGCUUCCGCGGUGAAGACACGCGCAACAGCUUCACUGGUUUUCUCUUUCAGGCUCUCGGUACAAAAGGCAUCAAUGUGUUCAAAGAUGUUGAAGAUCUCAAAAAGGGUGAAUCCAUUGCACCAGAGCUGCUGCAAGCCAUUCAAGCCUCUCGACUUUUCAUUGUUGUCUUCUCACAGAACUAUGCUUCCUCCACUUGGUGCUUGCGUGAACUCGCAGAGAUAUGUAACUGCUUUGAAACUUCGCCAAGACGUGUUAUUAUACCUAUUUUUUAUGAUGUUCGUCCUUCAGUGGUGCGCAAACAGAAUGCAUGUUAUAAGAAAGCAUUUGCAGAACACGAAAAGAGAUUGAGAGAAGAUGAAGUGAAGAUGGAAGAAGUUCAGAGAUGGAGACAAGCUCUCACACAAGUCGCCAAUCUCUCUGGUUGGGAUAUCCGAAAUAAGUGAGUAAUCCUCUCUCGUUUCAACAUUCAUCACAGUUUGAAUUUAUUUACUCCUUUCUAAACUACAAUUCAGAGAUGUUAGGAAUUUCGGAAACAGUACAAAAGCACAUGCAAAUUGAAUCCCAAUUAUAUAUUGUUUAAUCAAAAUAAUAUUUUGAAACUAUAUUGUUUAUUGUUUUUUUUUCCUGUAAAUAUUAAAUUUUCAGGUUACAGUGUGAACAGAUAGAAGAAAUUGUUCAAAAGAUAAUAAAAAUUUUGGGACCAAAAUUGUCAAGACUUCCGAAUGAUGAACUGGUUGGAAUAAAGUAUCGGGUUGAAGAAUGAACAAAUCUUCUACAUUUAGAGCCAGUUAAUGAUGUUCGAGUUGUUGGAAUUAGUGGAACGGAUGGUAUUGGAAAGACAACUCUUGCUCGGGAUUUAUAUGAAAGAAUCUAUCAUCAGUAUGAUUUUGGUUGUUUUAUUGAUGAUGUGAGCAAUAUUUAUAGAGAUAGUGGUUCAUUAGGUGUACAAAAACAACUAAUUUCCCAGUUUCUAAAUGAGAAAAAUCUUAAAAUUUUUAAUGCUAUUGAUGGAGCAUAUUGGGUGUGGAAUAGACUGCACAAAGCAAGAACACUUAUAGUUCUUGACAAUGUUGAUAAAGGUGAACAACUUAAGCUGCUUACAGGGAACAGAGAUAUACGUACAUGCAUAGGUGAAGGGAGCAAAAUCAUCAUCAUUUCUAGGAAUGAACUUAUAUUGAAGACACAUGGAGUGAAUGAUGUUUAUGAAGUUCUGCCGUUGAGUAGGAAAAAUGCUGCGCUGUUGUUUUGUAAAAAUGCUUUCAAAGAUGAAGUUAAUUAUAAAUUGGACGAUUACUUGAAGGUGGCAUGUGAGCUACUUUCACAUGCUACUUUCACAUGUCAUCCUUGGACAAUUGAAACAAUUGGAUCAUUUUUGUGUGGUCAAAAUGUCUCACAGUGGAGAAGGUUAUUGGAUAAUAUAAAAAAUGUGGAAACACUAUAGAUGUUUUGAUCUGGUGGAAGAAGAAGGAAAAGAAAUAUUUCUUGAUAUUCUGUGCUUAUACAAUAAAAUCAAUAAAUAGAAAUCAAUUUUAGAGACAAAAAAUAAUUAGUAGUUAUAGUGAUUAAAUUAGAAACCAUUUUGGAGACUAAAAAAAUUAUUAUUUUUUAAAGUAGUUUCUAUUUUUUAUAAAUAAUUUCUAAAUUGAUAUCUAAUUAGCUACCAAGGUUUUAACUACCAAUUAUUUAGAUUCUAAAAUUGGUAGCAAAAACUUUAGUAGUUAGUUAGAUAUCAAUUUAGAAACUGUUUAUCAAUAAUAGAAACUAAUUUAGAAACCAAAAUUUUUUUAGUCUCUAAAAAUGGUUUUUAAUUUAGUCAAUAUAGCAACUAAUUAUUUUUUGUUUCUAAAAUUGGUUUUUAUUCUAUGAUUUUCUUGUAGUGGAUAUUUAUUCUAAGGAUAGUAUGGAGAAGAUUUUAAGCAUCUAUGGAUUUGAUUAUGAAAAUGACAUACAAGCUUUGGUUGAGAAAUCUCUAAUAACAUGUGAAGAUGGGAUCAUUUAUAUGCAUGGGUUGUUGAAAGAUUUGGGACAUAUAUCUUGGAUAUGAUUUGCAAGUUGGGAGGAUUGCGAGGAUAGAUGGUGUAUCAAAAAUUAGACACCUUAUCACUAGCGCAAAAAUGUUAAUCAAAUGCAGCUAUUUUACAUUUACAAAUGCGGCUAUAGAGCCACAUUUGAUCAGCACGCAUUCGUAAAUCAGAGAGCUACAAAUGCGGCUAUAGAGCCGCAUUUGUAAAUGUGAUUUACGAAUGCGGUUAUUUCAAAUAGCCGCAUUUGUAUAUUCUUCUAAAUGAGCUGAGGGUUUUAGAGGUUUAAGAUUUACGAAUGCGGCUCUGGUAAUAGCCGCAUUCGUAAAUCACAUUUACAAAUGCGGCUUUGGUAAUAGCCGCAUUCGUAAAUCACAUUUACAAAUGCAGCUUUGGUAAUAGCCGCAUUCGUAAAUCACAUUUACAAAUGCGGCUUUGGUAAUAGCUGCAUUUGUAAAUCUUGUUUUUUGAUUUACAAAUGCGGCUUUGGUAAAUAACCGCAUUUGUAAAUAGUGUUUUUUUUUAACGUGCAAUUUGUAUUGUCCCUAAACCAUAUAAAUUAACNNNNNNNNNNNNNNNNNNNNNNNNNNNNNNNNNNNNNNNNNNNNNNNNNNNNNNNNNNNNNNNNNNNNNNNNNNNNNNNNNNNNNNNNNNNNNNNNNNNNNNNNNNNNNNNNNNNNNNNNNNNNNNNNNNNNNNNNNNNNNNNNNNNNNNNNNNNNNNNNNNNNNNNNNNNNNNNNNNNNNNNNNNNNNNNNNNNNNNNNNNNNNNNNNNNNNNNNNNNNNNNNNNNNNNNNNNNNNNNNNNNNNNNNUUAGUUUAUAUAUAUAUAUAUAUAUAUUUCAAGAAUUAUAAAAAUGAUUUAACAUAUCAUGUUAUUACCUCUUUCCAACCAGUUUUAACACCUAGUCUUAUAAUGGUAAUCAUCCAUUGCAUAAUGUAAUAGCCACACUCAUAGCUUCCUGGUUGUUUAUUACACUAUAAUUCAAUAAAAAGUAAUAUGUUAGUAUAUUGAUAAACAAUGAUAAUAUAGAAAGAAAAAAAUUACAAACCUUUAUUCUUAUGUAGUUCAAAUUAUUUGAAUUGGAUCGACCUUUUAGGAUGUUAUAUCCACGCCAUGAAUUGGUUAAUACAAAAAACCUCAUUAGUAGAUGGUUAAUUAGUAACAAACAAAGUUAAAUUUAUACUGUACUUACAUAUCAAUGAUAUCCUUAAAUUUUGUGGGAAUCUUCUUGUGUAGGGAAUAGAACCACACAGUAGUCUUAUCAACCAUUGAUAAGACAAGAAACUGCCAAUGAUACCUAUAUCAUCCAUGAAAAGAGUUAGUAAAUAUUUAAAACAUGAAAUAGUAAUAAUUGAUGACAUAUAAUUAAACUUACUCAUUAAUAUAAGGGCAUAAAUAAAUUUGUUUUCCCUCUUUUUCCAGGGUGUUAGUGAUGUAUGCUUGAGUCUCAGUUGAGUUUGGUCCAACGGGAUUAGUAUAUGCAGGAUCUAAGAAUCCAUACACAUUUUCCUUCCCCUCAGUGAUACAGACUCUAUGCAAAAACCUACAAGUUUUUAGUUAAAACAUAAUCAAUAAUAAUUUAACAUAAAGUAAAUUGAAUAAUAGGUAAAGAUACUUACAUAAUAAAAAAUUGAAUUAUACUUAUAUUGAGCUCCUGAUUCCCAGGUAUAAAUUCUAAUAAAUCUGUGUUGUACAUCAUCAGUGGCCGUUCAGUGUUUAUUUGAGAAAAUGUAUCAUCCCACGGAACAGGAAAAGGUUCAUUACCAAUCUAACUAGCAAUGAGACCUAAUGAAGCUAUAAGAUUGUCAAUUGGAACCUCACGCUUCUUCUCCGAACUUGGUGCCCGAAAAGGUUUCUACAAGAUAAAGAACAUUUGUAUUAAAUUAUAUGUAACAUAGAAAUAUAAAUAAAAAAUAAUAUAAUGAAAUGAAAUUAUUACAUGAGGUUCAGGCAUAAAUCGAAUGAGGUCUCUGGGCCAGGCAACGAAUGUCUGAAAUGCAUCGGUCACAGUGGUUACCUCAUCUGAAGGUAGUGGAACACGAGCAUCAGGAAAUCGUACUUUUUCAACUGUUACCUUCGCCACAUCAGGGGAGAGAGGAACGUUAUGUAAGGUGGUGGCGUCUUGAUAGACUUUUCCAAGGGCCACCACCCGAGGAAGUUUGCCGCCCACUACUAGUAGCUCACAAUCCUUCGUCUGCCCAAUGAUAUCAUCCCCUGAUGUUGGAGGAGCCGCACAACUCCCCUUUGUGCUCUUAGGAGUGCGACUAACAAGGGGUUCAAUCAGCUCAGCACAAAGUUGUUGCGAUAGAAACUCUUGUCACAUUCGAUCAUUCUCCUUUUUCAUCUCUAGCUGCAUCAAAUCAAUCUCCUUUCUCAUCUCCUCCAUUAAUUCUUCACGUAUCUUAGUCUUCAAUUGAGUUUCGUUCUCUUUGGAGGAGGAGGAUGACUGUCGUUCUGAAACUCCAAAAUAUAGUUUAAUUCCAACCCCUUGUCCAGCUGUACGAACACGACCACAGUGCUCAGGUCGUCCAAUUGCUUCAACCAGGAUAUUGUGAUGACCUUCAACAACAAAUUUAUCGUCGGAUUCCAAGGAAUCCUACAAGAGUAGACAAAAAUCAUAUCAAUUUUUAAUAUAAUUAAUGCUUUAAAAUAAAUGAAAAUAACAAAAAUAGCUUACAAUUUUUUCGAUGAUAACCCCGGAUUACUCAGAACUUGGUGCACCCGACUUUUUAAUUCGGGCCCUCUUCCAUUUUACAUGGCGAAAAGGUGGUGAUGGAGGAGAAGUGACCCCUGUUUCCACAUUCUCAGAAAACGUCCCCUGUUUAGAUUGCUCAUUCUCAUUUUCCACCAUCAGUGCUUGCUCAAGUUUUCGAUACCCCGAACGAGACAUAAUGUGCGAGGUAACAUUCUUCAAAGCUAUCUCUUGAGCUUUCUUCCGACAAUUCUGUCAUAAUUGAAAUAAACAAAGUGAAGUAAAUAAGAUAAACUUAUUAAUGUUAUAUAAACAAAAAAUGUUAACCAUCCAAUCCUCAUUUUAACGACAUUCUUUAAAAAAACGUCAUGUCUCUUCAUCAAUAUGUUUGUACUUUAAACAUGGAUUUUCGUCUUUAAGGUCGCAAAGACCGUAUCUCGAAGUCAGUCUUGACUUAAAGGUACGAAAUUUAAUUCCGAUAUUGGAUAUAAUCUUUGAUCGAAGCGGUUCCACAUCAGGAAUUUCAAAGUUUGCCUGCAAAAUAACAUCAGCAAAUUAAAAUUAAUCAAUGAAUAUUAAAAAGCAUUAUAUCAAAAUGUUAAGCUUACCAGAACAUCCUCCCAGAUCAUAUUCCGGUCGACCUCUGACACCUCAUCCCAUGAAUUAAUCAGAAUGGAGAGCCUCUCACGAGAAACAACUCCAAGAUAGCUCAUAAACUCAUCUGCUUUAGGACCAAAAGCCACUCCAGUGUUGACGUCAAUGUCAACACGUGUCUUCUCACCAGCAGCACGGGAAUUGUCUAUUUCACUUGCUGCUUUGAUAGUAUCAUUUCUUUCAUUUGUAGUAUCCACUUCAAAAUAGUCAAUUAUUUUGGACACAAAUAUUACAUAUGGAAAACGAUAAUUAGGGACCCUUGUGGAUUUGAGCAUGUGUUCUACCAUGGUACUCACCCAAUUUACCUUGAGCUGAUUCAUUAUGCAGUAAAGCAAUAUCAAGAACAUCAUGAUUGAUUCUUCUAGGAGUGAGUUGCCAAGCAAUAAUGUGAGUUAAGAGUCUUGGAAUUAAAGUCAAAUUAUCUGCAUGAAACCUAGCCACUGGUUCAGUAGGAUUCCUCACACAACUUCUAUAAAACUGCAUUUUGUUGAACCCUUGAAUUGCAACAGUGUUCCCUUUGCUCACUUUCAGCCCUGAGUAUUUGAUUCCACCAACAUUGCUCCAGAUUUCUCUAGUGAUUUUUAGCUUUACUCCUUUCACAUAGGAGACAAAAUUCUUUCCAUCUUGUACAAGGUUGCUAUAGAACACCUUCACUAGGUCUGGAUAGACAUUUCUAGACAUUUCCAAAAAGCUUUUCAUUUUUUGAUGCUUGAGCAGAGUUUUUGCUUCUGUCAAAUUUUCAUCCCUUAGCCAUGAGAAUUACAACACCUUAGGUACAUUGAUUUUCUUUCUGCUUGUCUCAUGUAUGAACCUUGUCAUAACUUCAGAAUCUCUAGCAAACCAAUUUUCCAAAAUGCCUUGGUUGCUGUUAGGUUGCUCUUUGAACUUCUUCUUUUUGUGUGAAGAGGAUGCCAUUGCUUAAUCUGUUGUUACCUGCACCUAUUCACCAAUAGACAGUUCCAGCUAGAAAGAAACUUAGUACAUAAUUCAUAUGAUAGUCAACAGAGGAACCAAAACUAAUAAAACAUCAUAUUUGAACCUGGACAGCUUGUAGCAAGGAAGAGAAAGUAUGAGAUACAAUUGAUAUAAGCCAGAUUUAUAUAGAGCACAAAUCAAAUUUCAAAGAUCACGGGUUUUGAAAGCAAGAUCAAGAAAAACAGAUGCAGUACAUAUUUAAUUCUUAUGUAGUACAACAGGUGCAGUUUUGAAUGAUGCAAGAAUAUAUUGGAAACAUGUUUCUGCUUAGCAAAUCAAAUUUGUUGCAUAAUUAAAGUAUCAAAUCAAUUAGGAUUUCCACACAUGAAUGUCAUAAAUCUGCUGGUCAAUAAUCAUAAAAGUAGUCAAUGGUUAAGGAGAGAGAGAAAAGUAAUUAUUUCUCUUUCCUAGUCAUAGUUGUGAUUCUGAAACAGGAAAAACAACAUGUUAAAGCAUAAGAUAACAUAUUUAAAUCUUUACUGCAGUGGACAAUUUAAGCUAUUGAUACCCAAUUCUUUUAAUAGAAAAUAAAAUCUAUCUUUAGCAAGAGAUUUAGUAAACAAAUCAGCUAAUUGAAUUCAUUACCAAUGAAUUUAAUAUCACAAGUUCCAUUAGCUAUAUGCUCUCUUAGGAAAUGAUGUCUAAUUUCAAUAUGUUUAGUUCUUGAAUGAAUAGCAGGAUUCUUAGACAGAUUUAUAGUACUAGUAUUAUCACAGUUGAUAGGUAUCUUAUUUAAAAGAAUUCCAAAGUCACUUAGAUGUUGCCUUAGCCAUAGUGUUUGAGCUCAACAACUUCCAGCUGCUAUAUAUUCUGCCUCUGCUAUAGAAAGAGAAACACAUGCUUGUUUCUUGCAAUGCCAUAAGAUUAUACUUGACCCUAGCAUGUGACAAGUUCCACUUGUGCUCUUCCUAUCAACCUUGCAACCUGCAAAAUCAGAAUCUGAAAACCAGUCAAGUUUAAGGAAACAUUGUUUGGAUAACAUAGUCCAACAUCUUUAGUCCCUUGCAAGUAUUUCAGAAUCCUCUUAGCUGCAUUGUAAUGUGAUUCCUUUGGAUCAGAUUGAUAUCUAGCACAUAAACAUACAACAAAUAUAAUGUUAGGCCUAUUAGCAAUUAAGUAUAAUAAGGAACCAAUUAAACCUCUGUAUUUUGAUUGAUCCACUGAUUUUCCUGCACAAUCUUGAUCCAGUUGGCAGCUUGUUGAGAUUGGAGUGUUGAUUGCUUUGCAUUGAUCCAUAUCAAACUUCCUAAGCAACUCCUUGCAGUACUUUGCUUGAUUUAUGAAAAUUCCAUCCUUGAGUUGUUUCACUUGCAAUCUAUGGAAGAAAUUCAUUUCUCCUAACAUUGACAUCUCAAAUUCACUUUUCAUUGCUUCUACAAAAGCUUCACACAUUUCUUCAUUUGUUGAUCCAAAGAUGAUAUCAUCAACAUAGACUUGCACAAGUAUAAUGUCUUCUCUUUUCUUCUUUAUGAACAAGGUUUUGUCAUAGGUGCCACAGUCAUAACUUUGAGAAAGCAGAAACUCACUUAGCCUCUCAUACCAUUGUCUAGGUGUCUGCUUUAAACCAUAAGUGCCUUCUUGAGCUUGUACACAUGCUCCAGAUUUUUGUAGUCUUCAAAUCCUGGAGGCUGAGAGACAAACACUUCUUCAUUAAUAUAUCCAUUCAAGAAUGCACUCUUAACAUCUAUUUGGAAUAACCUGAAUCCUUUUAUGCUUGAAAAUGCUAAGAGUAAUAUGAUAGCUUCAAGUCGUGCUAUUGGUGCAUAGGUUUCACCAAAAUCUAUUCCCUCUUCUUGGUUGUAGCCUUUAGCAAGCAGCCUUGCUUUAUUUCUGGUGAUAGCCCCAUGUUCAUCCAUCUUGUUCCUGUACAUCCAUUUGGUUCCUAUGAUAUUCAUUGCAUGUGUUCUUGGAACUAAGGACCAUACUUCAUUGUAUUCAAACUGAUUUAACUCUUCUUGCAUAGCUGCUAUCCAGUUGCUGUCUUGUAGUGCUUCCUCCAGAUUUUUAGGCUCUACUUGUGAAACAAAGGUCAUUGUCUUGCAGAAAUUGUUAAGAGAAUUCCUUGUUGAGUCUCCUUUCUCAAUUUUCCCAAUUACAUUGUCAAGUGUGAGAUCCCUAGGAGUCUUCCACUCUUUAGGAAAUCCUGCAUUCACAACUUAUUCUUUGCCAGCACUUGAAUUAGUUGCAUCAGGAUCAAUAGAUUGAUUCUUUUGUAGAAUAGUUCUUAAAUCAUCCACACCAGGUUCAUCCAAAACAGAUUUAGGCACAAUACAAUCAGAUUCAUCAAACACCACAUGCAUAUACUCUUCCACAGUAAGCAAUCUUUUGUUAUACACUCUGUAAGCAUGUCCAUUAAUAGCAUAGCUAAUAUGUAUCCCUUCAUCAGAUUUAGGAUCAAAUUUGCCCAGAUUAUCUUUUCCAUUAUUCAGAAUAAAAUAUUUGCAACCAAAGACCCUAAGAUGACUAAUGCUAGGCUUCCUACCUUUAUACAGUUCAUAUGGAGUUUUCUUAAGAAUAAGUCUAUUAAAAGUUCUGUUAAGCACAUAAGAAACAGUGUAUAUUGCAUCUGCCCAGAAAUAUUUAGGUAGAUUAGAUUCAUUUAACAUGGUCCUAGCUAAUUCCUCUAGUGAUCUAUUCUUCCUUUCAAUUACACCAUUUUGUUGGGGUGUCCUAGGAGCAGAAUAACUAUGUAUGACCCCAUGUUUUUCACAGAACCUAUCAAACUUUGCAUUUUGAAACUCUCCCCUAUGAUCACUACGAAUCUAUUUUAUGUUUUUUUCAUUUUCAUUAUGCAGAACCUUAGCCAUUUUCUUAAAAGCUUUAUAUGCAUCAUUUUUAGAAGCAAGAAAGAGAGUCCAUGUAUAUCUUGAGAAAUCAUCAACAAUUACCAAAGCAUAGAAGUUUCCAGCUAAACUAGCAGUCCUAGAAGGUCCAAACAAAUCCAUAUGUUGAACAUCAAAAGCUUUAUUUGUAGAAACCACAUCCUUUGUUUUAAAAGAAGUUCUUAUUUGUUUACUCUUUACCCAUGCAUCACACAAUCUGUUAUUUUGAAACUUUAUAUUUGGUAAACCAGAAACAAUAUCCUUAGACUUCAACUUAUUCAAGUGAUUAGUAUGGAUAUGAGCUAACCUCCUAUGCCACAACCAAGACUCAUCACUUUUUGAUAGCAAACAUUCAUUUUCAGAGCAACUAUUCAUAAUAUCUAAGAGAUAGAUGUUGUUUACCCUUCUACCCGUGAACAACACCUUACCAAAGGUUUCGCUUGAAAUUGUAUAGGUGUUGGCUUCAAAAUUAACCUUGUAGCCCUUGUGACGCAGUUGGCUAAUACUUAGAAGACUAUGCUUUAGUCCUUCCACAUAUAACACAUUCUCAAUUGUGGUUGAAUCUUUAGUACCAACAUUUCCUCUUCCGAGAAUUCUUCCUCUAUUGUUGUCUCCAUAUGUGACAUGCCCCUCAGCUUUAAGUUUCAGACUUGUGAAUUGAGCCAAAUCACAAGUCAUAUGCUUUGAACAUCCGCUAUCCAAGUACCACUGGUUUUUCCUGCUGUUUUUCUGCAAAACAGAUUUAACACAUAUGGUACCCCUCUUUAGUCUAGGGUCCAGCAUGAUUAAUGCCUUUCCUUAGGAAGCCAUUUGACCAAUCCUUUAGGAAAAAGGUACCUUCUAGCUUUACAUGUUCUAGAGAUAUGUCCAAAUUCCAUACUGUAAAAGCAAGGUGCAGUAUGCAUUAUAUUUGAACGGUUAAAAGAAGAAAAACCUGUUUCGGAAGGAACAAAAAAACUGGACAGCUUUUUCACAUUGUUCUUUAUUCCAGGAUUAUAUCCUAGCCCAUUUUAUUAAAAACAGCAUUUUGAGAUCCCAAUAAUGUUUCAAAAUUUUCUCUACCUUUGGUGAAAUUUGAUAAGGUUUUCAGCAAAUAUUCAACUUGUUUUUCCAACUUCUUACAAUUUUCACAGGUUUUUAUAGAUGCAUGCAAACAUGUCAAUUCAAGUCUAACCAAAUUAGUUUUAGCUUUAUGUAAUUCUUCCUUAAGUGACUUAACCUUAGGUUCAAGUACCCUAUUUACUUUGUUCAGUUUGUUACAUAUGACAGCCAAUCUGUUUGCUUCAUCAUGUGUUUCCUUAAAGGCAAUUAACAGCUGAUCAUAACUUUCAGAAUUAGUGGAAAAGUCACUCACCGAAUUAGAGAUUGAUCCUUCAUCAUUCACCAUAAAGAACAUAUUUGCUUCUUCACUUCCAGUUGAGGAGUCACUUGUUGAGGAUACUUCAUUUUCUUCCCAAAAGAUAUAUGUUAUUUUUCCUUUGCCUCUUUCACUCUUCUUAUUUGCUGGUUUUUCUUUGUUUUGAUUGUUUGGACAAUCAAUCUUUAUGUGACCUGGUUUACCACAACCAAAGCAAGUAUAACUAGAAGAAUUUGAGUAAUUGGAUUUUGAGUACCUUUUUCUUUGUUGAAUUCUAUCUCGGUUCAUCCUUUUAAGAAAUCUAUUGAAUUUUCUGAUAAGCAGACUCAAGGUCUCAUCAUGUUCAGGAUUCUCCUCUUCCUCACUUGUAUCAUGUUCCAUUGUAGUCUUCAAGGUAAUUCCUUUGGCUCUUUUCUCCAUUGUUUCUUGUUUUUUCAAUCUUUUGAGUUCUAACUCAUGCUCCAUCAAUUUUCCAAACAAUGCAGCAGUGGACAUCUUGGAUAAAUCUCUGGAUUCAGAGAUUGUUGUUACCUUUGGCUGCCAACUCCUAUCAAGGCAUUUCAGCACCUUUAUGUUGAGCUCUUCCUUGUUAAAGACCUUACCAAGACCAGUGAGAUGAUUUACAAUAUGUAUAAACUAUUUAUGCACAUCUGCAAUGCUCUCUUCUAAUUGCAUCCUGAAAAGUUCAUAUUCUUGAAUGAGUGAGUGCUUCCUUGCUUGUUUCACAUCAUCCGUGCCCUCAUGAGUUACUUCUAGUACUUCCCACAUCUCCUUGGCCGAGUUGCAUUGAGAUACUCUAAAGAAUUCAUCCAUAUUCAAUGCAGAGGUAAUUAUGUUCUUGGCUAGGGAGUCAUAUUGAGCCUUCUUCUUUUCACUUUCACUCCAAUCAGACUAAGGCUUCAUUACUGUUUCUUCUUUGAUAACCUGCAUAGGCACAAAAGGUCCACUGACCACUGCAUCCCAAAUACCCAUGUCAAUAGAUUCCAUGAAGAUUUUCAUUCUAAUUUUCCAGAAUGCAUAAUUCACACCACCAAAUAUUAGAGGUCUAUUAAUAGACGCACCUUCAGCAAAAGGCAUUAAACUUAGACAUAAUGCACACACUUGAGUAAAAUACAAGUCCUAGCUCUUGAUACCUAUUGUUGGGUUUAUUAGUGUCUAAGUUCAAAAGGGGAGGGGUGAAUUGAAGCUAUAAAAUUUUCACAAUACACACUGGUUUACAAUAUAUCAAGAGAAAAUGAACAAUUUGAUUUUAAAAGGAACAAAUUGAUUCUUCAAAACACUUUAACACAAUCAGAACUUAUUCAUAUUAAGACUGCGAUCAAACAGGAAAGGUUGACAAAACCAGAUUGGUUACUCCAAGAAACCCUAUCAAGGACUGACUAACACAACCACCUUUACAAACAAGAAUUAAAGGAAGGAUAACACCUGAAAGAAGAUGCAAAAACAAAAACUAGUUGUCCCAAUUGCAGCAAAAACAGUACCAACACCUUCACCAAGAUCAAGGUUUUCCUAGAACAAGCACACUUGAAGAUCUCUUUGAAAAACCUUUCAAAAACGCAUUCCAAUCCUUUUUCUCACACAGAAAAUGUUUAAUCUUUGUUAAGACUGUGAUUGCUCAACAACCUUUCAUGUGAGAAAAGCUUUUCAUUAUAUAGAAAUAAGUUUCUAACAACUUUUCAUAAAACAGUUAAAAAGCUGUUAUAAAAACAACAAAUUGAAUUUAAAACUAACAAAUUAAUUUUUUAGGAAAACUGCUAGCUAAGCUUAACCAAAAUAAUUAACUGAUUUGUACUUUUGGUUCCCUAACAGAAUUUCGAAAAUCCUUUCAGCAGAACAAAAUUAAACCUAUUGUUUUUCAAGCAAAUAGAUUUAUUUUUUUGCAGUAUUCUGAUUCUUGAGAAAACUCUAAAAAGCUUUUUGAAAAACAUUUAACCACUUCAUGUGCUUGAUCUUUCCCCCUUGAUUAGGCAUCUAGGAUAGGUCAUGUAGCAAAAGGCAACCUGAAACCCACACUAGCCUAAAAACAAGAUCAACUAAAACACAUUACAAUCUUCAAAGCAAACUAACUAUUUUCUACAACAAACUCACACUAAGACUAUGUAGAGAAGAAACUUCAUCCAUCUUCAACAAUCCCCCCCUGUUUGAUGGAGACAAAUCCCUUUUGCUUUGCAUAGCUUUCAAGGAAAGUCAUGAUCAAUACCUGUACUGCACUAGGUUCCAGUAUAUGCAUAAAAAACUGUUAGAUGUAAAACAGAACAUAACAUAUUUGAGUAUUGUUAUACCUCCUUGAAGGUUUAAUACUUGAACCACAUCAACAUACAUGAGCUAUUCUUCAACUAUCAUAACCUAUAUCAAGCUAUUUUCCUUCCAAUUUGGAUUCAUCAAACAGAAUGGGAGCAUGGAAGAAAAGAAACACACCAUAGCCAUACAUGAUAGUUCAACAUAAAACAACAUAAAGUUCUAUUACAAACAGGAAACAAAACAUAACUAGUGCAGAAAAUCAGAAACCAAAUUGUUCAACAGAGACUUGGGUCUCCAUUAAUUCUUCACCUUCUUCACCCAACUUCUUUUGCACCCAACUUCCUUUUUACCGAACUUCUUCCUCACCAUUAAUUUACCUACAUUUCUCACUCACUCUUCUAAAACAUCUCCUUUUCUCCCUUCCCUUUAUUUAUUCUCUUCUCCCUCUUACUGUCCUAAAGGAAUGUCUCCCAUCCCUUUUUUCGCUUUCACCUCUCUCAAUUUCUAGUUGUUCACAGGGAACAGAGAUAUACGUAGAUGUGUAGGUGGAGGGAGCAGAAUCAUCAUAAUCUCAAGGGAUGAACAUAUAUUGAAGACACAUAAAGUGGAUGAUGUUUAUCAAGUCCAACCGUUGAGGGAAAAAAAUGCUAUGCAGUUGUUUUGUAAAAAUGCUUUCAAAGUUAAUUAUAUAUUGGGUGAUUAUGUAAACUUGGCAUGUGACGUACUUUUUCAUGCUCAAGGCCAUCCCUUGGCAAUUGAAGUAAUUGGGUCAUCUUUGUUUGGUCGAAAUGUCUCACAAUGGAGAAGUGCAUUGGAUAGGCUAAGACAUAACAAGGAUAGAAAUAUUGUGGAUGUUUUACGUAUAAGUUUUGAUCACCUAGAAGAAGACAAAAAAGAAAUAUUUUUAGAUAUUGCAUGCUUCAUUGCUGAUAAUAUUCAUGGUAAGGGUGAUGUGGAGAAAUUCUUAAGCUUUCAUGGAUUUGAUUACGCAAAUGGCAUACUAGCUGUAAUUGAGAAAUCUCUAAUAACAUGUGAAUAUGGGGAUAUUUGUAUGCAUAGGUUGUUGAUGGAUUUGGGGAAGAGUGUUGUUAGAAAAAAUCACCUAACAAGCCUCUAAAGUGGAGUAGGUUGUGGGAUUACAAAGAUUUCGAGAAAACUAUGUUAGAGAAUUAGGUAAAAUUAAUUGAGUCAGUAUAAAUCUUACAUUGCCAUUUUUUCUAGAAUAUGAAAACUCUUCGAAAAGUAUUAUAAUGUUAUUCUUUCUCUGUAAUGUUGUAGGCAACUGAAAAUCUUGAAGUCAUAUAUAUUGAAAAGUAUUGGCAUGAAGAGAGUGUGAGGGCAGAUGGUCUAUAAAAAAUUAGACACCUUAACUUGCUUCAUCUUAGGGAUGUGAAAUUUUCAAGAAGUCUCAAUCAUCUUUUGAAUGAACUAGCAUAUUUUAAUUGGAGGGAAUAUUCUUUUAAAUGUUUGCCUCAAAGUUUUCAACCAGAAAAACUAGUCGAGUUACACCUUUUUGGGAGCAGUAUCAAACAACUAUGGAAAGGCAUAAAGGUAAUGUGUAUUAAUUUUUCUAUUUUUUUUAAAUAAACCAAAUAAAUGACAAACAAUGUCUUUUAGUUUCCUUUUUUCUUUAACUAAUUAAAGAAAAUCCAAAUUUCAUUAUUAAUUUUGUCUUAUAUUUGCUAAUCACUGUAGCCAUUGCACAAUUUAAAGCUUUUGAAUCUCUCUUUCAACAAAUAUCUAGUUGAGAUGUCGGAUGUUAGAGAGGCCCUAAAUCUUGAAAGGAUAUAUCUUGAAGGAUGCAUAAAGCUCGAAAAACUAAAUCCAUUGAUCGGUCUUUUGAGAAGUCUUGCUAUUUUGAAUUUGAGAAACUGCAAAAACCUAGUAAGCUUAUCCAAUACCAUAUUGGGGCUGUAUUCUCUUGAAUAUUUGAAUGUCUCUGGAUGUUCAAAACUGUAUAAUAAUGAGUUAUUAGAUGAACAAAGGAACACAAGGCAUUUGAAGAAGCUUUGUUUAGCAGAAGCUCCUAUUCUUUCCCAGUCAACAUCCUUUUUCAUAAACAAAAUGUUGUUGCGGCCUUCAAAUUUGUUGUUGCCUUCCAUUCCUACUUUCCCUUGUUUGCUCACUUGUUUGCGUGAACUCGAUCUAAGCUUCUGUAACUUAAUUCGAAUCCCUGAUGCCAUUGGGAAGUUAAGGUGCCUUGAACGGCUAAAUUUGAAGGGAAACAAUUUUACUAAACUUCCUAACCUGCAUAACCUUGUCAGAUUGUAUCAUUUAAACUUACAACAUUGCAAACAAUUCACACACUUGCCCGUUCUCCCUUUGCAAACCGAAUGUUCCUCAGAAAUUUUCAAGCUUCCACUAUCAUAUUACAAAGAUGAAGAUCUGGUAGGAUUAAUGAUUUACAACUGCCCAAAAUUAGUUGAGAGGGAACACUGUACUAGCUUUAUUUUUUCGUGGAUGAUUCAAAUUUUUCAGGUGUGCAUGCUCCUUCCUUCCUCUUCCCUUCUUUUAAUCUUUUUUUUCCGAAAACAGAUACUGACGCUUAAGUUUGUAGUCUUUUGAGGCGAGGUGCUUCGAAAAUAGGCAAUUUAAUUUCAGGACUCCAUGUGUUGGAAGUGUUAUCCCAGGAAGUGAAAUACCGAGGUGGUUCAACAAUCAGUUUGUGGUGAGCAUGGACAAUUCAAUAAGGAUUGAUGUCUCUCCUCUUAUGCAUGAUAAUAAUUGUAUUGGUGUUAUCUGUUGUGCAAUAUUCCAUAUUGACUUUGGUGGGAGUUAUGAUAAAGUUAUAUAUCAUAAAGCUAAAAUUCCUCCAGUCGAUUUGAGAGGAGAUCUAGUCAUUGACCAGUCAUAUCAUUUGUGGCUAUUUUAUUUGUCUCGUCAAGAGUUUUUUGCAGAACAUUGUAAUUGGAGAUGGUACUCAUUUCAUAAUGGUGUUAUUGGUAUGGAAUUUAGGGAAUUGAUCAGGGACUGGAGCCAAAUCGGCUCGAUAGAAAAGCAAUAUGUUAAGGCCUAUAUAAAUAAAUAUGGGUAUCGGUGGGUAUAUGAGAAAGAUCAACAACUACCAAACACAGGUACUUAUUAUUACUACAUAGAUUCAUUUUAUUUUUGUUUUCUUCUAUUGUGUCUUACAAUGCAUUUGAGAUUUGGAUCCACAAAGUUAUUGUCCUGUGCUGCAACAUGUGAGGGAGUUACUAACUUCACUAUUUAAUAAGAGCUCAAAUAACAACAAAGUCUAUUUUAGUAAUAAGAUUAUAAAGAAAAUGAACCAAAAAUACUCUUUAAGAUCAUCAUACUUGCUCCAUGCUGAGUGUGGAGCCUUUUCAUGUCUGUUUUUCCUAGCUUCCUAGAUUAAUCAACAUGCUACAAAAAUCGUUGAUGAAGGUACGUGAGGUAUUAUCAUUAUGUCAUGAGAGACCAAAUCUUACCUUUUCAAUUACUCGAGUACAAAGGACUUAUAACAUUGCAGAGGAAUGCCUCAUUAUCCCUUGUUUUGUAAAAUUCAUUGUUUUAGUUAGUGCAGUGAGAUAAUCUGAAAUGAACAAAGAUUAAGGAAAAAAGGUGUCUAUUGUGAUUUUUAUAAUAGUUUAUCUCAUACACUAGUGCAAAUUGGCGAAUGACGAUGGUUAAUAAUGAUAGUUUUUGGUUAAUCACCGUAAAAGAAGAUGUCUUGGCAGAGUGGUGAAUAAAUCAAAGUUUCAACAACGAUUUUAAUCUAAAUCGUUGCUAAAAAUGGUGAAAUAAAUUAAAGAAAGACGAUUUUUGAAUGGAUUGUCGAUGAAAAAACAAAAAAGGUAAUGACUUUUAGAUGAUCAAUUUCUAACAAGUUCGUUUAACUACAAAUGGAAUGAAUUUGUUUGAUAAUUUGUGUACUAAUCACAAUUCGUAGUCUGUUUUCAAUCACCAAUUUACUAGUUAUUUAUAACUUACUUCCUAGAUUGAACACCUUGGUCGUGUGCAUAUUGCAAAAUCAAGGGUGGACUUCCCACAAUUCUUUGGAACAUCUUGACACGAGUACUUUUCUAAGGCAUUUAGCCAAGAAGCUAAUUUAAAAUUGAGGUAGUAGAUCACGUAGGAGUUAACAUGGGAGGUUACUCAAGAGGUGAGGCAAGAGCUUAUGUAGCACCUAGAGACCUUAAGUCUUUCACAACACAACUCUUGCACAGAAGACCUUUGUGCCUCCCACAAUUACAGUUAGCGCAAAGAUGUUGAACAAGGUGCUUUGAUGUCUCCAUAUCCAAGAGGAAUGCUUGAAGACCUUGUUGUUGGUUGUGUGUGUGUCUAGAAGUCUUUGAAUUUGUUAAUCCACUCUUUAAGAUGAUCCAAGGUUAAUUAAAUCUUAUUCCUUUUUAAAAAGAUGAGUUUUCUAAAGAGUGUGAAAUUUCAACCUGUUGAAAUGUCGAUUCAACCUGUUGUUUGACGCUUAGUGGAUUUUGAAGAGAGUUUGAAAAGCUUGGCUUUGUUUGAUUUUGUUGUCAAACUAAUUCAACUGGUUGUUUUUUUGAAAACCGUAACAGAUUUCUGUUAAGUUGUACCAAUCUGUUUUAAAUGAUUCAAACUGCUUUUGGUUCUUGAAUUAAAUUCUUUGACCAUAUGAUUGGAGUAAGGUUGUUUUAUGCUCCUGGUCAUUAACUCAGAAAGAGAGAUAAAUCAAAAUCAAUUUUCAAGAUUUCAAAGAGCUUUUGGAUCAUCUCAAGUGUGGAAUAUGAUUGUCUUGUAAUUCUGAAUUGUAAUCUUUGAUUUACCCAGGUAUAUUCUAUUCCCUUCUUCCUUAAACAUUGUAUUUGCAUGUGUUCUGGUGUGGUGCAGUUUCAAAAAGUGUGUUAUGGAAACUGUGUGGUUUGCCAAGAGUGGUGUGUUCUUGAAGGGUUCAAGAUUAUCAUUCUUGGUGUGUUGUUUGUAAUCUAGGGUUUAUUACAUAGUGAAUUCUCACUAGUUAGCUAAGAACUGGAUGUAGAUUUUGGUAAAGAGUGAACCAGUAUAAACAUCUUGUGUGAAUCUCUCUAUCCUUACACUCAUUAAACUGCUUUAGCUUUGAUUUUCUAAACUCCUGAUAUAAACAACCGGUUGUUUCGUAAAAACAACUCGUUGAUUUUCUGGAAUCAAACUAAAAACAGUUUUCUUUUUGGUUGAACAGUUUUCUAAUUGGUUGAUUCUUCAUAGUCUUUCACUCUACCUUCAAUACUUGCAAAAAUAUUUCAAAAAUAAUUCAUCCCCCUCUUUUUAAAGGCCUUUAAUUCUAACAAUUGACAUUAAGAGUUGAGUUCUUGAAAGUUACUAAAGUUUCAAUCCUAAAACCUUUUUAAAAUGGCUGAAAAACUACCCUUUGGGGAGGGUGCUUCUAUUAACAGGCCACCUCUGUUUUGUGGAUUGAAUUAUCAAUUUUGGAAGGUUAGAAUGAAAAUCUUUGUUGAAUCAAUUGAUAGAGGAAUCUGGGAUGCUAUUGUAAAUGAUCCUUUUGUACCUAAGCAUGAAAAGAUGAUGUUUUCAUUGGAAAACCUUGGUUCCAAUGGACUGAGCUUGAAAAUAAAAAGGCUCAAUAUUAUUGCAUUGCCAAGAACAUCACCUCUGUCUUAAAUUCUUAUGAGUUUUUCAGGGUAUCACAAUGUGCUUCUACAAAAGAGAUGUGGGACAUCCUUGAGGUUACCCAUGAAGGCACCACUAAUGUGAAGAGGGCAAGGAAGCAUGCCUUGACCCAAGAAUAUGAAAUGUUCAGAAUGUUAAAGGGGGAAACCAUCUCAGAUGUGCAGAAAAGAUUCACCCACAUUGUGAAUCUUCUCAUCAGCCUUGGCAGGAUCUUUGAAAGGGAGGAGCUGAACAUCAAGAUCCUCAAAUGCUUGGAUAGAUCAUGGCAACCAAAGGUCACUGCAAUUUCUGAAUCAAAGGAUUUCACAACCUUGACCACAACCUCCUUUUUGGUAAGCUAAGAGAGCACGAACUUGAGAUGAACUGACUGAAUGACCAAGAACAUGAAGAAAAGCAUGUGAGAAGCAUUGCUUUAAGAGUUGUUGGUCAUAAAGAUGGUCAAGACUGAAGUGAGGACAAUGAUGGUGAGACCCCCAACUUGCUCACAAGAAAGUUUAGCAAAUUCUUUAAAAAGAACAAUCGGGACAAGAACCAAUCUUCAAACAUGUAUAAUAGUAAGAAAGUGAAUAAAUUCAAUUCUACAUACUAUACUUGUUUUGGAUGUGGUAAACAGGGUCAUAUCAAAGCCAUUUUUCCAAAUAUUGAGAGUAAGGAGAGAGGGGCAAGCAAGAAGAUUGAAAGGAAGGGCAAAGCAAAAAGAGCCUACCUGACUUCGCAAUAUAAUGAUGAUUCUUCCUCAAGCUCAUCAUUAAAGGAAGAUGAACAGGAAAAUCUGUGUUUUAUGGUAAAGGAAGAAUAAAAAAACAAGUAGUGUAAGUUUUGACACUUCCCUAAACUUUGAAAAUUAUAACAAACUUCUUGAUGCUUUCAAAAAGACUCAUAAAGAAGUUAAUAUAUUGACCCUUUUGAACAACCGCGUGAAAGGCUUAAAUAAUUGGUUGGAAAACAUAGUCAAGACCUUGGAAGAAGAGUUGAGACAUUCAAAAACUGAUUUUGAAAACCUUUAAAUGAUUUACAAGAACUCUUCUUACAAGUGUGACUCUAGCUUUUGUAAAAAUUCUAUAAAAAUACCCUUUUUGGAAUAGUGUAGUGCAUCGAUUGCAAUUAUUUUAAAAAAAAUAAAUCAAUCAGUUAUAAAUUAAUCAAAUUUAUAUGAAUUGGCUAGACUUACAAAUAAUCAAGGAUUAAUAAAUUUUGGUUGAGAGAAAUAAAAACGUUUUCUGUAUUUUAAUUCUUUUUUUAAUAAAUUUAUAUUAAAUUCAAUGUCAAUUGUUUUACUUAUUCCAAAUUAUCAAGUAAUUAAAAAUUAUAUUUAAUUACUAUCAUAAAUAAAAGAAAACUCAAUAAAUUUUUAUACAAUUUUUACUUAUAAAUUUUAUAUAAUUUUUUUACCAAAUAAAAAAAAUUAUAAUUUUAGUAGAGGUUUAUUCAGUGGCCCGUUUUUCUUCUUUCCCUCUCCUUCUAUUUUCACCUUCCACCUCACCACCACCAUCAUUUACCGACUAUAUUCUUUCUCUUCUUGGUUGGGUUGAGUGUGGGGAGCAAGAGAAUGGAGAAGAAAAAGACUCGGAGGGUUAAGGGAAGGAGACAAUCACGAAGCUCCAAGAACAAGUAGCUGAGGCAGAAUGUUGUUGCACAGAUCUCGGGAAGAAGAUAAUGACGGUGUUGCAUGCCAGGAAGAGUGCGAAGGGACAUCAUGAGAAUGAGAGGGUUUUCGAUAAGAGUUAUGUGAUGUGGCCUUUGAAUUUGGUUAACCACGGUGCUGGUUUCAUCGGAAACCCCAAAACCCCUUGCCUCCACGAUUCCCUUUCCGAAUCCAAGGUUGAGUCUCUAUCCAUGGAAUUGUUGGUAUGUUUCAAUUUUAAGAAGUUGCCAAUUUGAUCAGAUUUUUUAUAUCUUGCGUUUUUGUUUGACUUGUCUUUGUUCGUGAGGAUUUUAUUUGAGGGAAAUGGGUUCAUGUUUACUUGCAAGGGUAUAGAUUCAAAGAAACGGUGCAUGCUUAUUUUUCGGUAACGAGAAUGAUACAAAAGAGAGGUCAUUAUAAUUUUUUUAUUAAGUUAAUUGAAUAAUGAUCAGGGAUUUAAAGGUUGGAAUGCUCUGCUGUUGAAAACCGAUGGUAUACCUAGAUAGCUACCAAAGAGGAAAUUUCGUUUAACGUACCAAAUGAACCUCUUUAACACAAUUAUGCAGAUAAUUUCUGAAGUUCCUCACUUCUUCUUUGUUGUGCCUGUGAUUGCAGGCACUAAGUGACUCUUGUACCAUCCCGUCCCCGGGCGUUGACCAGAAGUCAAGGUCACACGCAUGGUGGGACCCCUCAAGGGACCCAAGGAAGGAAAAGUCAACAGGUCGACCACUCACGACGUCGCCAAAGUAAGACGUCGCCCUAAAGUAAGACGUCACCCUAAAGAAAGAUGUCGCCCUAAAGAAAGACAUCGCCCAAGAGAGACGUCGGGCCUCGACAGUCCAGAACAGUAGCAAAGUGAAGAGAAAGGUGGCUUCAAGACCACACGUGCAUGGUACGAGAGAAAGGAAGUUACACCACCAGGGCAAGUGAUCAGUGAUUGGGGUACAUGAGUUGGCACCCAAAAAAGUCAACCCACGUGACAGAAGCACUUCGUAGAAAAGAGGGCUCACACGAUGGAAUAACCCUAAGUUGGGUGGCGGCACUAUGGGACCCUCUGCACAGAAUAACGAUCAAGUCAGAGGGACACGUGGCAGUGCCCACGUACUCAUUAAAGGUUUCAAGGGAAGUUUGUCAAGGUACGCGUUAAGUAAGUUAAGAUUCGUGUAUUCCAAGGAAUGUUUUUAUACGCUUUCAAUGCGCUUUAAUGCGCUUUAACGAUGAAAGAUGUAUAAAAAGGGACCUUGGGAGCAUUUGAAAGGGAGAGAGUUUUGACCUAAUUCUCAUAAUCACACAGAGCACAAACCCUAAUUGUUCUUGACGGGGCACCCAACUGUGAGCACGAGGCAAUUAGGGCAACGCAGUUCUAGUUACACAAUUUCAGUCAUUCAGUAUAGUUCUCGACCACCUUCAGAGGGUGUGUCACCUCUUGAUGUUUCUUGCUAGCUGACUUGAUUGUCGAAGUGCAAACGGCCGCGAGGGCGCCCCUUUGUUCACUUCGUUUUUAGGUACCCAUAGACGAAGCAAAACGAAGGUGCCCUAGCUUGCGAGGACAAGCCACGCGCAAAGACGAUCCCGGUCAACCGGCGGGAACAUUUGGCGCCCACCGUGGGGCCGAUAUAAACAUCACUCCCACUGCACACCUUUUUCAGUUCCAGUUCUCAAAACCCAGACAAGUAGGAGGGUUUCCGGAAAGUCAUGGCAACUAGACUUGCACGCGCCAGGAGUGAAGAGAUGACCAUGCAACAACUCAUGGGCAUGAUGCAAGGGCUGCAUGAAGCAAUGGCAGCGUCGAAAGCGGAGCAGGAGCGCAUGCAGGCGGAUCUCCCAGCUUCUCAGGCGAGAAACGAUGAGCUCCACCGUGCCAACGAGGAGUUACGCCGUGGAUGGCGUGGCGGAGACGAGCCUGAGGCUGCCUGCCCACCUAGAGAAUUCACAACACCAUUCUCACAGGCGAUCCUGGAGACAGCGAUCACGAAUACGUUCACAGGGCCCAAGGUAACCUUCACAGGGAUGGAGGAUCCUGAGGCACACCUCACUGCGUUCCACUCACAGAUGUUGUUGGUUGGCGGUUCUGAUGCCGUAAGGUGCAAGCUCUUUAUGAGCACUCUAACUGGGAUGGCUAUGGAUUAGUUCAUCAGCCUCCCAGAGGGUCACAUCACGUCUUUCGCCCAGCUCUCGCGACUAUUCAGAGAGCAGUAUUUAGCCAACAAGGCCCCAGCCCCAGUCUCGUACGACCUUUUCGACGUGAAGCAAUUUCAAGGUGAGACCCUUAAGGAAUACAUAAGCCGCUUUGGGGCACAAGUGGUGAAGGUGGGUACCACCGAUGAACCCAUGAUUGUGUACACAUUCAGGAAGGGGGUACGACCCAGGUCUUUUGGUAAGUCGCUUAACUGCAAGCUUCCCAAAACCUUUUCUAAAGUAAGGCGACAAGUGGUAGAGCACAUUGUCUCAAAGGGCGAGGCAUACGAGAAGUGCAUGCCUGCUGCACCUGCGCGACCAAUGGCGCAGAUACGCACGCAACCUGCUAGGGUUCACGAAGUUGCCACAGAAAGAAAGAACCCAGACAGGAAGCGCAUCUACGAGACAAGGAGGACCCAACCUAGGGGUCGAGCAGAAGGAAGGAGAGAGGGAAGUAGGCCACUAAGGCACAACUUUGUGGUGGAGCUCAAAGACCUCAUCGUUGUGCCCAACAUAGCUGAAAGGUUGAGGCCACCGGUAAAAUCUGACAAGGUGCUGGGACCUCACAAGGAAUCAUGGUGCGAAUUCCACGAAGCAUUCGGGCACCAUAUUAACAACUGUUUGGCGUUGGGCUACCAGUUGGAUGAACUUGUAAAGAAUGGCUUCUUGAAGGACUACUUGGUGGAGAAGCAGACGGGACAAUCGUCAGGUUCACAACCGGAGAGAAGUGAGAGACAGCAGCACGAGGUACCCAUUCACGACGAGGUCCACACCAUAGUUGGUGGGUUCUCGGGCGGUGGGUGUACCGCGUCACAACGCAAGAGGUAUGCAAGGUCCGUGAUGUCAGUAGAAGCUUUUGAGGAUCACUCACCCGAUGUGGACAUCACGUUGACCAAAGAAGACCUCAGGGAUGUUGUGCCCCACGACAACGAUCCCAUUGUAAUCUCGUUUGUUAUGGCGGGAAGGAUGGUCCAUCGAGCGUUGGUCGACCAGGGGAGCUCGGCAGAUGUGAUGUUUUGGCCGACUUUCGAAAAUUUACGGCUAUCUCCAAACCAGCUGAGGCCAUAUGGGGGCUACUUAUACGGUUUCGCUGGUGAUCAAGUGGAGGUCAGAGGGUACAUUGAGUUAAGGACGACGUUCACAGACGGAGCGGCCUCGCGCACAGAGAAGAUCAGAUACCUCGUCGUGAACGCUCCUUCGACAUACAAUAUCCUGUUGGGAAGGUCGACACUCAACAAGAUAGGAGUUGUGCCCUCCACGAGGCACAUGAAGGUAAAGUUACCUUCAAUGGAGGGGGUGGUCAUCACCAUUCGCUAUGAUCAAAAGAAGGCAAAGAAGUGCUAUGAAAACAGCCUCAAGAACAAGAGAUCGAUAUGCCACGUAACCACAACGCCGCCACCUGGCGUGGAGCCUGAGCAGGAAGACCGGCGAGUUGUGGAUACAGUGUUGGAGGUGGCCGCCGAGGGCGAUGUGAUAAUGGAGGAUGUCGAGGCGAGGUCCGAGAGCGCCGCUCGGGUGGAGGAAGAGAGAAACUGCCCGGAGAUCGCCAGAGAGUUAGGUAUUGUGAGAGCGCUAAUCGCCAACGAGAAGAGGCCUCGGCCGGUUGAGGAUUGGCUUGAGAAGAAGAUCGACGGAAAAACAUUUAAGCUGGGGAAGACCCUAGAUGGCGAGACACAGAACCAUGAGGAACAAAAUGCCCGAGCUGACUUGCUAGCCAAGCUCGCCAGUUCAGGCAAGGGUGGCAGGCAGAGGACUGUUACACAAGAAACUCUGAAGACACCUCGAGCAUUUGUAGCAGACCACCAGGUUCUUCAAGUUUGCAAGUCGAUGAAAGGGAUGACGAGGAGUCACAAAUCUUUAACUCAAGAGACUUUGAGGACGUCGAGAGUUAGAGCGCAUCCAGUAGGAGAGGCGAAGAUGACGCAAGUUUGCGCUAUCCACGAACCAGAUACAUGGAUAACGCCAUACCAGCGGUACAUGGCAGAUAGCGUUCUCCAAGUGGAUCUGACGGAGGCCAGAAAGGUAAAGAAGAACUCCAGCAAGUUCACCCUAAUCGAUGGUGAGUUGUACAGGUUUGGGUUUACACACCCCCUGUUAGUAUGUGUGCAUGGAGAAAAGUGCAUGAGAAUUAUGGCUGAGCUCCAUGAGGGGAUUUGUGGGAGUCACAUCGGAGGUCGAGCCCUGACAAUAAGAACUCUCCGUGCAGGUUAUUAUUGGCCAACCAUAAGGGAAGAUUGCAAAAGAUACGCCCAGCGGUGCAAGCAAUGCCAGCAACACGCCGAUUAGCACAAGGCCCCCCCAGAAGAGCUAAAGUCAAUCUACAGCCCCUGGCCGUUCCAUAUGUGGGGAAUCGAUAUUCUGGGACCUUUUCCGUUGGCGAUCAGGCAAAUGAAGUAUUUGGUUGUGGCAAUCGAGUACUUCACGAAGUGGAUUGAAGCAGAAUCGGUAGCCCAGAUCACCGCGCACAAGAUUCAGAGUUUCGUGUGGAAGAACAUCGUGUGUCGCUUUGGUGUGCCCAAGAGUUUGGUAUCAGAUAAUGGGACUCAGUUUGCAAGUCACCUGUUGAAGAAUCUGUGCGAGGAUAUUGGAACACAACAGGUGUUUGCUUCUGUUGAGCAUCCGCAAACGAAUGGGCAAGUGGAGUCAGCUAAUCGGGUGUUGUUGAGAGGCUUGAAGAGGAGGUUGGAGAAGGCAAAGGGAUCUUGGGCGGAAGAGGUUCCCCGUAUAAUAUGGGCAUAUCAUACCACUGAGCAAUCGGGAACUCAUGAAACCCCGUUUAGCUUGGUGUAUGGGUGCGAUGCGAUGAUCCCAGUUGAAAUCCAGGAAAGCUCGCCAAGAUUCCAGAACUUCGUAACGGAAGACUCGAACGCAGAAAGGAGAAUGAACCUGGAUUAGCUGGAUGAGGUCAAGGAAGAAGCAAGGGUGAAGGCUGAAGCAGUAAAGAGAAGAGUUGAACACAAGUACAACUCCAGAAUGAAACCAAGACAAUUCAGAGAUGGCGACCUGGUGAUGAGGAAGGCCCACCAGUAUGAGAUGCAGAACAAAUUGUCGCCCAAGUGGACAUGACCGUUUAGAAUAACCGAAGCACUCGGGAACGGCGCCUACCGCUUGGAAACAAUGGAAGGAGGGGCGAUUCCUCGCACUUGGAACGCCACCCACCUCAAGUUUUAUUACAGUUAAAGCAUUGUAAGUAGCAAUAAAACAGUUUUUCAAGGGGGCACUCUUUUUCCCUAAAGAGGGUUUUUUAACGAGGUCACCCAAUAAAGAAGGUUUUGAAGUUUAUCAAAGUUUCCAAGCUCAUUAAGUUUGCAUACUAUUCGUUUUUUAAGUUUCGGAAAGAGAUUUCAUCGCCUUUGUGUAAUUUAAAGCAAUGGUGAAUUCAGAUUGUAUGCAUCCAACACAAAAUCUUAGAGUAUAAAGUUUUAAAGAGGUAAGAGUUAAGUUUUAAGUCCUCAUCGCCGUCUGGCGAUCGGAGGCAUCAACAUAAAGUUUUUAAGUCCUCAUCGUCAUCUGACGAUUGGAGGCACGAGUAUAAAGUUUUCAGUUCUCACCACCGUUCGACGAGAAACUAUUUAAAAGGACCUCCUCGCCUCAAGCGAGUGUAGGCGAGAAGAGAGAAAGUCCUUCUCACCCUCGAGUGAGUUCAGGCAAGAGCAGAUUGCAAAGUCCUCAGUGCAUCCGGGGAAGAGGAGAUGUGAUCCCUCGACAAAGUAGAGGCACCAGAGAAAGUCCUCCUCGCCUUGAGCGAGUCCAGGCAAGAGCAGAUUGCAAAGUCCUCAGUGCAUCCGGGGGAAGAGGAGAUGUGAUCCCUGGGCAAAGUAGAGGCACCAGAGAAAGUCCUCCUCGCCUUGAGCGAGUCCAUGCAAGAGCAGAUUGCAAAGUCCUCAGUGCAUCCGGGGAAGAGGAGAUGUGAUCCCUAGGCAAAGUAGAGGCACCAGAGAAAGUCCUCCUCGCCUUGAGCGAGUCCAGGCAAGAGCAGAUUGCAAAGUCCUCAGUGCAUUCGGGGGAAGAGGAGAUGUGAUCCCUGGGCAAAGUAGAGGCACCAGAGAAAGUCCUCAUCGCCUUGAGCGAGUCCAGGCAAGAGCAGAUUGCAAAGUCCUCAGUGCAUUCGGGGGAAGAGGAGAUGUGAUCCCUGGGCAAAGUAGAGGCACCAGAGAAAGUCCUCAUCGCCUUGAGCGAGUCCAGGCAAGAGCAGAUUGCAAAGUCCUCAGUGCAUCCGGGGGAAGAGGAGAUGUGAUCCCUGGGCAAAGUAGAGGCACCAGAGAAAGUCCUCCUCGCCUUGAGCGAGUCCAUGCAAGAGCAGAUUGCAAAGUCCUCAGUGCAUCCGGGGGAAGAGGAGAUGUGAUCCCUGGGCAAAGUAGAGGCACCAGAGAAAGUCCUCCUCGCCUUGAGCGAGUCCAUGCAAGAGCAGAUUGCAAAGUCCUCAGUGCAUCUGGGGGAAGAGGAGAUGUGACCCCUGGGCAAAGUAGAGGCACCAGAGAAAGUCCUCCUCGCCUUGAGCGAGUUCAGGUAAGAACAGCUUAGAAGUCCCCAACGCAUCCAGGGGAAGAGGAGAUGUAACCCCUGGGCAAUUUGAGGCACCAGAAAAAGUCAUUCUCACCCUCGAGUGAGUUCAGGCAAGAUGAAAUUGAAAGGUCAGGGGUGGGUGGCUGGGGAAGAUUCGCAAAGGACAUCUCACCACCUAAAUCAUUGUUCCAAAACUCAGGCAAGAUAGAGGGAGAUCCAAAAGCCAGCUCUUCUUCCAGUCAAGAAAAGGUGUUUUAAUUAAAAAGAAAAUAGUGUCGCCGAAAGCCUAUGGCUUUGUGGUUGAAACUCGAACGAAGAGAUACACGGCGAGGACUAAGUGAGCAGAGUUUUUAGGCGGUGAUAUAGAAAUGUGCAUGACACUUAGCGAUUCAGGCGAACGAUAUUUCAGACAAUAAGGUUGACCCAAGCCUACUGCCCAGUAAGUGAUCUUGAAUUAAAUGUUAUUGCUACGAACUAAUGGUUUGUUCAGUUAAGUUGAUUUUCACGGAAUCAAGCAUCGGUUGGUGCUAGGUUGAUCUCUUUAAGACAAGAAGAACAAAUGAUUACACAACAGAUAAAGGCGAAGCCAUGUGCAUAUUUAUAUGUAUUAAAACAGUUGGGAUGAAGAAAAGGUCAUUACGAAUAAAUUCAUUGCACAUAAACAAAGGUUCAAUAUAUAAGUUUUUCAGAAUGUUUCAAGUCAAAGUGGCAGAUGGAAAUAUUAAUCUGAAGGUACAAUUUUGCCAUCUACCACUUCAUGGCAAAUCGAGAACUGAGAGAGGUCCAAGUCGGGUAAGCGCAAGCGAACUGCUCCAAGGCCGCGCCAAACCCUGAAGUCAGGACGUUUGCGACGUUGAGGUCGAGCUCUUCGAUCUGUGUCUUUAACUUUUCGUUCUCCUCAAGCGCAUGGGCAAGCUUUGCUGCAGACUCGCUCAACUCCUUGUUUUUCUCGCUCAGUUCCUUAGCUUUUUGGUCCCUGUCAGCUUCAACUUUGCCCAGAAGGUCCUCCCUCUCGAUUGACUUGGCCUCGAGCUUAUCCACAUAGGCCUUGUUAGCCUUGAGGGCCCCCUCCAAGUUGGCUAUCUUUUCCCUAUGAGGCACGAGUUUACUCUCGAGAUCGACGGCCUCUAAGAGUUUGACAUUGAGCUUUUCGCGUAGCUCAGUGCUACUUCUACGUUCGCUCCGCAGCUCGUCCCGUAGGGCAUUCUCUAGCUGUGAAAACUCCAGUCCCCGCAUCGUAAUAUCACACUUAAGUUUUUGGACUUGGGCCCUCGCAGUGCUAGCUUCGAACUCGUAUUGGCACAAGGAGUCCCUUAGAGCCUCGCCCAUCAUCUUGUGAAGACGUUUCUCCACGCACUCAGUAGUUAUGGCGCUGAGAUGAGCGGCGUGGGCCUUCAAGACUUCCUCAACGGGGGUGGGGAGAGCAAGGAUUGGAGGAGGUGUUGGGGGUUGGUUCUCGCCACCACCCUCGCAAGCUUGGGUGGCGAGAGGAGCAUCAGAGCGUGGUGGUGAGACGGUUGGCUCCACUACAGGUUGGGGGGGUGAUUGAGCGUCCACAAGUUGCUCUUGAGCGCCUCCAGCAGCUGAGGUGUUUGAUGGGAGAGCAUCCCCAGCGCUCUCAAAGGGUGUGGAAGCGGUGGGGGGAUUCUCUGCAUAGUUUGGGCCUGCGCUUUCGAUUACUGGUGGCUCAGUUGUGGUCGCUCUGUUCCUUUUGCAAACAAGCCCAUCCUCAGUGCUUUCAUCCUCUUCUUCGUCCGAUACCACUGUAGGAGUCUUCCUCUUGGCCCUUUUUGGUGGUAGUUUUUUCCUCUCAGGGGAAGGAAGAGUGGCAAGGGAAGGUGGGUCCACUUGGGGGGACUUACCCAGGGCAGCAGCAGCUCCUGCAAUUGAAUUUGGAACGGUUUGGGAAACCGCGUCGAGUUUGUGACGUUUGACUAUGGAGCGCAGCCUGGCCAUGUGAUCUUUCCCUAACAUUGUAUCUACACAAAAAGAUCGAUGCUUGCAAAUCAAUCCAGUUCAGGCAGUUAAUAAUGCAAAGGAGAGCAAGUGAUGGGAACACUAAUGCAUGGAUCAAACAGCCAAGAAUGGGUACAGAUCGGUGUAAAGCAAGCAAAAUGGAUGACGAGUAAAGGGGACUUGACAUAGGAAAGAGAAAUUCAGAGAAGAAGGGAGGGCAGACCUAUGUGGAAGUCCAGUUGACUUUCAGCGAAUUCAAACUUGAUGAUCGAGGAGGUGGCCAAAAUGGUGUUGGAGGAGGCCACUUCUUUCCAGAAGCUGCACAAGUCUUUGCCAAGCUCCCCCAUUUUUUCUGGACUCCUAGCCUUCCGAAAGGUGUCCUUGGACUCCUUCUUCCCCUUGUUAACCCAGUACAAGGGGAAUCCAUCGAGAAGGGUAGGAUCCCGAUCAUUACAGCACACGCAGACAAACUUGCUCUUCCAGUCUUUGUAGGAUUGCAAGAAGAUUGAGAGGAUGGACCUCCCAGCAAUCCCAUUAAGGCUCACCCACAGACGAUCCCCCGGGUUCUUGGCCUCGAACAAAAAUAGGAAUACGUCUACAGAGGCUGGGUGGCCUAUGUGUGCGCAGAUAAUUUGAUAUGCCCUGAUGAACGCCCAGCCGUUGGGGUGCAGCUGGGCGGGGGCAAUGUCAAGCUCGAUUAGAAGUUCCCUCUCAAAGUGAGUAAAAGGGAAUCUGAGCUUGAACUUCUUGAAUGCGGUUGUGUAGACGAAGCAGAAGGGGUGGUCGUUGUUUCCUGCAUCGUCAGUACAGACAGGUUCCCCAGGAAGACAAGGAAGAAUGGCCACCUUGUCGUCAUGUUCCUUACUAAAGGAAAGGAAAAACCUAAGCACAGGAAAAGCAAAACAGAGAACAAACAGCCCACAACGUAUGCUCCAGACAGUUAAUGGAUGAUGCAAACCGAUUAAAAUGUAGCAAAUAUCAGUGGGAGGGAUAGAAAAGUUACCUUUUGAUAGUCAGAAAAGCGUUUCGUAAGAUGGUGAUUGAGGGAGUCAAAGCAUUCGCUGAGGCGUUUCGAAAAGUUUGAGAAUGAAGAAGAAAAUAAUGGAACAGUGAAGUGGCGCGAGAAUUUUAAGAGUUUCGAACAUUACAAGAAGCGCAAACGGUAGGAAAUGAUGGUCGUUGAUAAGUCCACGUGUCAGUUAACAGGAAGGGGUUGGUGAAGUGUCAAAUCAGUAAAUGGAGUGGGCGUUAGCGCGCGAAGCCACGUAGAUCGCUGAAGUUUCAACUUCUUAGUCUUCUCGCCGGACGAAUCACGGCUUAUGUACCGAUUAGGUCAUCGGGUGUGAUGACAGGGACAAGAGAAAGGUGGGUGGUCAAGAAGUGUACAUAGUCGUCGUUUGUGGAGGUGGCGCUCUGCAACAUACGUAAUCAGGCGUCGGCAGGUUGUGCCAUCGCCGAAACAAAAGAUCAGGUGGUCUGACAUCGCCGCGGAAAGCAAAUUGCCGGUUCUCCCAGUAAACCCAGAUAAAAGCUGUCGGGGUCUCAGGCGAGGAAGUUCGAGCGCAUGAGAAUCCCUCGCAGGUACGAAGGCCAAGCGAAGCUAUGAGUGAAGAGAUCAAGAGAAGGGUAUAUACCGUAACUCAAAAGGAAAGAAUGGAGAAUAGGAGGGAAGAGCACGUGCUACCUAAAGAGUUAAGGUCCAACACGAUGGAGGGGGGUAUUGAAAGUAACGCACACGGUAUAGCAAAGAAAGCAGAAGCAGACACAAACAUGCAAAGAUAAAGCGCGUAGCGUUUAAACAUAAAUCAAGCGUAAAUCAAGAGUUACGAUUACAGAUAAAGUUCAUGAUAGUUGCAAAUUGAACAAGAGACAAUCAUAUACACAUCCAAUAUUCAUACGAAAAACAAAGUCAGGCCACUCUUUAGAGGCCUCCGGAGUUUGAGCUGGGUGAUGCUCAAGCCCCAUCCUCGGGCCUCAACGCCUGGGCCAACAGCGACCUUCGUUGCCUGUUUAUCUUCGAACCUGCGCCAAAAGGGACAAGCAUGGUAAAAGACGGGUACAAACUAAGGCACUACAAGAUAAAUCAUGCAAGAAUCCAGCAAAAGCAAGGAACGGGAGGUUAUAAGGGGAAUCUCUCAUACCUAUGUAUUUUUCCAGAGCCUCAGCGUUGUAUUCCAGGCUUAUCAAGGCGGCAGCGUCAAAGCCCCCCGCACCAGCCAAGAUCCGGCAAGCCUCUCGAUCGUUCGAAGGCAGCCUCUUAAGAGACCUGGACUUCAGGGCUCUUACCUCCUUCACCCAAUACAGGGGGAAGCCGUCAAGGGCAGAGGGUACGAGGUCGGAGCAUCAAACCUUGAAGAACUUGCCUUUCCACCCCGUGAAGGAGUGCUGGAAUAGGGUUAAGAGGACCCUACCGGGAACGUUGCUGAGAGUCACCUAGAGAUUAUUCCUUUGCCUCUUCACUUCGAAGAAGUGAAGGAAGAUGUCAACCGAAGGUGCACACCCUAGGAAACCAAACAGUAUGUCGAAGGCUUUGACAAAGGCCCAACUGUUAGGGUACAACUGGGCUGGGGCAACAUUGAUCUCCGUUAGCAGUUCCCUCUCGAACCUGGAGAAAGGCAGACGCACGCCACUUGAAGACCACCUGAUAGAAAUAAAAAAAGGGGACCCCGUUGUUGGCCCGCUCAUCCCCGCACACCGGCUCCCCUAGAGUGCAAGGAAGCACUGCGAUAUCAUCGUCGUGCCUUUUCGCAAAGGCACGGUGGUCAUAGAUACUCGGGUCCCCUACAUGGUCCCUCCAAGCUCUGGUGGAAACUAGGCUCGAGCACUCGUCAAGUAGUUUGUCUGAGGCCCAUGCAUAAAGAUCCCUAUGAUUAACCCUAGAGGAAGGAGGGUCGGCAGUCAUCUUAGCACGUACUGUCAAUAAAGGAACUAAAGAUCGAAGAAGAAGGGUUCAGCAGUAGAGUAGAAGGAAAUAGUCGACGAGGAAAGAACGCGGGGAAAGUUCUUUGGAAGGAAGAUGAACAGUACGGAUAAGAUGUGAAAGAGUAGAAACAAUGAGUUAAAGUGCAGGGUCUUCAAAGACUCGAGCGUUACAAUUGAAGCGCCAAAGGACGCUAAAUGAGCACCGUGUGAUUGGGCCACGUGUCACGAGAUUAAGGUACGACCCGAAGUGUCACCUUUCUCGCUCAGAGAAUAUCACAUCGUCAGAGUCCUUGAGGGUACACCGCGCCGGUGGUGCAGAAAAUGUCACGUCAACCGGUCAGGGAGUUACAUGUCAUCAAAAUGCCGCGAAGACAAUAGGGGCGAGGAAUUAGUCUUCUCGCUGAAACAAGUGCCAGCUCAAGACUGGGGGGCUUGUGUACCGUCCCGUCCCCGGGCGUCGACCAGAAGUCAAGGUCACACGCAUGGUGGGACCCCUCAAGGGACCCAAGGAAGGAAAAGUCAACAGGUCGACUGCUCGCGACGUCGCCAAAGUAAGACGUCGCCCUAAAGUAAGACGUCGCCCUAAAGAAAGAUGUCGCCCUAAAGAAAGACAUCGCCCAAGAGAGACGUCGGGCCUCGACAGUCCAGAACAGUAGCAAAGUGAAGGGAAAGGUGGCUUCAAGACCACAAGUUCUAGGACCAGUAGGGGAUAUCCUGACUCGUGAAGUAUCCACGCCACCGCUGGGAGACCCUGGAAUAGAUACGACCAUGAGAGGGCCAUAACCAGGGGAGAACCACGUGCAUGGUACGAGAGAAAGGAAGAUACACCCCCAGGGCAAGUGAUCAGUGAUUGGGGUGCAUGAGUUGGCACCCAAAAAAGUCAACCCACGUGACAGAAGCACUUCGUAGAAAAGAGGCCUCACACGAUGGAAUAACCCUAAGUUGAGUGGCGGCGAUGUGGGACCCUCUCCACAGAAUAACGAUCAAGUCAGAGGGGCACGUGGCAGUGCCCACGUACUCAUUAAAGGUUUCAGGGGAAGUUUGUCAAGGUACGCGUUAAGUAAGUUAAGAUUCGUGUAUUCCAAGGAAUGUUUUUAUACGCUUUCAAUGCGCUUUAAUGCUCUUUAACGAUGAGAGAUGUAUAAAAAGGGACCUUGGGAGCAUUUGAAAGGGAGAGAGUUUUGACCUAAUUCUCAUAGUCACAUAGAGCACAAACCCUAAUUGUUCUUGACGGCGCACCCAGCUGUGAGCACGAGGCAAUUAGGGCAACGCAGUUCUAGUUACAUAGUUUCAGUCAUUCAGUAUAGUUCUCGACCACCUUCAGAGGGUGUGUCACCUUUUGAUGUUUCUCGCUAGCGGACUUGAUCGUCAGAGUGCAAACGGUCGCGAGGGCGUCCUUUGUUCACUUCUUUUUCAGGUACUCAUAGACGGAGCAAAACGAAGGUGCCCUAGCUCGCGAGGACAAGCCACGCGCAAAGACAAUCCCGGUCAACCGGCGGGAACAACUCUUAUUUCUAUGGUUUGUCAAAUGUGGACCGUGAUUUGAGUUUGAGAGGAGAAAAUUGACCAAAGAUGAUGUUAGAGAGUUGAUUUAUCAAGAGGUAUGGAAAAAAGUACACCGAAAUCGUUGUUGAGUUGGUGAUCUUAGUUUGAACAUAGUUUCUUGUGCUUUGUGGUUGGAUUUACUAUGUCUUUGUCUAUCCAUUAGUUCACAUGGCAGAGACUUGUUUUGUUCAUAACAUAAGAUUCUUGGUUGUGUUCUACCUAACCUAUCAACCAUAUUUAGAAAUGUAAGUAUAAAAGAAUACUAUAUAUUUUACCAUAAUUUAGCAAAUUUGGGACCUUUGCUGCAAAUCAAAGUAGUAGUUGAAUGUCUACUAUGCAAAAGUUGUUAAAAAAGUCUUGAAAUAUGAGCCUAGUACUGGGCACAUGGUUGGUGACUUGAGAUUUUUAACUUAGGAAUUAUUUAUAUUUUAUUGUUUUGGUUGGAUAGUAAUAAGACCAAAUAGCAAACAGAACAAAGUCUUUGAUUGUAAUUUAAGUUGGUUGUAAUUUAGCUUAAGCUUAAUUUUGGAAAAAAAUCAUGCCAAGUAAUACCACUUUUCUCAUUUAGUUCUCGCAUCAUUAGUCUCUUUUAUUGUCUUGAAAUGAAACACUUGAGAAACUGAUGAUUUAUCACAAGUGUUGCAGAAUUUUCAUAUCUGCAUUUUUACUCCACCUCUGUUCAGAAUUUUCUCCAUGUGAGGGUGCAUUAUUUUCUUUAUUACUGCUGCUUGCAUUGUCCAAAUCUUUCUCAAUUCCACUAUCUGUGAGGUUGAAUGUGAAUUUCAGGUUGGGAAUAAUUAGGGGAUAAGUUGACUUUGUAUGUGAUUAUUUUAAAUAUAGUAUUGUCAACCUGGUGGUAUUUUAUUACUAUUACUCUUAGUGGACUGAAAAAUUGGUCUUGGCAUCAGUGUUUGUUUUAGAAUUUAUAAUAAAGUUAAGAGAGGUUAGUCUGAAGCACAUACUAUGAUACUACCUUACUAAAAGUUACUAUGAGCUUUAUCUUUCAAGUGAUUUUAUUUCACUCUGUUCUUGUGCAUAUUAGAUGAUGUCUUUUUCUUGUUAAUAUUUAUUUUUCCAUUGUACCUGUUGACCUUUCGCGUCUUGGUUAAUGUUUUUAUGAUAUUGCUCCUGUUUCUUUUAUUUUUACUUUCAUCAACAUUCAUUAGUUAUCUAUAUUUUAUCGUUUAUGUUACAGCUAAUGUUUAGUUCUCAUUUGACCAAAUCUACUGCCGAGAAGUUCAAAGGCCAAAUCUUAGAAGCAUCUGAAUCUGUCCUUGGAUCAUCUAUAGCAAUAGAAAUUAGAUGUGAGUCAAACAAAGAUGUUACUUGCUGCAAUUGAUGAGAAUCACCGAGGUACUUAUGACUCUCUGUACUUGGCAAUUGACUUUAAGGUAUACAUAUCCUACAUAUCUUUUUUAUUAAGAUUGGGGGAUUUUUCGUCCCAGGAUAUCUUAAUUCUUCUUAAUGCCUAUUUAUUACUUUUGAUCAUAUUUUUUUAUUUGAAACACUUCUACUACCAUGCUCUGUUUGGAUUAUCUAUUUGUAUUGCCAAAGAUGUCAACUAGCAUUUAUUCAUAGCAAAUAAAUCAAUAAAGAAAGGCUAUCAGCAUUAAACCACAUGCUCAUCUACCUCAAAAAUAUCUGCAGGUCCCAUAACUUUGAUUGUGAUGGGGGUGCAAACAAACAUUGUUAUUUUUCGUAUGAAUAAUCCACACUUGAAGAAAAAGUGCCGCAUAUUUACAUCAUGGGUGGUGGUGUAAGGUCAAGAAACCUUACGCUUUGUUCAAUUUUCCAAAAAUAGUUAUAAGAUAAGAGAAAGAACAAGUUAUUUUUAUAAUCUAUAAAAACCAACAUGUCAUGUGAGGAAUAAUGAUGCUGGUGCUUAUAGGUUAGAUUAUGUGCUUUCUUCUAUUCACCCUCAAUUUUUUUAUAUUGAAAGUUAUACUAGAUAAUUCAAUGUUUUUAUUUUUCCUGUUUGGUCUGUGAUUGUUCUAGUUUGUUAUUUGAUCUUCAGGUCACUGGUAUUAUAUCUUUCUUGUGCAUCACUUGAAGUUAGUUUUGGAUUGGUGAGUGUGCAAGUUGUGAAAGUUCAAGUAUUACCCCUCUCUUAAGUAACCCCUAAAGUAAUGUAAAUAAUCCUUCAAAUAUUGAGUAUUCAUGAGUUUAGUUGAUGUAUUUUAGUAAACUUUAGAACGGUUUUAUCAAUAUUCCUUUUGUUUCCCUUAGUUAAUAAUGAAAUUUCAGUGUUUUCUUUCAAUUAUACAUGUUUAAUUAUCUUUCUAUUGUCUCAAUGCUAAUUUGGCUGAUAAAAAAACAUAACAUAUUACUAGCGAACACUGUUUAUUCGGUGUACACAUUUAUAACUUUGAAUAGGGUAAUUGGGAGUGUUGAGGAUAAAACAAAAGAGAGAAGAAAAAGAGGGGGAGGCAUGUUUCAUGUUUGUGAAUUUAUGUCUGUUAUAGAAUGAUGAGUGACGUUUGUUUGUUGCAGAUGGAUAAGGCUUCAAUUAUUAAGGAUGCUAUUGAAUACAUCCAACUUUUGCACAUGCAAAAGAAGAUAAUCUAAGCUGAGAUACUGGAACUUGAAUCUGGGAUGCCAAAAAAGAGUAGUUAUGACUUUGAGCAGGAACAACUUUCUGUCUGAGGUCCAAAAGGAAGAGAACUGAGCAGAUAUACGAUUCAUUCAAUUCAAGAAACUCCCCAAUUGAAGUCCUUGAUGUGAACCCCCUUCUCUCUCUUGUAUUAUUGAUACUAUAAAAAUGAUGUGGGGUAUUGUGCGUUUUUUGUUCUUAUUCAUUUUGAAUUUUGAAUUGAUUUUAAGGUGGUGGAUGCAGCUGAGCGUUACCUACAUGGGGAGAAAACUGUCGUGGUGAGUUUGACAUGUAGCAAAAGAACAGACACAAUGGUGAAACUGUGCGAGGUGUUUGAAUCUUUGAAGCUGAAGAUCAUCAUCACUGCUAACAUCACUUUGUUUUCAGGGAAGCUUCACAAGACAAUCUUCAUUGUGGUACACAAAUCGUUGAUGAAGGUACGUGAGUAUUAUCAUUAUGCCAUGAGAUAUAAAAUCUUAGCUUUUCAAUUACUCGGGUACAAAGGACUUAUAACAUUUAUAACAUUGUAGAGGAAUGCCUCGCCGUCACUUGGUUCGUAAAGGUAAGGUAAAGUGCAAUAAGAUAAUAUGAAAUGAACUAAGGUAAAGGAAAAAAAUUUAUGCUGUGAUUUUUAUACUAGUUUAUCUCGUACACUAGUGCAAAAUUAGCGAACACGACGGUUAAUAACAAUAGAUUUUGGCUAUUUGCCGUAAAAAAAGACACAGUGGCAGAGUGGUGAAUGAGUCAAAAUUUUGACAAAAGUUUUAAUCUAAACCGUUGCUAAAAAUGGUGAAAUAAAUUAAACAAAUACGAUUUUUGAAUGGAUUGUCAAUGAAAAAACAAAAAAGAUGAUGACUUUUAGAUUAUCAAUUUUUAAAAAGUUGGUUUAACCACAAAUGGAAUGAAUUUGUUUGAUAAUUUGAGUACAAACCACAAUUCAUAGUCUGUUUUAAAUCACUAAUUUGUUAGUUAUUUACAACUUCCUAGAUUGAGCACCUUGGACGUGUGCAUGUUACAGGAUCAAGGGUGGACAUCCCACAGUUCUUUGGAACAUCUUCAAACGAGUACUCCUCUAAGGCAUCUAGCUAAGAAGCUAUUUUGCAAUUGAUCCAGUAGAUCACGCAAGAGGUAACAAAGGAGGUUACUCAAAAGGUGAGGCAAGAGUUUAAGCAGCACCUAGAGACCUUAAGUCUUUCACAACACAACUCCUACACAGAAAUUGGAGAUGUAAGUUAAUGGAAAUGUUGUUAAUUGUGUAGCCAAAGUGUCAGACAUCAUGGACAGUUACUUGUGAUAUCCCUAACAGAUCAUACUAUUGUAUGAUUCUGCUCAUUGCACAAGAAAUCACAUGCAUAUCUCAAACAAAUAGUGGAUUGGUAAUUAACAACAACUUAUGUACAUUACUCAUGUACUUUCACAAUAGUCUUAGAAAACAUUGUAAGAUACUUUCUUAUCAUUAUAUUUUAGAUAUUAUUGGAACAUAAUACCAAAUAUUACCAAAUAUUAUAUAUACCAAGGUGCCUUUAUUGCUCAUGGUCAUCACGACAUACUUCUUGUUGCAAUUAGAUGACCUGAGCAGUUUGCUUGGCUUGAUGCAGUUUGCUUUGUGGAUUAUGGAUGUCAAACACGUUUCUUAGAGGGUGCCAUAGCAGACCUGAGUACAGGCUCGAGGCUGUAGUUUGGUUGUGUGUAAGGGUAAGGUAGAGAGAUAAGGCUUGAGUUUCUUAAGAACACAUAAUGCUGGCUCGGCGGAUUCCAAGAGGCUGGCAAAGCUGGAGUGAGUUUGCCCCUGAUACAUAGUAAUCCUGAUGGAUUACGUUUUUGAAAUGUACAAAGUUGAAGGUUUGGUUGCUGUUAGAAUGAUGAUGUAGUAUUUGUUUGGCAACUUAAGUGAUGCAGAAUAGAUUUUCUGGUAUGGUUGCUGGUCUGGUUGCUGCCACAACCCUUUUAAGGUCUCAUGUCAUGAUGGUGCACCAUUUGAAUGUUGUUCCAAGCGGAUAUAAUUACAUUCUUUGCUCCACUUUCAAGUGUGUACUGCUUUUUGGGUGUAGGUGCUACCAAAGUGCUGAUGUAGUUCUGUGUAUGUUUUUUGGGUGUGUAUUAUGUAGUUUAAGCCAUAAUGGUUGUUUUGCUCUAAGCCAUACUGAGGAGUAACCAUGUAGUUAAUCUAUGUGAGUUGGGAUACUCCUGAAGUAUCACCAGAUUAAUUUAUUCAUUACUGAUAAAAAAGAAAAGAUGACCGGAACAUCCUGGUUAGGUUGUGUGCGUGCUACAAGAUGAUGGGUUGGCAUUCGUCAUUUGAUUUGUUCACGACAGUAGUGCUCUAAGGCACCCAACAAGAGCUGACAUUGGCUCCACAUGCCAAUGCGAAAAUAUAUCAUCUAUACACCUUCUUACAAUAGUGUAAGUGUGAACAAAUUAUGUUGAUAAAAUAAUCAUAAAUAAUUAAGAUAAAAUGUCCUUUUUGAAGUGUAUUGAUCGGAAUUAUUUGCAAGAAAUAGAUAAAUCAAUAGGUUAUAAUUUAUAAAUUAAUGAAGUUUAUAUGAAUUGACUAAACUUAAAAGGAACAAGGAUUCGUAAAAUUUGGUAGAGAGAAAUUAUUUGAUAGACUAUUUAUAUAAUAAAAAUAAUAUCAAAAUAAUUUAUCAAUCAUGAUACACUUAGUUAAGAAGAGUACAGAAGCUUAUGAUAUACUCUUUAAAGUUCAAAGUUUAAAAAAAUGCACAUAAACUUAUAUAGAGACAUUACUUAUCAAAUAUAUAGAGAGAAGUUAUUCAGUUAUGUAUUUAUAAAGACAUUAUGUGAAGAAAUAGAAGGAUUAGACAGACAUAUUUAAAGGGUCAUGUCAAAAAGGAUGAUAAAUGUUUAAUGUAUGAUUUCAAAAAAGAUGAUAAAUGUAUCUUCAAUCAUUUUCUUCCACAAAUAAUUGUAACAAAGGACAAUUACUUGAAAAUAUUUUUUUACAUAAGGAAAUUUUUACUUGUAAUUAGAGAGUUUAAAAUAACAUUAUAUCGAAAUUUUGUAAACCUGAAAAAUCACAAUAAAAAAAAUUAAGUAUGUAUACUUGAUCUCAAAAUUUUAUGAUUUCUUUUACAUUUUUUUUUAUCUUUCGUAAUUAUCUAUUUACAUUUACAUUCCUCGUUCUUUAGUUCUGUACUACAUUUAUAUCUGAUUCUAUAUAUUUAAUUGUUCAUCUAAAUUUUAUGAAUUUUUGAAUUUAUAUUUUUUUAUUUCUGAAAUUACUUUGAUUUACAAAAUAUUUUCUGUAUUUUAGAAGUUUUUUUUAAUAAAUUUAAUUAAAUUCAGUGUCAAUUAUUUUAUUUAUUCCAAAUUAUCAAGUAAUUAAAAACGAUUCAAAUUAUAAAUUAUUUAAAAUGUUUGAAAUACAAAUUAUGUUUACGUUAUAUAAAGACAAUGAAAUUAUUCUGAUAUAAGGGAAAACCAUAUUUUUAUCAGUAAAAUAAUGUGUUUAAUAUAAAUAUUUAUGUUCGAUUAAUUUAAUAUAUUUAAAUUGAUCAUGUCGCCAACUCAAGCGUGGAGGAAUUGCUUUGUCGCUUCCUUACCCCGCCUAUGCAACUGUGCUAUCUGCAAGAAUGCUCUUAGAACCUUUCCCGGGAACUUCAAACGCAACCUGCAAAACACACAGACGGNNNNNNNNNNNNNNNNNNNNNNNNNNNNNNNNNNNNNNNNNNNNNNNNNNNNNNNNNNNNNNNNNNNNNNNNNNNNNNNNNNNNNNNNNNNNNNNNNNNNGAAUCGCACACUCCCAGGAGAACGCCAGGUGUGGCUGGACUAGGCACACUCACCAAGCAUUGCUCUCUGCAUAAACGAUUUCCCCUUCACGAUGUCAUGCACGUAAUGGGUUAAGAGAGUAACCAAUCACUGACCGGUUUACUAACUCCCUCAGGCCACUCUCGUGCACGAUUCUACCGGCGAGUAGCUCCUCUUUCUCUGAGAUAUGAUCAUGCGAGGUCCAUGCGUAACGCUCUCGCUGGGAAUCUCAGUCCCAGUUUAACUACGUGUAACACGAAACCCCGAUGACCAUGCACCCGAUAACUGAUCGGUGCUCUAUUGCUUCUCGCGUUCUCCCCCCGGGUGUUUAUCUUGGAACUGAUCUGUCGGUGGCCACUCGGUUACUGACCACCGAUCACCGUUUUGGGUGAUCUCCUCCCUGAUUUCUCUGCCACCUGAUCCACGUGUCACCCUGCGAGUGGUUCACGUGGUUAUCUGCUGCUGACGUCAUCGACUACAGAUGACCGACCGGAUCACAAAUUAAAAAAUAUAUUUAAUUACUAUCUUCAAUAAAAAGAACUCAAAAAAAAAUAUAUAUGACCUUCGUAGAAAGAGGCUGGAAAGUAGAAUUUCCACAAUCACGCGGCAAUAUUUUAAAUAAUUUCCACCACGCGGCAAUUUUAUAUAAUUUUUACUGUGAUAUUAUAUAAUUGUUAUGACCUUCGUAGAAAGACUGUGGAAAAUUACAAAACACAUAAAUUAAAUUAUUAGAAAAGCUAACUGGAAGAAGCUUCAAUGAAGAAACACUCACAACACUUAUUUCUAUUUCUCAGUGUUUGCUCUCCAAUUAUAACAAUAUAAUAAUAUUUUAUAUUAAAAAAUAAAAAUUUGAAGUAUGACCACCCUGUUUCUAUUUCUUCAGUGUUUGCUUGCCACUGUCACCGCCAUUCUCAUAAUACUUUUCUCUCAACAACUUUUGCUUUCACUAAUGGCUUCUAACGCCAUCAUCCAAUACACCUCUUCUUCUUCAUCUCUUCCAACUCACAUCUACGACGUCUUUGUCAGCUUCCGCGGUGAAGACACGCGCAACACCUUCACUGAUUUUCUCUUUCAUUCUCUCCGUACAAAAGGCAUCAAUGUGUUCAAAGAUGAUGAAGAUCUCAAAAAGGGUGAAUCCAUUGCACCCGAGCUGCUGCAAGCCAUUCAAGUCUCAAGGCUUUUCAUUGUUGUCUUCUCAGAAAACUAUGCUUCCUCCACUUGGUGCUUGCGUGAACUGGCAGAGAUAUGUAACUGCUGUGAAACUUCGCCAAGUGUUAUUAUACCUAUAUUUUAUGACGUUGAUCCUUCGGUGGUUCGCAAACAGAGUGGACGUUAUGAGAAAGCAUUUGCAGAACACGAAAAGAGAUUCGGAGAAGAUGAAGUGAAGAUGGAGGAAGUUCAGAGAUGGAGACAAGCUCUCACACAAGUCGCCAAUAUCUCUGGUUGGGAUAUCCGAAAUAAGUAAGUAAUCGUUUCUUGUUUCUCGUUUCAAGAUUCAUCACAGUUAUAUAUUUAUCAUGCAGUGAGUUAUAUACCCCUCAAUUUAUUUACUCCUUUCUAAACUACAAUUCAGAGAUGUUUUGAAGUUAGGAAAAUGUACAAAACACAUUCAAAUUGAGUUCCAAUGUAUACUUGUUUGACAAAAACAGCUACUAACGUAUAACUUUGUAGUCUUACAAGGCGAAGUGCUCAGGAAACAUGUAUAGUCAUAAAUUAGGUGACAUUCUUAGAUGUGUUAUCCCGGGAAGUGAAAUACCGAGGUGGUUCAACAAUCAGUUUGUGAGCAUGCACAAUUCAAUAAGGAUUGAUGCCUCUCAUGUUAUGCAUGACAAUAAUUGGAUUGGUGUUGUGUGUUGUGCAAUACUCCACAUUGGCGUUGAAAAGGACAAGACUGGUUAUACAUCCGUAGAACAAAAACUUAGAAUUCCUCCAAUCAAUUUGAGAAGAGGUCUAUUUAUUGACCUGUCAGAUCAUAUGUGGUUAUUUUAUUUGUCUCGCCAAGCGUUUCAUGGACUAUGUUAUAAUUGCCUAUGGUACACAUCUCAUAAAGGUGUUAUUACUCUCACAUUUCACAAACUGGAUGUGAACUGGAGCAAAUUCGGGGAAGAAAGCCAAUAUGUUAAGGUCCAUAUGAAUAAAUAUGGGUAUCGAUGGGUAUAUGAGAAAGAUCGACAACUACCAAACUCAGGUACUUAAUAUCAUUACUAUAUAGAUUCGUUUUAUUUUUGUUUUCUUAUUUCAUGUCUUAUAAAUGCAUUUGAGAUUUUCAUCACAAAGUUAUUGUCCUAUGUUGCAACAUGUGAAUGAGUUUCUAACUUCACUAUUUAACUAGACCUCAAAUACCAACAAAGUCUAUUUCAAUAAUAAGAUUCUAAAGAAAACCAACUAUAAAUACUCUUUAAGAUCAAAUAGUUGCACCAUGUGAGUGUGGAGUCUUUCCAUGUCUACUCUUCCCAGAUUCCUAGAUUAAUCAACAUGCUACACAAAUGGUUAAUACUUCAUCAUUUAUAGUUAUAGUAAUAGUUGUUUUCAAUGCUGAUGUCACUGACAGUUUCUUGUGAUAUAAUCACACUAUUGCAUGGUUCUGCUUAUUGCACAAGAAGUAACUUGCAUAUCUCAAGCAAAUAAUGGAUUGGUAAUUAACAACAACUUAUGUAUGUACAUUAAUUAAGCAUCCCCUAGCUAGUACAUUUUUAUUAUUAGUUCCUACAUUAGAUAUAACUUUUCUGAAGGGUCGACUAACGGCAAGUUCCCAAAAGCUGACAUGGUUGCAUCUUGAGGAUAUUAGUAAUUUCAGUAAAUACUUUCAUUGCUUGUUUUGGUUGUUAAAUAAAUAUCUUAAUUAGGUUGGUAAUAUUGAAUUGUAGUGUAACAAACAAACAGGAGAGUUAGAGUGUGACUAUUAUCUAAUGCAAUGGAUGAAAACUAUUGUACGAGCCGAUAUCGAAAGAGGUUGAGACCAGGUAAUCAUGUUUAACUAAUUCUUUAUGCCACAAACUAUGUUCAAUUUAAGGACUAAUUUCAACUUAUUGUGUGAUGCAGUAUUUUAUGGAUGUAUAAAUUCAUUAUUUAUGUGAAAUAGGCAUGUGCAACUUAUAUCAACUUGUACAACACUCUAGGAUAAAUUUUCUUAGAAUUUUAUUCAUGAUAUAUUUUUUACCCUUAAUUUUGAAACAUAUUUUCAGAAUUCAGGACGUACAGUUCAAUUUUUUUUUUCAAUAUAGAUUUAUCAUUUCACCCCGUCAUGGGUGUGUGGAGAAUACAAUGUCCCAAUUCUAAUAUCUAGGAAAGGGGUUUGAUUAAUCUUCUCAAACUUGAAAAAAAAAAUCAAAUUAAUAAAAAUAUAGUUUAGAAAAUGAUAACUCUAAAUGUACACACCAUAAAUCACUCUUUUACACUAAUUACAAACACAAAUUACAAUGAUAAUAUAAUAAAUUAUUCAAAUAUUUUAAAAAAUUAUUAAAAAAAAAUCUGACACAUUAACCUACUUGAGUAUAUAUUAUUGGAUUGUAUAAAUGGGUGAGUUCAGUCACUUGAAUGAAAUGGCGUUAAAUUUUAAAUUUUACUUCUCUAAAUUGAAAAUUUAACCUUGAAAGAUAACAUAAGGAGUUAUUACCAUUGAAUAAUUAAAAAAAACCAUAACAUUUAAAAACAUUACAUAAUUUAACUACUUAUAUUAAUGGUUGAACUAUUGAUUUUUGGAUGGUGUAACUUAAUCAAUUCAAUUUUAUUUUCUGAAAGACAACAGUAAAAAUCUUAAACCUGGGAUGAGUUCAAAUUUAACUCCACAAAAUAAGUGGCUUGUAAGUAAGAAUUAAUCUAACCUCUACACCUCUGGACUUUUCUAGAGAAUAAAAUUUUUCUUAAUAGUUAUUUCCUCUAACAAAAGAUCAAAGUUAUUAUUGAAGAUCCAUCCCAACCAAAAAUAUAUUGUCAAAAUAUAAUAUAUAAAUAAAUUACAAACAUCUACUUUAUAAAUUUAUAAAUUGGUUAUAUAAAAUUUAUUUAACCAUAAACUCAUUUACUAAUUAUUUGGAAAGACAAAAGGCCGUGUCUUAAAAUCCUUAUCUUGAGACACAUUUUCUAAGGUUGGAGGAUUCCACUGCAUACAUUUCAGUGUAUAGGAAUUUCAAAUACAGAUUUAUAUUUUAUAGCAUAAAAACAAAAUUAAAGCAUUCAUAUAAUAUUUUUUAGCAAGGAAGACAUUGCAUUAAUUGGCUUUUUUUUUACAAAAGUAGCGCAAUUUGAUUUCGAAUUUAUGUCAAUGAGAAAUUUUUUUAAAAGUUACUAAAUAUUAUUACCUAAACACGACUUUGAUGCUCCUUAAGUGAAAUCAUUUUUUUCCUACAUGACUUUAGUAUUGAUGGUAAAGUAACGUGAGCCAAUCAUAAGUUUGAUAAUCCUCAAUUAUUUUUAUUUUAUUACUGUAAAGUCGUGUAGGAGGGACAUGACUUCAGUUCAACAAUUCAACAUCUUUUUCAUUUACAUUGAAAUUGUGCAAAGAUGACACAAUUUUAAUUUAACCAAAUUUUUAUUGUAUUUGUAGUGAAGUUAUGCGGAUGAUGAUAGAGGACCAUCCGGAAGGACACAAUAUUGGACCUUUAACUAGGGCCAUGACUAGAAGAAUGGAAGAAGAAGAAGAAGGAGUUUAGAAAAUUCUAUUUUUAUGAAGAAUUAAUUUUUAACUUUUCUUCCAAAUUUCCUAGUCUUAUAAAAUUGUACAAAGUAGUAUAGACUUUAUUUGGAGCUUGUAUUUCGGCCAUUAUCUUGGGCCAUGUUUUGGACCAAUUUUCAUGGGCUAUGUAUUGAGUCAAUUAGAGUAGGGUGUAAAUAGAAAAAAGAAAUAAUCUAGCUAGAGUUACAAUUUGGUCUUCUUGGACCCAAUGCAACUCUAGACCAUCUAGGGUGCACAAAUAAAUUACUAGAGUGCAAAUACAAAGCAUGGAGUGGCGAGGAAGAAAUGAAGGUCCACAUGUCAUCUCCUUAAUGGAGAGGAUUCCAACCAAUGCCAUAAGGACAUUUGUCUUCAUGGGAAUGGAGAGGAUUCUCUCUAAUUAGAGGAGGACACCUGUCAACCUCUAAUUUGUGAGGAUUUGCUCCAAUUGGAGAUAGUCACUUGUCCUUCUUAUGAAUGGAGAGUUUUUAGGCUUAAAGUUUGCACAUUGGCUUCCCAUAGCACUAUAAAUACAAGUGCUAGCCUCCUUUAAAUUAGCUUUGAAUAGACUAUUGAAUUUCUGCCUCAACUAGUUUCUUAGCUCACUCUUUGCUAGCCUAAUAUCUAAGUGGUUUAACAAGGAACUUCUUAGGAGUUGGUCUAACCUCUCAUAAGCUUCAUUAUCAUUCUCCAUAUACCAAUACUUCACAAUUUCUUUCACUCAUUUUAGCACCCAAUCGCACCAAAUUCUACACCCCAAAAUACAAAACAAAAGACUCAUAGAUAUACAAGCUAAGAUUGCAUCAAAUGGUAUUAGAGCAUUAAGUUCACGCUAUCUAGAGUAUUAAACCUAAACAUUAAAUCUGGGAUGAGUUAAAAUUUAACUCCACAAAAUAAGUGGCUUGUAAGUAAGAGUUGAUCUAACCUCUACACCUCUGGACUCUUUUCCAUGGAAGAGACUUUUUCUCAAUAGUUAUUUCUUCUCACAAAAGAUCAAAAUUAUUAUUGAAGAUCUAUCUCAACAAAAAAUAUAUAAUAUAUAUAUAUAUAAACAAGUUACAAACAUCACUUUAUACCAUAACUCAUUUAUUAAUUACUUGAAAAGAGACAAAAAGUUGUCUCAAAAUCCAUAAGUGGAACAAAUUACAUAUUAUUGUCGUAAACCACUAGAGCUACCAUCAAACUACAUGCAAGGUCCUUGUCCACCACGCGUGCCCUGACUCCCUAAAAUGAAUUAAAAUUAACUCUUGUAUUUAAACAGAAGAAAGUUUGGUUUUGUUUGCAGAGAUAAAAAAUAGUUAUACCUCAGAGAUAUCCCCAGAUAUUACAAUAGUUUAUAUAUAUCUGUGUAUAUAUGAAUAUGAAGAGAGAACUAUUUGAUAUGUACACAUUAAAAGUAAUUCUCAAACCCCACUUCAAUAGUUUAGAUUUUAAUUAUAGAUUAUUUUAUUCUUGACUUUACAUUAUAAAGUAAGUAUCGUUCUUUAAUAUAUAUAUUUUUUCUCAUAUUAAAGUAAAUGUUAUUUUGUAAAGUCAAACUUUGCAAACUUAGAUACAAAAAAAGACAUGGUUAAUCUUUUGAGACAAAAAAAAAAAGGAGAAUUGAUGAAUGAUUGAACCUGAAGCUGCCGCUAGAAGAUCAUCUUCUGAUAUGGUAACUCUAGGUAUUGUGCGAACAAUUUUCAUUUCUAACAAAGAAGCAAGUUCAUUGAUGCUUAAGCAGUUGUUAGAUGGUUGAAAAAACAUUUUUGUUGACUGUUCUUGCAUCAUCAAUAACCUUCAUUCUUGACGUAAGAAUUUCUAUACCAAAGCUAUAACAUCUUUACAAGGGUCUAGUCUCUCCAUACAAAAAUCACCAUCUAUCAAUAAUGUUUGUUUCCCAUGCACUUAUCAAAUACUGUUUAAUCAACUUUCAUUCAAGACAACAUAUACAACAACAAUUUUGGAUUCACAGAGUCAUGACCACUUUUAUUAUUACAGAUACAGCAAAGGAAAAUGAAAAUAACAAGGGUAAUGGAAAUAUUUUGAAAAAGAAUUAAAUAUGCAAAGUCUUUAUGAGAAGAAAGUUUAAAUGAUUCACAUAUAUUAUCAGAUAUUAUUUAAAUGAUAUUCAUGAUUUAAUUUUGAAAAUUAUAUUAUUCACUAAUAAUUUGUUCCCAUAAAUUGUCAAGGACAUUAAAUAUUCAAGUUAAAGUUGUAGCAAAAUUUAUAUUGUCAACAUUUAAAUGAAUCAUUAGGAAAAGAAAAGCAUUAAAGACACAUCUAUGAACUUUUUCCUAUUCAAUGUCUAAUAUGAAAGAGAAGAUGAUGAUGCUAGAUUGGAAAAAUUCAAGACCAAAGAUGUUUAAUGUUAUGGGAUAGUAUUUAAAAUUUAAAUACAUGUCAUCAAAAUAAAUAUUUUCAUUUUGAACAUACUUGAACAAUACACAAGAAAAAUUCAUUGAGUCAUAAUUAAUUAAAGCCUACGUUCAAAUUUAAUACAGUUAAAGAAAUAUUUCUAAAGGAUAAUGAUUCAAGGAUGUGCAAAUUGCAUCAGAACGCGUCUACUGCAUGAUAAAUGUGGAAAAUCUAUUAUAUCUGGAAGAUUAAAGCUUCAACAUUAGAAUAUUUACAGAUAAAGAAGGUAUUUGAUAAAGAAGGUAUUUGAAGAGCAAGUAAUAGGCGAACUAAACAACAUAAAACUACAAAAAAACACUAUAGCACCUAAGCACUACUUUCUUCCUUACCUAACCACAUCGUCUACUUACUCACUUGAUACUUUUUAAUAGAUUUCAUGUAUACCAGCGGCUUAAGGCACCAAUCUGAGUAAGAAAAACAUGUUAAACGUAUUUUUGAAGUUACCCAUGACGAUACCUACAAUUGCACCAUUGUGAAAAUUUCAAUGUGGUCUAUACAACCAGUUUUAAAAAUCUUGUUAUUCCUUAGUUUCCACAAUUCUCCUAUUACUGUUAUCCACACACAACUCCAUAUCUGAUUGACAACUUCAUUAACAUCAGUCAUCUUAAACUGUGGGAAAUGCAUUUUUGGCUCCUGUUGGACCGUUGAUGCCAAACCUACCCACUCGUAACACUUAAACCAAACAAGCCAAGCUACUCUAUAGGUACAAAAAAAGUGAGACGUUGUUUCCACUUCCUCCCUACACAUACUACAUAUGUUGCUUACCAUACUUAUCUCCUUUCUCUCCAAAUUCCCUUUAGAUGUAAUCUUAUCUUCCAACAUCCUUCAAGCUAUGAUAUGAGCCGAUGGUUGUGCCUUUAUCCUCCAAAGAUGAAGAUCAACAUGACAUAUUUGAACAAAAUAUCAAAUCAAGAAAAUUAAAGUUGCAAUGUUCAUAUUAGAAGAAGAAAAAGAACUAAUGUGCAUUUCAAUCUACUUCUCUCAUUGUACUCUUAUUUAGACAUUAUUUUCAAUUAGUUAAUACUUCCAAAUUGAGUUUAAACUUCAUUCAACUUCUCUUCUUAAAUUGAAAUUUCAUUUGACUCUAUAAACAAUUAUUUGAAAGUCAUCGUGGUAAGUCUUUUAAAAUUGUAUCUAUAUACCUUUUUAUAAUAGUGUAAAUGUGAGAAAACUAUGUUAAUCAAAUAAUCAAGAAUAAUUGAUGUAAAAUAUCCUUUCUGAAAAAGUAUAGUGCAUUGAUUGCAAUUAUUUAAAAAAAAUAGAUAAAUCAAUAAGUUAUAAAUUAAUCAAAUUUAUAUUAUAACAAAUUUAUAUGAAUUGACUAGACUUACAACUUAUUCAUAAAUUUUGGACGAGAGAAAUAAAAACGUUUUCUGUAUUUUUUUUUUAUAAAUUUAUAUUAAAUACAGUGUCAAUUAUUUUAUUUAUUCCAAAUUAUCAAGUAAUUAAAAAUUAUAUUUAAUUACUAUCUUAAAUAAAAAAAACUCAAUAAAUUUUUAUACAAUUUUUACUUAUAAAUUUUAUAUAACUUUUUUAUUAACAAAGAAUAAAAUAAAUAAAUAAAAAAUAUUUGAAAAAUAUAUACUUAUAACGACUUAACAAAACAAUCCAAAAGUCCAUCCAUAUAAUUCUAACCAUAACCCUCAACCCCCUUAGUAUUACUACAUUGCAAGACCAUCUACAUCAAACUACUACAUUAUGGUGGAAAAAUAAAACGCGCUCAACGUCAUAAUAAAUUAUAUAACACAUAAUAUCCAUCAAAUAAAAAAAUGCUCACAUGACAUCCAGAAAUAAUAAUUUUUGUAAUAAUAUUUAUACUUUUAAUUUAAAAUUCUAUUAUAUAUUUAAUAUAUUAUUAAAUGGUUUGUUAACUUUUUGUAAGAGCGUAGAAAAAAUAUUUUUAAUAAAUUUAUGAAUCGUGAUAAGUUGACGUAAAAACAUCCUCAUAACAACCAAAUAUUAAUAAGUCGUUGAAUAUGUUUAUAAAAAAUUCAUAAAUUGGACGAGGACACAUUAACACCCAUAAAAUAAAUUAUCACUUGACAAGUUGACAUCCUUAAAUAAUAAUAUUUAUUUUACUUUUUAAUUUAAAUUUUAAUUAUUAUAGUAUUAAAGGGGGUUGUUAAUUUUUGAAAGAGUGUAGAAGAGAUUUUUUUAAUAAAUUUAUGAAUCGUGAUAAGUUGACGUAAAAACAUCCUUAUAACAACAAAAAGAAAUAUUUUAAUUAUAUUUAUUUUAAAUUUUAACUUAAAAUAUUAUAAUAUUAUUAUAUAGAGUUGUUGAAUGUGUAUUACUAAUGGACCGUGCAAUGCACGAGAAUAUUUAUAAUAUUUAUUAUNNNNNNNNNNNNNNNNNNNNNNNNNNNNNNNNNNNNNNNNNNNNNNNNNNNNNNNNNNNNNNNNNNNNNNNNNNNNNNNNNNNNNNNNNNNNNNNNNNNNNNNNNNNNNNNNNNNNNNNNNNNNNNNNNNNNNNNNNNNNNNNNNNNNNNNNNNNNNNNNNNNNNNNNNNNNNNNNNNNNNNNNNNNNNNNNNNNNNNNNNNNNNNNNNNNNNNNNNNNNNNNNNNNNNNNNNNNNNNNNNNNNNNNNNNNNNNNNNNNNNNNNNNNNNNNNNNNNNNNNNNNNNNNNNNNNNNNNNNNNNNNNNNNNNNNNNNNNNNNNNNNNNNNNNNNNNNNNNNNNNNNNNNNNNNNNNNNNNNNNNNNNNNNNNNNNNNNNNNNNNNNNNNNNNNNNNNNNNNNNNNNNNNNNNNNNNNNNNNNNNNNNNNNNNNNNNNNNNNNNNNNNNNNNNNNNNNNNNNNNNNNNNNNNNNNNNNNNNNNNNNNNNNNNNNNNNNNNNNNNNNNNNNNNNNNNNNNNNNNNNNNNNNNNNNNNNNNNNNNNNNNNNNNNNNNNNNNNNNNNNNNNNNNNNNNNNNNNNNNNNNNNNNNNNNNNNNNNNNNNNNNNNNNNNNNNNNNNNNNNNNNNNNNNNNNNNNNNNNNNNNNNNNNNNNNNNNNNNNNNNNNNNNNNNNNNNNNNNNNNNNNNNNNNNNNNNNNNNNNNNNNNNNNNNNNNNNNNNNNNNNNNNNNNNNNNNNNNNNNNNNNNNNNNNNNNNNNNNNNNNNNNNNNNNNNNNNNNNNNNNNNNNNNNNNNNNNNNNNNNNNNNNNNNNNNNNNNNNNNNNNNNNNNNNNNNNNNNNNNNNNNNNNNNNNNNNNNNNNNNNNNNNNNNNNNNNNNNNNNNNNNNNNNNNNNNNNNNNNNNNNNNNNNNNNNNNNNNNNNNNNNNNNNNNNNNNNNNNNNNNNNNNNNNNNNNNNNNNNNNNNNNNNNNNNNNNNNNNNNNNNNNNNNNNNNNNNNNNNNNNNNNNNNNNNNNNNNNNNNNNNNNNNNNNNNNNNNNNNNNNNNNNNNNNNNNNNNNNNNNNNNNNNNNNNNNNNNNNNNNNNNNNNNNNNNNNNNNNNNNNNNNNNNNNNNNNNNNNNNNNNNNNNNNNNNNNNNNNNNNNNNNNNNNNNNNNNNNNNNNNNNNNNNNNNNNNNNNNNNNNNNNNNNNNNNNNNNNNNNNNNNNNNNNNNNNNNNNNNNNNNNNNNNNNNNNNNNNNNNNNNNNNNNNNNNNNNNNNNNNNNNNNNNNNNNNNNNNNNNNNNNNNNNNNNNNNNNNNNNNNNNNNNNNNNNNNNNNNNNNNNNNNNNNNNNNNNNNNNNNNNNNNNNNNNNNNNNNNNNNNNNNNNNNNNNNNNNNNNNNNNNNNNNNNNNNNNNNNNNNNNNNNNNNNNNNNNNNNNNNNNNNNNNNNNNNNNNNNNNNNNNNNNNNNNNNNNNNNNNNNNNNNNNNNNNNNNNNNNNNNNNNNNNNNNNNNNNNNNNNNNNNNNNNNNNNNNNNNNNNNNNNNNNNNNNNNNNNNNNNNNNNNNNNNNNNNNNNNNNNNNNNNNNNNNNNNNNNNNNNNNNNNNNNNNNNNNNNNNNNNNNNNNNNNNNNNNNNNNNNNNNNNNNNNNNNNNNNNNNNNNNNNNNNNNNNNNNNNNNNNNNNNNNNNNNNNNNNNNNNNNNNNNNNNNNNNNNNNNNNNNNNNNNNNNNNNNNNNNNNNNNNNNNNNNNNNNNNNNNNNNNNNNNNNNNNNNNNNNNNNNNNNNNNNNNNNNNNNNNNNNNNNNNNNNNNNNNNNNNNNNNNNNNNNNNNNNNNNNNNNNNNNNNNNNNNNNNNNNNNNNNNNNNNNNNNNNNNNNNNNNNNNNNNNNNNNNNNNNNNNNNNNNNNNNNNNNNNNNNNNNNNNNNNNNNNNNNNNNNNNNNNNNNNNNNNNNNNNNNNNNNNNNNNNNNNNNNNNNNNNNNNNNNNNNNNNNNNNNNNNNNNNNNNNNNNNNNNNNNNNNNNNNNNNNNNNNNNNNNNNNNNNNNNNNNNNNNNNNNNNNNNNNNNNNNNNNNNNNNNNNNNNNNNNNNNNNNNNNNNNNNNNNNNNNNNNNNNNNNNNNNNNNNNNNNNNNNNNNNNNNNNNNNNNNNNNNNNNNNNNNNNNNNNNNNNNNNNNNNNNNNNNNNNNNNNNNNNNNNNNNNNNNNNNNNNNNNNNNNNNNNNNNNNNNNNNNNNNNNNNNNNNNNNNNNNNNNNNNNNNNNNNNNNNNNNNNNNNNNNNNNNNNNNNNNNNNNNNNNNNNNNNNNNNNNNNNNNNNNNNNNNNNNNNNNNNNNNNNNNNNNNNNNNNNNNNNNNNNNNNNNNNNNNNNNNNNNNNNNNNNNNNNNNNNNNNNNNNNNNNNNNNNNNNNNNNNNNNNNNNNNNNNNNNNNNNNNNNNNNNNNNNNNNNNNNNNNNNNNNNNNNNNNNNNNNNNNNNNNNNNNNNNNNNNNNNNNNNNNNNNNNNNNNNNNNNNNNNNNNNNNNNNNNNNNNNNNNNNNNNNNNNNNNNNNNNNNNNNNNNNNNNNNNNNNNNNNNNNNNNNNNNNNNNNNNNNNNNNNNNNNNNNNNNNNNNNNNNNNNNNNNNNNNNNNNNNNNNNNNNNNNNNNNNNNNNNNNNNNNNNNNNNNNNNNNNNNNNNNNNNNNNNNNNNNNNNNNNNNNNNNNNNNNNNNNNNNNNNNNNNNNNNNNNNNNNNNNNNNNNNNNNNNNNNNNNNNNNNNNNNNNNNNNNNNNNNNNNNNNNNNNNNNNNNNNNNNNNNNNNNNNNNNNNNNNNNNNNNNNNNNNNNNNNNNNNNNNNNNNNNNNNNNNNNNNNNNNNNNNNNNNNNNNNNNNNNNNNNNNNNNNNNNNNNNNNNNNNNNNNNNNNNNNNNNNNNNNNNNNNNNNNNNNNNNNNNNNNNNNNNNNNNNNNNNNNNNNNNNNNNNNNNNNNNNNNNNNNNNNNNNNNNNNNNNNNNNNNNNNNNNNNNNNNNNNNNNNNNNNNNNNNNNNNNNNNNNNNNNNNNNNNNNNNNNNNNNNNNNNNNNNNNNNNNNNNNNNNNNNNNNNNNNNNNNNNNNNNNNNNNNNNNNNNNNNNNNNNNNNNNNNNNNNNNNNNNNNNNNNNNNNNNNNNNNNGGAAACCCAAUGGUUUAUUUGCUGUGUCAGAAAGUUCCAGUGCCUAACUUUUUUAUAUAUCAUUAUUAUUCUACGUAAAAUACUUUUAAAAUUGAUUUAAUUUUAAUUUGAAAAUUUGGAAAUUUUAUUCAGUUUGAUUUUGAUGAUUGUUUUUUGGACUUUUUAAAGUGUCUGUAAUAUUAUUUUAAUUUUGGCAAAUAAAUUUAAAAAGUGAUUUAUUCAAAUAUUUCGAAAUUUCGUACAAUACUUCGAUGGUAUAUAAAAUUUCAUAGAUAAAAAAAGUUAAACUAAAAUUUAAUAGACAAUUUACUAUAUUUAAUUUUCAUUAUUAUAAUUAUAAUAAUUAAUAUAAAUUACAAAUUGUUAAUAAAGACAAAUUAACUUCAAAUGUGAAUCAUUCAAAUUCAAAAUAAAUAUUAAAUAUAGUAGAUAAACAUUAAAGCAUUCAUGAGCAAAUUACAUUAGUUUGCAUUGUAAAUAGUACAAUUAUUAUAAAACAAAAAGAGGAACUAAUUAAUUGUCCCCAAAACAUUUAAAUUAUAAUUACAAUGAUGGUCUUUCAAAAGUUUUUGAGAUCCAAUAAAAAUAAUAUACGUAAAUUUGAUUGUUGUCCACGAACUUCACCAUGUUGGUACAUCUCCAAAAAGAUCUUGAACUAAUAUCUGCAAUUAAAAAAAAUUAUGUAAAAAAUAUAAUUAAUUACAUUAUAGAAACAUAUUUAAAGUAAAUAGUAUAAAAGAAUAUGUUUGUUCCUUAAGGAACAUGGUUUAGGUAUGAAGCAUAUUGAAUUAUGCGACAACCUGCUUACUAGAAAUUAAAAUCAAAUAUAUGAAAUAUAUAUAAUGACAAAGGAUGAAAUAUUAAUUAAAACAUAUAGUGCUCAGACAAAGAAAAUAAAUUUAAAAGUUCAUAUAACAUAAGUCUAAUUGUAUGCCAAAACAGGUAAAAAAAUAUCAAAAUAUAAUACAUUACUGAGUGGUUAAUAAUGAACAAUAUAAUAAAAAAAACCUAUUGCAGAAUAUAUUAAAACCUAUUGAAUAACAGAUAAAAAAGAAUGAAAAAGAAUGAAAGAUUUAUGAGUUUAAUGUACGGGCAAUGGUUAUAGUGUUAAGCAUCAUAUGUAACAAUGCUAACACAUUAUAAACACACCUCAUAAUGAAUGAAAGUUUGAAGUAAAACCUAGAACAAAUAAAAACAAAUAUAUUCAGAUAAACAUUAAACAUAAUAACAAUAAAAUAACCCUAAACAUUAAUAAUAAUAAACUGUUCUGGUUUUCAACAAAGGGAAACUUAAGUAAACCACAAAAGGUAACUUUUUUCUCCUUUGAAAACAAAAGACAGGAUUUAUCCAAAAAACAUUAAGAGAUUUAAUUAUAGAGUUUGGGCUGUCUUUUAUAGUGACUUUUCAUGAGUAGCAAAACCCUGAUAUCAGAAGAAGGCAUCAGCAUAUGACAUUCAAAUAUAAUUUUGUCGUCUUCACGGAAGGAAUGAAAACUACAAAAUUUUUUCCAGCCACUCCCAAGCUUGAUGUUAGUGGAAGGAAACCUUCCUCUCAACACUCUGCAUUUAACAUCAUGUAGCAGUCCAUGUAGCGUAACAUUUCUGAAUUUCGUUUUCAAAAGAUAUUCCGCAAAUCCACCCCGGAGAUCCUUCAACAAAAUAAGAGUAAGUAUUAAAGAAAAGCAAUAGAAUAUAAACAAAGAAUUUAAAAGAAAGGAUUCUUAAAGUUACCAGAUAAUUUCUUUUGAUAUUAAAAGAAGAUAACUCCAUAUAAAAAUGUUCAAAGGGACCCUUGGUCAGCGGUUCCCUUCCUUGAACUUCCUUCAAAUAACGAUUAACACCAAUUUCACAUAUCUCUCCCAUAAAAACAGUUAUUGUGAAACAACUUUGACCCCCAUAACGGAAGAGUAUAGAGUGGUCACCUUUAAAGCCAUAAACGGAACUCAAAGUCGACCAUCCAUCCAAAAUUUCGGGAGACAAUAUAUCCUGGUUAUAAUAUACUUUGUGGACGUUCCCUGCACUAUCUACGAGGGUCCACUCCUUAGAAAGUUCUCCUUGAAACUCAACAGCGAAAGCACGAUCAACAUAACCAUACUAUACAUUGUGAAAAAUAAAAAAAGUAAACAAAAUGCAUUGAUGAAAAAAGUAGGUAUUGAAGAGAACAAAAAUAAACUACAUACUUGCCCGCAAAUGUACAUUGAACAAAAAAGACCUCGUGUAUCAAGUUCAUUAAUUUCUUCAGCAGAAAAAGCCAUCUAAGUUAAUAAUAAAAAGUGGAGAUUGAAUGACUUAGGAAAAGCUAGUAUAGAAACGUAGAUAAAAGAAAAGAGUAGGAUUCUGAGUAAUGAAAAGGCAAGUUUCUUACGUAUUUAUAGCCAAAUAUGAGUCGUCACACUUUCAUAUCCAUUGUCUCAAACAACAUAUUGUUUCAGUUCAAGAAAAAUAAGAAAUCAUUAUUUAAAAAUAAUAAGAGUACAUAAAAAUAAUCAUUAUUUAAAUAUUUAAAAAUAAUAAAAUAGUCAAUCAUGAAUAGAAAAUAAGAUAAGUAUGUGAACUGUAAUUAUUGCUACACCAUUGUAUUUGAUGACCUUUCAACUUUCCACUGCAUUAUACAACAGAAUACUUGUGUUUCAAGUAUCUUAUUAAACAAAUAUUGAAAUAAUAAUUAUUACAAUUUUCUAAUUUUUAUAACAAAUGAUAAUAAUAUUAGUAAAUAGUAUAAUUUUAUUUACUAAUAAUUAAUAUUUAUAUGAAAAAAAACAAACAAUUAACAUAAUUCAAAAUAAUAAUAUAUCUAUAUAAUUUUGACAUAUCUAAUAAUUUAAUAGUAAAAUGAAUAGACUUAUAAUUUUUACCAAAUUUAUCUAUAUAUUGAAAUCAUUACUUGUUGCCAUAUCUAAGAGAAAUCCCUAGGAAGACUAAAAGUCUACAUUGAGAAGAGUGUAGAAGGGAUAGAGAACAAUCACAGUUCUGACACUUAUUUAAUGAACAUUAUUAAUUAAAAAUAAAAUAGUUUACACAAAAAGGUUAGUACAAUCAGAAAUAUAAAAUAAGGAUUAAAAAGGGUAAAAUCAUUAUGAUUUAUCACAAAAAAAUAAAUAUUAAAAACCACAUAUCAAACAUAAAUGUGAAAAAUAAUUGAAUGGGAACAAUAAUUUUGAACCACGUAUAAAUAAAUAACUGUUGUAAAUCAAUAUACAUACCUGUAAUAAUAACUCAUCUGAAAGCAAAAUAUUAUUGUAAUAAUCUUAAAAAAAAUGGAAGAACAAAUAUGAUAUACAAUUUGAUAAGUAAUAUCUUAAAUAAUUAUAACAUUAUAACAUAAUUGACAAACCUGUAGGAUUAUCUACCUAACAUUCUUCCAAAAAAUAAAUCAUUAUAUUAAUUAGACACAAACUAACUGAAAUUCUUAAGUAGAAGGCAAACUUAACCAUAAAGUAAUUACGUACAUUAAAGAUAAGGUACAAUGAUGAAAUAAACAAUGUUGUGAAUAGAAAUUAGAAAGGGUUAACAAAAUUACAAAUACAAACUAAAAAUGUGCAAGAGUAAAGAAAUACAUCAAAAUUCAUCUUUCAUAGUACUCCUUUUUCAAGCUAAAAUGGUUAUUCGAAUUAAUGGUAUUCCAUUUUGAAUGACAUGAGGUGGAAAUAACAACAGAAGUACAAUUUAUGAUGUUAUAAUUUAAAAUAAGUUGGAUUUAUUUAGGGAAAACAGAACAACAGCAUACAGGAAUGUUUCAAGUAUUAUGUAUCAUAAAUUGUUUGUUCAUUAUUGUGGCUAACAAAUAAUAUUUACGAAUAAGAACUACGCUCAAGUGCAUUUUCAGAAAGCCAAUGAAGAACAUAUAUGACUCAAGAACCAUAAAUAAAAAGAUAGAUGAAUUUCUUGAUACAUUACCGUUUGACUGAGAAUGGGAACCAAAUUCGUUUCUUGUAGUAACCUUUGGCAUCACUUCCUCCAUAACUUCAGAGAGUAUUGUACUGAGAACAAACUAUUUUUGUGCAUACAAAUCCUAUAUUAUUAUAAUUAUUAAAAAAAGGUACCUUUCAAAGGGAAAAAAAUUGUUGCAUUCUUGUCCAUCAUUUCCAAAUAUAACCUAAUUAUAAAAUAAUAAUAAGAAAAGGAAGUCGUGCAAGAAACCCUAAAAUUUGUCAACGAUCCACAAAAGCUCACCUUUUACUUACAUUGUCGGUUUCCAUGAAUGUGCAUUCAUUGUCUGUAAUGACUAAUUCCAGAAAAGAGAUAUCAACAAACAAAAAUAAUUGAUAAGUAAAUCGUAAAUAAAAUAUGGAUGAUUUUUUUAAUAAAAUGCUUUAACCUGAAAUCUAUGACCUAAAUGCAUGUCAAAAGCAUAACUUUAAUUAUCAUUUCUGUGAAUAAUCAACAAAGAAGGAAAAUUAAUUUCAUUUCCGAAAUCAUGAAUCCCUCUAAAGUAGGUAUGAAUACUAAAUUCCUUAUUCUCAUGUGAAUAAAAGAGAAAUAUACUUCUUAUGUUCUAGAUCUCAAGAAUAAAGAAAUAAGAAAGUACAUAUGAAAAAUAAAACUCUCCAGAUUCUGCCAAAAUGGAGAAAGGAAGUAAAGCAAUCUGAAGAAAAUGAUGAAAGCACUGAAAGCACAGACGUUUGCAACUAAGUGUCUUUUUCUGUUGGAAAAAAAAAAACUUUGCAUUGAAUAUGGACAUUCCAAGAAAUGAAAACUGAACAAAAAAAUUAGGAAUUAGGCUUAGGAGACCGACCCUUAGUUUAUUUUUUGUUUCCAGAGAGUUCCAUAGUUCUAAGGUCUUAACGUUUUAUUAUUAUUAUUAUUUUAAGUGAAAUAAGUUAGAGAUUAAUUCUAUUUUAAUUUUAAAAUUAGAAAAUUGUAUUAAUUUUGAUUUGAUGUUGAUGGUAAGUUUUGAUAAUUUUUAUACUUCUAUAAUAUUAUUAUAAAUUAUUAUAAAUUUUGGAAAUAAAUUUAAAAACUAAUUUCUUCAUCUAAUUCAAAUUCGAAUUUCAGACAAUAAUUCAAGAUUUAAACAAUAACAUUUCUUACACAAUUUACUAUAUUUAAUAAUCAUAAUAACAAUUAAAAUUAAGAUAUAUUACAAAUAGUUGAUAAAGACAAUUUGACUUCAAAUGUGAAUAAUUGAAAUUCAAAUUAAAUAUAGUAUAUAAACAUUAAAAAAUUGAUGAUUAGACAACAUUAGCUUACAAUGUAAACAAUACAGGUACUGUAAAAGAAAAAAAGAACUAAUUUAUUGUCCCCAUAUAACAUUUACAUUACAGCAAUUUCCUAAUUUGAGAUUACAAUGAAAAUGAUAUAAUUAAAUUGGAUUGUUGCCACAAACUUCACCAUGUAGGUACAACUUCACUUAAAAGAUCAUGCACUUCUUUCUCCAACUUCAUAAAAGUAUGUAAAAAGUAUAACUAAUGACAUAAUAGAAAUAGAAAUAAAAAUAAAUUUAAAGUAAAACUCAUAAAAGGGAAAUGUGUGUUUCUUAACAGAAACAUGUUUUAGGUGAAAAACAUAUUAAAUUAUGCAACCACCUUCUUUGAAAUAAUUUGAAAUCAAAUCAAAUAUAUGAAAUAUAUAAUGACAAAUGGACAAAUAUUAAUAUUAAUACAAUGAAAUAGUGCUUAUACAUAGAAAAAGAAAUUUAAAAAACCAUAUAAGAGAAGUCAAAAUGUAUGCCAAGACAAUUCAAAACGAUCUUAGGAUUUAAUAAUUAAUAAUGAACAAUAUAAUCAAAAUCAUCAUUCCACAAUAUAUUAAAAAAAAUGAAUAACAGGUAAAAAAGAAUGAAAGUUUUGUGAGUUUAAUGUACUGGCAACUGUUUUAGUGGUAAGCAUAUGUAACAAUGCUAACACAUUAUACACAAGCCUGAUAAUGAAUGAAAGUUUAAAGUAAAACAUAAAACAAAUAAAAAUGAAACAAAUCAGAUAAAGCAUAAACAUAAUAAAAUCCAAAUAAACAUAAACAUUAAUAACAACAAAUUGUUCUGGUGUCCAAAAAAGAGAAACCUUAAAACCAACUUGGAAAGAUAAAAAGUAAAAAUGUUAACUAAACAACAAAAAGUAAAUAGUUCUUAUCCUUUCAAAACAACAGAAAGUAGUAUCCCAAACCAUUAACAAAUCUAAUUAUAGAGUGUGGUCUGUCUUUUGUAGUGACAUAUCUUGACUUGCAGAACCCUAAUAUUAGAAAGAGACAUCAUCAUAUGACAUUCAAAUAUAAUUUUAUCAUCUUCACGGAAGGAAUGAAGACUGCAAAAAAUUUUCCAGCCCCUGCCAAGCUUGAUGUUUGUGCAAGGAAAUCUUGCUCUUAGGACUUUGCAUUUAACAUCGUGUACUGGUCCAUGUAGCAUAACGUAUUUGAAUCUCGUUUGCCGAAGAUAUUCCGCAAGUCCACCACGCAAAUCCUUCAACAACAUGAGACAGUAUUGAAAAAAAAGCAAUACAAUAUAAAACAAAGAUUUAAAAUAAAAGAUUCUUAAACUGACCACAUAAUUUCUUUUGAUCUAAAAAGAAGACAACUCCAUGUAAAAAUUUUCAAAGGGACCCUUGGUCAGCGGUUCCCUUCCUUGAACAUCCUUCAAAUAACUAUUAACACCAAUUUCACAGAUCUCUCCCAUAAAAACAAUUAUUUUGAAAAAACUUUGACUCGCGUAACGGAAGAGUAUAAAAUGGUUGCCUUUAAAGCCAUAAAUGGAACUCAAAGUCGACCAUCCAUCCAAUAUCUGGGGAGACAGUAUAUCCUUGUUAUAAUAUACUUUAUGCAAGUUCCCUGCACUAUCUGCGAGGGUCCACUCCUUAGAAAGUUCUGAUUGAAACUCAACAGCGAAUGCACGAUCAACAUAACCAUUCUAUCCAUUAUGAAAAAUAAAAGUCAAUAAAAUGCAUUGAUAAAAAAAAGUAGGUAUUGAAGAAAAGAAAUGAACUUCUUACUUUCCCGCGGAUGUACAUUGAUGAAAAAAGAGCUCGUGUAUCAAGUUUCAUAAUUUCUUCAGCACAAAAAUCCAUCGAAGUGAAUAAUAGAUAGUGGACAAUGAAGGAAGUAGGGAAUAGUAAGAUAGGAACGUAGAAAGAACAAAAGAGUAGGAUUCUGAGUGAACAAAAGCCAAGUGUCUUACGUAUUUAUAGCCAAAUAUCAGUCGUGACCCUUUGAUAUCCAUUGACCCUUUUAUAUCCAUUGUCUCAAACAACAUGACGUUUCAGUUGAAACAAUAUAUUUAAUAAUAAAGAGAGGAAUAGAUAAUUAAUAAUUAAUAAUGAAUAAUAAUACUAAAUAAUAAUAAAAAAUUGAUUAUUUAGAAAGGAAAAAAAAUACUGAAUCAUGAAUAAAAGAUAAAAAAAUUACCUGUAUAUAUUAUAUAUAUUAUAUUAUAUAUUAUAUUGAAAUAAUAAAUUGCUGCCAUAUCUAAGAGAAAUACCUAGGAAGAUUAAAAGACAACAUUGAAAAGAGUGUAUAAGAGAUAGAUAAAGGCCACAAUUCUGACAGCUAUUUAAUAGACCUUAUUAAUUAAAAAUAAGUUAGUUUAAACAAAUUUAGAUGAGUAGAAUGAGAAAUAUAUUAUAUUAUAUGGUUUAAAAAACCUAAAAUGAUAUGACUUCUCAAAAAAAAAAAACUAUUAAAACAACAUAUAUAAAAAGGGUGUUUAUAAAAUAUACAUACUUGUAAUAAUACAUCCUCUGAAAGCAAAAAAUUAUUGCAAUAAACUUCAAAAGAAAUAGAAGAAACAGAUCAAAUAUAGAAGUUGAUAAGUAAUAUCUGGAAUAAUUAUAAAUUUAUAAAAUAAUUCACAAACCUGUAAGUUUUGUGCCGAACAUUCUUCCAAAAAAUAAGUCAUUAUAGUAAUUACACAAAAACUGUUUAACAUUUUUUAACUAUAACGUAACGUAAUUACGUAACAGAAGGAUAACGUCGAAUAAUGAAUUCAACAAUAUUAAAUAAACAGACUCAAAAUGUACUGAUACAUCAUAAAAUAUUCUGAAUAGAAAUUAAAAAUAGUCAUAGAAAUGUCCAACACUGAUAGAAAUACAUCAAAAAAAAUCAUCAUUCAUAAAACUCCCUUUUCGAUCUUGAUAUUUUUCCUUAAUACCCUUAAUGGAACAUCAUCAUCGGCUGUGUGUGAUGGUGAAGCAAAAUCUCUUUUAAGUCCAGGAGGAACGACUUCAACACUUAACUGACUGUCACUCGCUAUGUCAACAAUUUCAGAAUACAAUUCAACAACUUCAUUGGCAAAUUUUUUAAACAAAUCCUGCAACAUGAAGUACAAAUAUUAGUAAGAUUUUUUAUUUUUAAACUAAUUAUUUAAAUAUUAAAUGCCUGAGGAACUUCUACAAAGGAAUCGUCUUGUUCGACAUCUUUAAUACUGCAUAGUCUUUUCUUCUGAGAUUGAAGUUCCUUGACAACAUAAAAAUUAAAGUAAAAGAUAUAAAUAAUUCUUUUAGAAAUAAAAUGCAACACAAAAUAUAAUAAAAUAAAAUAAAAAUACAUACCGAACUUUCAGAACCACCAUUAGAAAAUAUUUGGAUAAUACUGUCAUCAAUACAAAUUUUUUUGACAUGGAAUGAUUGAUCAAACCUGUUAGAUUGAUCUUUAACACAACCAACUUUAAACAACACAAUUUUGUCUAUCAAAAGACCAAAUUCUUUGGGUAGUACACCAGAGUCAGUGUUCUAGAAAUUAAAAAGAAGAGUAAAAUAUUACUAUAUUAAUUUAUACAAUAACAUUUUCAUAUAUGCAUCAAUAGACAUAACAUAAGCACUAUUGGAAAAUUACCUUGUCAUUACUUUCAAAUAAUUCCGCACAAGAUUUAUUUAUCAGUGUAGUUGCAUCUCUGUCAAAAAGAACAAAAGUGGUGGAGUCUGUUUCAUCCAUUACUCGCACCUUCAGCUUAUACCUGAAAUAUAAAAUAUAAAGAAAACAUUAAGAAAUAUAAUAUAAUAGAUUUUACUAAUAUAGAAAGUAAUGAACAGAAAAUUAUGGCGUUUACAAAGAAUACCUUGGUUGCACUUUCAUAACAUGCUUAUUACAUUUUUCACACAAAAAACAUCUUUGAAUCCGGGUAAACGGCUUUAUUGCAUAAUCAAGCCGUGUACCACCAUUCAUCAUUAGCUACAAUAUGUUUUAUAGUAGCUAAAACAACAAAAGUGCUUUCCUGAAAACAAAAACAGGUUCUGCAGUUAAGAAUACAUAAUUGAUUUAAUUAAAUUUUGCUAAAAAAAUAUAAUUAUACCUCCUUGCAAUCUUUCAGGCCUUGAAUAGUGUUUCUUGGAAUGAAGUGGAUAAAUUCAUCAUCAACAUUCUGUUUUGCAGAAUCACACAACUGACUGAGUCCUUGAGUAGGAGAAUUUGUAUUUUCCAUCAUCCUACAAAUGUUAAACUUGUAGUUAGAAUGUGUCAUAAUUUUCAAGUAAUGAGUGACAAAAGUACGUAUUGAAGUAACCUUUUCUUAAGUUCGUUUGCUUCUUUAGACUAAAAGUUAAAUUUUAAUUUCGUACAAUCCAAGCAGUUUUGUAGGCAAACCUUGUCUACAAUCAAAAUAAAAUACAUUAGGUUAUAAGUACAUAAAUUUAAGUAGAAUAAUAAAAAAAUAAGUUACAGUUGCAUGAGUAAACAUACCCUGGAAAAUCUUGACUUUAGCAAAUUGCACACUGAUGACCACAUUUUGCAACUCUCCAGAUGACAAAAAGGCAUUCAGCUCAUCAACGUAAUUGCCAAAUAAAGUACACUCCAUGCGCAAGCUGUUGUAAAUAAAAUUUGAAUUGUUUAAAACAAAUUUUCGAAUGGUUGAACUACAAAAUUUUAGCUUACCCAUUAGCUUCAAUGGAAAUCACAUUUAACUUAGUUGAUGAGCCUGUUCUAUUAAUCUCCCUCUCAGUGCCUACACCAGUCAGUAAACCAAUAACAUCUGGAAGAAGAAAAUUAUGUAAGCACAUAUGGAAACAAAUAUGUUGAACCAAAACCAUUAUAAGUAAACUUACCAACUAAAUAAUCAGUAUCAAAACCAGGGGCUCUUAUCACAGACAUUGGGGUGUACCGAGGUAUUGCACAUGAUACCAGUUCAUUUCCUACAUAGGUUACCUUAGUUCCAAACUGGAAAUUAAUCUUGUACUUGUGACGGGUUGUUCUAUAAGAUCAUGAAUUAGUUGUCACACUAAAGAAAUUGAAAGAAUAAACCUUAUCCUCAAAAAAUAUGAUUUUGAAAUUUAUAAAUUAGUGUUUUUCUAACAGAAACAUGAAUUCUAUCACCCUGGAAAAGAAGAAUCAAGAUUAAACAUGAUUAGAAUAAUUGAUAUUAAUAUUUAGAUCAAACCAAUAACGAAAGAAAAUGAUAAAACAGUUCACCUCUUUAUCUUGAAUCACCAUUUCCAUUGAGAAUGGAAACUUGCUUUUCUUGAAGUCCGACACAAACCACAAUCGAAUCACUUUUGCUAUUAGAAUCCAAUUUUCAUUCUCUGGAUUGAUAUCUUUGAUUGAAUUUGUAUUUUGUCUUAACAAAGACAUUGUAAGAUAUUCCUUUUAAGAAGAAGGAAAAUGCAGACUGCAAAUGCUGAUGCUAAAUGAGAUUCCAACAUACCACGCAUCUAUUUAUAGAGAAGGAUUGGUGCUUAAUUAUUUUGAAAAAGUAAAAAAUAAGUAAAGUAUAGAUUUCAAAAUGAGUACGAAUAGUAAGAAAAAGAAUCAAUGAUGAUUGAUUUAUACAAUGUUUCACGAAAAGGAAAAGAUUUUUGAAAUAAUCAAACCAUAAAAUAGUCUAAUACAUACGAUAACGUUAACAUUGUGAUAAAAUUCUUAACUUUUAGGUCUAGGAAACAAAAUUGCUUUUCCACUCAAAAGAACAUCAUUCUACUUUAAGCAUUAAAAUUAAUGAAAAUGUUGUUUGACUUUAGAAAGAGAAAAAUGUUGCGAAGAGACUUUCACAGACAUCUAUCUAUAAAAAAUGACGUUAUACAAACCGACGUACAUGCAAUAUGUAAAACAGAUGAAAACCAAAGUUCAAAAAUUGGUCCAUUUACAUAAAGAUGUUCCAAAAAUAGGAACUUCACAUGCUUUUUUUUGCAGAUUUGAAAAAGACCUUUUCUGGUUUACAAAAAAAAGGAACCCUUGCUUUGAAAACCUAUCUAUAAAACACAGAUUGAAAGCUUACAAAAUUGAUACUACGAAGAUUGAGAAUGUAAGUUUCAUGAAGAAGGUAAAAUGUCAUAAAUCUAUACAUAAUCGUACAAAAGAACGAAAAAAUCGUACCUGGGGGUUCAUAUAACUUGCAAUCAGUUUCAAAAACAUGGAAAAAAGGGAACCCUAUGAAAAGGUUUAACACAGUUUGGGAAAAAAUCAGUAUGCUAAGCAAAACAUUCACAGUAAAAAUUCCAACAAAAGGUAACGUGGGGUUUAGGAAAGGACGAAGUUCUUACCAAUUUCAUUUCAUGAUACAGUAUUGAUUUCCCAUGCAUACAAAAGAACGAAAAAAUCUUACCUUGGGGUUCAUAUAUCGUGGAUUGAGAUUCGCAAACAUGGAAAAAAAAGGAAAACCUAUCAAAGUAGCGGUGGCUGGGGCAGAGCAUAUGUGAUGGAGCAAAGCAAAUGUGAUGAAAAAAUAAUACAAAAUGGAAGAGAGGUUGUGAGUUUAGGUAAUUGCAUCUUUUAAGAAAAUCCUUGUAUCAGCUGCAAUAAAAAUCAAUUCUUUAAAUUUCAUUAAUAUUUUUAAAAUAUUAUUAAAGAAUUUAUUAUAAAUUUUUUUAUUAUAGAACCUGUGUAAAGUAUAAUAGAACCUGUGUAAAAUAAUUUAAAAAUGAAAAAAAUAGGUCAUUUGUGAAGAAUGAAAAAAACCUUACACCCUCUCCCUCAUCCAGUCUCCCACUGUCAAAAUCAUGGAAAGAAACAACAAAAACAAUCCCUCCCUCCUCAAACUUAAUUGUUGAUGGACAAACUUGAUUUUUGAUGGACUUUUAGACAAAAUUGAUUUGAAAUUAACUUUACAGACUUAAUCCUUCAUUUGUUUAAAUAGCAUUACAAUUACAUUAUUUUUUGUAUUUGAAUUCAUUUUCAAGUUUAAUAUUUUCAUUAAUUAUUAAAAUGGAAUAUUGCUAUUUUUAACUUUGUUAAAUAAUUAUUUAAUACUAUUAAACAAUUUUCAAUUUGUCUUAUUUUACAAUAUUUCUAUUUGAAUUCAUUUUCAAGUUAAAUAUUCUAUAGGUUGAUGUUGAUAUUAUUUGAUAUUAUUUUUUUUAUUUGAAUUCAUUUUCAAGUUUAAUAUUUUCAUUAAUUUAAAAAAUGGAAUAUUGCUAUUUUUAACUUUAUUAAAUAAUUAUUUAAUUAUUUAAUACUAUUAAACAAUUUUCAAUGUCUUAUUUUACAAUAUUUCUAUUUGAAUUCAUUUUCAAGUUAAAUAUUCUAUAUGUUGAUGUUGAUAUUAUUUGAUAUUAUUCAUAUAUAUUAUUAAUAUUAUUAUAUUAUUUUUUGUAUUUGAAUUCAUUUUCAAGUUUAAUAUUUUCAUUAAUUAAUUUAAAAAAUGGAAUAUUGUUAUUUUUAACUUUGUUAAAUAAUUAUUUAAUACUACUAAACAAUUUUCAAUUUGUCUUAUUUUACAAUAUUUUCUAUUUGAAUUCAUUGUCAAGUUUAAUAUUCUAUAUUCUAUAUGUUGAUAUUAUUUGAUAUUAUUCAUAUAUUAUUAUACUCCAUUUUUCAUUAUUUUAAAUAUUAAAAAAAUGGAAUAUUGCGAUUUUCAAAAUUGAUAAAUCAAUAUUUCAUGCUUUUCAACAUUUUUCAAUUUGUAUUUUUUUAAAUAAAGUAAAAAAAUAUAAUUUGUAUUUGAAUUCAUUUAAAAAAUGGAAUAUUGUUAUUUUCAACUUUGUUAAAUAAUUAAUUUGGGAUAAUGAAUGAACAAUCUAAGACGUGCAUCCUGUAGUGAACGAAUACAACGAAAAAUAAAGUAAAUUAAGAAAAAUUAAGUAAUAAUUAACAAAUACUUAACAAUUAACAAACAAAAUUAAAUAUUUGUCUUCGUUUAAAAACAACGACUAGAAAGGUUUAGCCUAAAAGCAUAACAAAAAACUUAAAAGACAUGUUAACAUAAAAAAUUGUCCUCAAAACUUGUCAUCAACAGCAAAACCCUGAUAUGAGAAGAUGGGUUCCUGCUAUCGCAUUCAAAGAUAAUUUUCUGGCCUUAACGAAAAGAAUGACGACGACAAAAAUUCUUCCAGCCGCUACCAAUUUUGAUGGUUCUAUAAGGAAACCUUCCUUUUAAAACCUUGCAUUCAACAUCCUUCAAUAGUCCUUGAAGCAUAACCGUUUUGAAUCUACCUUGGCGAAGAUAUUCAGAAAAUCCAGGAAGUAUACCCUUCAAUAAAAUCAAAAUAGUAAGUAAACAAAAAGAAUACAAUAUAGUAGUCAUGUCAAAAAAAUCAAUGAUAAACUCACCAGAGAACUUGAAUUUAAGUCUACCGGAGUCAAAUUCAUGGAAAAAUGGUGAAAGGGACCAAUGGUCAACGGUUCCCUCCCUUCAACUUCUUCCAAAUAACGAUUGAAAUAAAUUUCAGGGACAUCUUCCAUAUAAACGGUUAUAUGAAAAGUGUUUUGGCCUACAUAACGGAAUAAGAUAGUGUGAUCCCCUUCAAACCCAUAAAAAUUAGCCAAAAUCCACCACCCUGUCAUGAUUUCUGGCGACAACAAAUCUUGGUUAUAUUCUACUAUAUGUACAUUCCCUGCGCUAUCUGCAAGGGUCCACUCUUCACCAAGUUCUUUUUGAAACUCAAUAGCAAAUGCCCGAUCAACAUACCCAAGCUAGAAAUUUUGAAAAAAAGAAAUAAAUUAAGCAACUGUAGAAAAUGUAUAAAAGUAAAAAGUUAAGAAAAUACCGACAAAAAAUAUAUACUUCACCGCGGAUGUUCAUUGAACAAAAAAGACCUCGUGUGUCAAGUUUAACAAUUUCUUCAGCAGUGGGCGCCAUGACAGUGAAUAAUAGAACAACAGAAGUAAGGAAGUGGGAAAGAAAGUAGGACUUUGAAUAAUAAAUGAAUGGCUUUAAAUCAGGGUUUAAAGAAUACAAAAAGGUUACAAUAUAUAAUAUAAUAUAACAAAUAAUGAUUACUUGUUGCAGUAAAUCUGGAAAGAAGAUAUUAUGAUCUUGAAAGUAGUGUAUAAAGCACAAUACUGUCACAAUAUAUGGGAAAACCAAAAUGGGCACAGUAUAUAUUAAAAAUUACUAUAAAGAAAAGAGAAGCAUCCAGAAUAUAAUUAAUAACAAUAAUAAUAUAUGAUAAUGAUUACUUGACAAAGAACAAAGAAUACAAACGGUGUCAGUAUAAAAUAAUAUAUAAAAAAAUAAAAUUUAUCAGAAUCUCUUUACUUUAAUGUUCGCAUAAUGAUUACUUACUGCAAGAAAUAUUUAAAAAAACAGCAUUGAAAAAAUAAAUUAAUAUGUUGAAGGCAGUGUAUAUCUGAGAAAUGUGAAACAGAAGAAGAACUGCAGAAGAAGAACCUUCAUAUCAAGAAAACUCAAAAAAUAAUAAGAAACAUAACAAAGAUUGUGGAAGUAGUUAAAUGCAUCAAGAAGGCAAAAACAAAUUUCACAUCCCAUAAGCAUAUAACAUUCUUACCAUAAUCAAUAUCAACAUCAAUAUGAAAGAGAAGAAAAUCAGAAUGAAAAUCAAUAUGCAUUAAAUUAACAAUGCAAUCAGAAUAGCAAGAAACAGAAGAAGAACUGCAGAAGAAGAACCUUCAUAUCAACAAAACUCAAAAAAUAAUAAGAAACAGAUAAUAAAGACUGUGGAAGUAGUUAAAUGCAUCAAGAAGGCGAAAAGAAAUUCACAUCCCAUAAGCAUAUAACAUUCUUACCAUAAUCAAUAUCAAGAGCAAUAUGAAAGAGAAGAAAAUCAGAAUGAACAUCAAUAUGAAUUAAAUUAAAAAUGCAAUCAAAAUAGCAGGAAACAAACCUAGAAAUUUUGAACCGAGAAACCUAGAAACAAAUAAACAAAAAAUGCCUUGGCAUAAAUAUUAGAGGUUACCAAUAAAUGUUUAUGAACAUCAAUAAGAAAGAGGACAGAAUAAAAAUGAAAAUAACAUCGAAAGAGGAGGUAAAAACUCAGUACCUUUUAAGAUUAAACCCUCGAAAACCCUAAAAUCGAAAAAAGGACAAAUCUUCAAUCGGUGACUGAAUAUAACUGUAAAAAGCAGAUAUCCUUUGAUGAAACAUGGAAUCAGAAGAGAUGGAAUCAGAAGAGGACACAACAAAAAACUAAAAGAGGAGGUCAAAAACAUUACCUUUUACGUGCUUUGUUAAUCUUGAGGUUUUCAACCAUAAAACCACAUACUGAAAAAACAACAGAAAAAACAACAACGUCAUUAACGAUUAAACCAUCGAAAACCCUAGAAUGCAAAAAAGGAAAAAAAAUUUCAAUCGAUGAAUGAAUAUAUGGUGGAUUUGCAACAAACUAAAAAUUAACCGUAAAAAGAAAAUAUCUUUUAAUCACAAAACCCUAAAAAUAGAACAUAGAGGUGAUAAUGAGACGAACAAAAAAUAGAAAGCAUUACCUGGUCCAUGGAGAAUGAAGAGAAGAAAACGAAACAAAAAUGAAAAAGCGUUGGAUACAACACAAUAUAUAGUGAAAAAGAAAGUGUCAUUACCAUUUCAAAUUUCAAAAGAAGGCGCUAUUUCUGAAGAUGAGAAAUGCUGUUUUUAGGCAAAACUACUUUCCAAUAGAGCACCUCUUCAGUUUCCGAAAUGGUGAAAAGAGUAAAGGAAAAAAAGGAGAGAAGGGGGCAAAAGAUGAAGAGGAGUUUAGGGUUUCAGAGAAAAAUAGGAUGAAAGAGAAAAAGAGUGUUAAAGAAAGAGAACAAAAAGAAAGCGAAAUGAGGAAGAAUGGGGAAACCAAACGGGAAAGUGUGUUUUAAAACGUGACACGUGUCACAUUUUUGUUUGUUCAGGUGUGUUGUGUUGAUUGGUUGAAGUUUUACUACUUUUGGUAUUAAAUCUUUUUAGUUUUUUUUUCAAAAUUUUCUGGAGAUGACACGUGUUUAAACUUACCCUGAGAGUUCUCUCUAUUUGUAUUAUGUAUAGAUUUACUGUGUACCGUGUCAAACAAUCUUUACUCGAAAUUUAUAUAUGAGCUUCUAGAAAGAGGUUGGAACUGUAGAAUUUUCCACAACGACGCGGCAACUAUUAGAAAAAUAAAAUGAAAAAACACUCACAGCAACUUCACUUGGCUGGGUUUCUAUUUAUUCACUGUUUUCUUUCGACUUUCACAGCCAUUCUUUCUGGUAAUACUCUUCUCUCUCUCUCAACAACUUUUGCUUUCACCAAUGCCUUCUAACGCCAUCAUCCAAUACACCUCUUCUUCUUCAUCUCCUGCAACUUACAUCUACGACGUCUUUGUCAGCUUUCGCGGUGAAGACACGCGCAACACCUUCACUAGUUUUCUCUUUCAGGCUCUCCGUACAAAAGGCAUCAAUGUGUUCAAAGAUGAUGAAGAUCUCAAAAAGGGUGAAUCCAUUGCACCCGAGCUGCUGCAAGCCAUUCAAGCCUCUUGACUUUUCAUUGUUGUCUUCUCACAGAACUAUGCUUCCUCCACUUGGUGCUUGCGUGAACUGGCAGAG